GAUGAAGAAUGUCCAUCGAGACGAGAAUUCACCGGUUGAAAUAAUUGGCGAAGGACUGAAGAGGCUCCGCAGGAGUGAAAUUAAUUCUCGAAAGAGACUCAGACUCCGGGAAGGAAAAGGGUUGGGAGGGCGGGAAAAACUAAGGCACCUGGAAGGGAGAAUCGAUGAAUAACUUGAAGAGAAAACACAGGUUGAAAUCAUUAAGGAAAGAAAGCAAAGACUUCGCACGAGUAGGAUGGAUACUCGAUUACGGAGUCCGGCUUCAAGAAGAAAAGGGAGGGCGGGUGGGAAAAUAAAACAACUAAGGAUUGAACUUGGCAACGAUGAAGAGGCUCGAGUCGACUUGACGAGAAAUGCACCGGAUGAAAAGAGCUGAGAACCAACGAUCGGAAAACCAACUGCGUGAUCCUAAAGAAAGUUUGAAAGGGAAGAGAAGUAAUUCAAAACACCUACGUCAAGAUUUCUUACUAGAGCGACAAAGAGGCUGAGGAGUAAAAAGAAUUCCUACUCUCCGAUAUAACUAGACUCCGAAAACAGUUUUCUUCUAGACUCAACAACGGCCAAACUACACGAUCAAUCGAGGGGGCUCCUAAGGUCGGUCGAGGCUCUGAUACCAACUUGUCACGCUCAAUAUGUGACCCUAUCCAAAAGGAACUCGAAGGUCCCACCAAGGAUAGACCCGCAUAUUGAAACGCUUUUGCAAGGUGGAUAUCAUUACAUCAACAUUACAUAAUAGAUGGGCAUACAUACAAGAGGCAUACAAUGCCACACGAAUACAACAUCACCAUACAUUAGAGCAUCAUCCGACUACGGAUGAAACACAAAUAGAAAACCCAACAACAUCCACCCUGCUAGCCCAGGCUGCCGACCUGGAACUUAUCCCCUGAUCGAAGAAGAAGCAGAAGAAGAACUCCAAAACAAGCAAACAUCGCUCUCGCGUCAUGAUCAUCGCAUAACAUGUACCUGCAACUGUUGUUGUAGUAAUCUGUGAGCCACGAGGACUCAGCAAUCCCAUUACCAUGGGUAUCAAGACUAUGAAAGCUUAAUGGGAAAGGAAGGGGUAAAGUGGUGAGGCUGCAGCAGCGACUAAGCAUAUACGGUGGCUAACAUACGCGAAUAAGAGCGAGAAGAGAGUAAAGGAACGGUCGUGAAGCUAGCAAUGAUCAAGAAGUGAUCCUGAACUCCUACUUACGUCAAACAUAACCCAAAAACCGUGUUCACUUCCCGGACUCCGCCGAAAAGAGACCAUCACGGCUACACACGCGGUUGAUGCGUUUUAAUUCGUAUCUGGUGUCAAGUUAUCUACAACUGGACAUUAACAAAUUCCCAUCUGCCUAUAACCGCAGGCACGGCUUUCAAAAGAUUAUACCCUACAGGGGUGUCCCAACUUAGCCCAUGAUAAGCUCUCGCGAUCAAUGAAGGAUAUACCUUCUCCCAGGAAGACCCGCUCAGACUCGGAAUCCCGGUUUACAAGACAUUUCGACAAUGGUAAAACAAGACCAGCAAGACUGCCCGAUGCGCCGACAAUCCCGAUAGGAGCUGCGCAUAUCUCGUUCUCAGGGCAACACCGGAUGAGACAGGCUACGAGUAAAACCAGACUUCGAGUUUCCCCGAGGUGGCCCCGCAGGCGGCUCGAUUCGGACCAACACUUAGACAAGCACUGGCCCGGGGGGGCUAAAAUAAAGAUGACCCUUGGGUUAAUUACUCCCAAGGGAAAUAUAGGCGGUGGUGAGGCAAAUGGUAAAACCAAUGUUGGCCCUUGCUAGAGGAGUUUUAUUCAAAGCGAACUGUCAAGGGGGUCCCAUAAAUCACCCAACCGCGUAAGGAACGCAAAAUCCGGGAACAUACAACCAGUAUGACGAAACCUAGGGUGGCAAGAGUGGAACAAAACACCAGGCAUAAGGUCGAGUCUUCCACCCUUUACCAAGUAUAUAGAUGCAUUAAUAAUUAUAAGAUAUAUUGUGAUAUCCCAACAUAAUCCUGCCACCAUGGGGAAAUCUUCAACUUCACCUGCAACUAGCAACGCUAUAAGAGGGCUGAGCAAAGCGGUAACAUAGCAAAGUAAUGGUUUGCUAGGAAGGGUGUCAAAGGCUAGAGGUUCAUGGCAAUUUGGGAGGCUUGAUGAGCAACAGAUAGGUAACGCAACAUAGCGAUAGAAUGAAGCAACUAGCAUAGCAAUGAUAGUAGUGAGAUCCAGGGUAGCGGUCAUCUUGCCUGAAAUCCCGCAAGGAAGAAGAACGAGUCCAUGAAGAAGAUGAAGCCACGAAGACGAACCAAGCGUAGACGAACGAAUCCUCACGAUCGCAACGAAGCGGGAACUAUCGAGAAGAAGCACACAACAUGGUAAACACACCACACAUAAAAAUGACAUGAUGCACAAACAAGUAUGAUGCAAGACAAGACUACAUGAAGCUACUCAUGGCAAGGGAUGAUGCAAAACAAAACAACACAUCAAGGCAAGUUUAAAUGAGGCCGGGAACAACAUAUAACAAUUCCGGUAAGUCCUCAUAUGCAAAUUUCGAAAUUGGUCCAGAUCUGAACAAACAUUAUGUUCAAGUUGUUAAACAGCAAGUUAAGAUGCACCAAGAUGAUCUACACGAGAUUCUAGUCAAGUUACAUAUAAACUUCAUUUAGUUCGGAGCUACGGCCUAGAAGAUAUGAGCAAAACAAGUUAAACACGACAUUGAUGCAAAAUGCAUACAAACAUCAAGCAAACACCUCAAAACAUGGAUGCAACAUGAUAAUAUGAAACUACGUGCAAAAUCAAGCAAGUUUCAUAUAGAGCACACUCAAAACGGAGCAACGGUUCAACACACACACAUGAAACAAGUUAUAGCAACAAUCUGUCCAAAACAGCAACUAGGCAUAUUGCAAGCAUCAAAACAACAUGCUACAGCAGCUCAACAAGAUAACAAAAGGCAUGGAUAUGAUUUACAGGUAAAGCAUAACAAAACAUGAACACUGAGCUAUCUCCAUAAAUCACUAGAACAUGCUCAAACACACAUGGCAAGAUUGCAAAUAAUAUCAGUUUCAGACUUUGCAGAAUUAACAUCAUGUUGCAAUGUUUAGAGCUAUCAAACAACAUGUUACAAGAACGUAUCAUGGCAAACAAACGCAUGGCAUGAAUCUACUAAAUGCAUAGAACAAAAGUCCCUUACUGACCAUAGGCCAAAAAGGAUCAGAAAAUAUGAUGGCACCCAUGUAAACAUGGCAAGUUAUAAUACAGAUUCAUACAUGGCAGGAACAACAAUAAGUAGGCAUGUUGGUGAGCUUGUACCACUCACCACAGAGCAAUAAAAGGCAUGGCAAGGCAACCAACAGUAAGAAGACAUGUUUUUGAAGCUAAGCAUGGCAAGAGCAAGUUCAUAGGGUACGUGGAUCACUAAAAACAAUCAUGGCAACAACUGAACUUAAUGUUAACAGGCUGACAACAACAUUAUUUAGCAACUUUGGAGCAAGAUUACAACAAGCUACAGCAGGACAUAAUUGCAACCAGGGCAUGGAUGGAUAUAGCAUAACAUGUAGAACAAAACACCCUUAGUGAACAUCUCCAAAUUAUGCAUAGAAUGAUUUGUAGCAGCAGGUUUACAUAGCAUCACGAAAUAACAGAUUCAGCCUAGCAAAACAGUAACAGCAAGUACACUACUUAACAAGCUUGAUUCACUCACCACAAGUCAUUGCAUGACAAGAUAAGCAUAGCAUCAGCAAGAAGACAUGUUUAUGAAACAAACCAAGGCAAGAACAAGUUCAUAGCAUGCAAGGAUCAACUACAACAACCUUGGCAAAAUUGAAUAACAUGUAAACAAUCUGCCAGGAAACAUUUUGUAGCAAAAGUAGAGCACGAAAAUGACAUGGUAGACUACUCCAUAAUUGCAACCAGGGUAAUGGAUGGAUAGAGAAAAACCAUAUGUUCAAAACAUCCUUAAUGAAGUAUCUCAAAAUAUGCAUGGAUCUCCCUGUAGCAACAUGUUUACACGGCAUCAAAAUAACAGCAGAACAGGGACUAAAAUCAGCAACAUCAUGAAGCCUAGUUUGCAUACUUGUGCUAGUCACCACAUUGAUCACAAGAAUACAUGGUAAGCACCUCUGUAAACAUGGCAUGGCAUAGAUCAAAACACAUGUAGACAUCAACCUCAUAGGAAGCACACAUCAAUCAUGGCAAAAAUGACAAAUGAGCAUGUUAUAACAGUUUCAGCAGAUUAACAUCACAUAGCACUCUUGCAACGAUGAUUUAGGCAUCAAGAUGAGCUCAAAUGAACAUGAUGCAAUGGAAUGAAAUGAAGUACUCGUUGAGGCGAACAAUUUGAUAUAUUAUACGCACAAAACGGAGCAGUAUGCAUGGAGAUAUGAUGCGAUGAACAUGGCAUGGUAAUGUCAAAAUAUUUCGGGACUUAGUCAUUUUUCAGGAAAAAAACAGAGUGAGCGCGGAUUAGCUAAAAGUCGCACGGGCAGGGUUUACUGGGCUCUAACCAUUGGGCCAAGCCCAGGAAGUGGAGAGGAAGCAGCGGGCCUGCUGGAGCUGGGCUGGGCCUUGGGGAGGCCAGCCCAUGAGGGAAAGGGGCUGGUCAAUGGACGCUCGUCCUCCUCCUGCUUGAACAGGGAGGAGGAGGCGGCCAUGGCAGAGGACGCGGCGGCGCCGGAGCGCAGGGAGGCCGGGAGGGGACCUGGGUAGGGAAAACGGGCGGAUCCGGUCGGCCGGCGCCGGAUCCGGGUAACGGCGACGGUGGGCGGAGCUCCGGGAGGCACGGGUCCACACCCUUGGCGACCUGUGAGGCAGAGAGAGAGACGGAGGGAGAGGUUAGAGAGAGUUCGGGAGAAGGAAAGAGGGUGCGGGGUCACCGGGUACUCAUCUCCGGCGAUGGCGGCGGCAGAUGGCUUCGGCCAGAGGGCGGCGGCGAGCGCUCCCGAUCCCAUCGGGAUCGAGUGGGAGGGCGCGAGAGGUGGGAGGAGCGGGGCGGCUCGAUCGACUGCAGGGCGGCGUCGGGCCCGAUUCGGCCCACGGCGGGCCGCACACGGGCUUCGGCGGGCCCGAGCGGGGCGAGGAGGCUGAAGGGGGACGUGGCGCGACGAGGAUGGUGGAGAGCGCCUGGCCGGCGGCGGUUGUCCAGUUGGGUGGCGCCAAGUGGCGGGACGGUGGUGGAUGGCGCCGAAAAACGAGGGGGAGGCGGUUGCAUAUCACUGGCGGCGCGGAUUUCGAUGUGGCGGUGGCGGCUGAUCCGAGGGGAAGGCUAGAGGUAGGUGGAGGGGCUAGGGAUGCCAAAUUUGGAAGGGGGUGUCCAUAUAUAGGCAGGGAUGGCUAGGGUUUGGGUUUAGGGGGUUUUAGGAGCGUUUCGAAGCCUCCGAUCGCGAUCCGACGAUCAGGAAUGGAGGGGGGGUUUAGGUGGGCUGCAGGUGGGCUGAGAAGAGGGGUUGGGCUGAGAGAAGAGAAGAGAAAGAGAGGCCCGCCGGUAGUUUCGGAGGCCGAAACGUCCGACGGAGGUAUCGGCAACGGUACCGCUAUACAUUUAACGGUUGGGCUACCAGAUGGACUCCGAAUGCGACGAAAUUUGGCAGGCGGCCUGUCUACACUAUAAUAAGACCGCACACCAAGUUCCAACCCAUUCCGAGAACAUUUUUAUGCCGCUUUUAAAAUAAUAUUUCGGAGGUGCCGCGGGCGCGUGCGAGAGUGUUUGGCUCAGAACGGACAACGGAGAGAACCGGCGGAACCCGAACGGAUGCAAGUUUUGAAAAACAUGCAUAUGAAAUGCAGAUGAUGACAUGGCAAAAUGCAACAUGCAAGCAAAUGACAUGACAAUGACGGCGAAUAACUGGCAGACACCUGGCGUAUCGAAUCCGGGGCGUUACACUAGGAUUCAAAUACGAUCAUGUAGCCCCCAGUGGCUUUGGCGUUGCCGAUCAAGAGGGUACCGAUAGCUAUGAUCUAUUUGGUUCGAAUACGACCUAUGUUUGAACAGGAAGCCCCCAUAUGACCUUGAGAGUUGUUUAACGACGCUGAUUCGAAUACGAUCCACGUCGGACCCAAAAGGGGUUGAGCUAUGUUUCGAAUACGAUCAAGAAGCCCCCUAGUGAGUUUGGCAGUGUGCCGACCAAAAGGGUAUCAAUAGCUAUGUUCUCUUUGGUUCGAAUACGACCUAUAUUUGAACAGGAAGCCCCCAAGUGACUAUAAUAAGAUAAGCCAUAAGGCAGGACACCCAUGUUUGAACCGCACAUCAUGGCAACAAGUUCUCUUUUGGCAACCCUUAAUUUGUUUGAGAACUCGAACUUGCGAGAGAUUAAUUCUUUUUGAACCGGAACUUUGAACCGGAUUUGAGAGCUUCAAAGCUUUGUAAGAGACAAAUUUACCUUGAACCAGAUAUUGAACCGGAUUUCAGAGCUUCAAAGCUUUGCGGGAGAAAGAUGUCUCUUGAGCCGGAUUUUAAACCAGAAUCUUUAAUUUGAACCGGCAAUUUUCUGACGGCCUUUAAAUUUUCAUCAAUAUGGCGGUGGCCUCCGGAACUGGGUUAUCCUUCCCUCCAAUGACCCGGAGUUCCCGAGUCAUGUCAUUGUAGCCCCCGAGUCUCAAGACGACUCGAAGAGUUGGCUUGAGAUUCUUCAUUUUUAACCAUGAUAUAAAUCAGCAUGAGUUAUCCAAUAACUUAGUGAUAUAAUAAUCCCUUUUUGCAGUGGACAAUUUGUCCUGCAUUGGAAGACUUGCAAGCCAGAGUAAUUGCUCUUUUAAAGAAAGCAAUAUAUAAUAUAAAAAUAUACUGGAUGGAUUUCACCUGAUAUGUUAAGCCAGAAAUCAUCCACCGCGGAGUUGAUGAUCACUAUGGUGAAGUUAAAAACCAAUCACGAGCGAGUCGGCCACGGAUGUAGACAGAUGAGUCGACCGAGGCAUUGUAAACCGGUGCGAACGAGCAAGUUGUCCUGCAUGUUGUAAGCGGGUGCGGACACGUGAACCGGCCGCAAGGGCGGAUGGCCGAGUCGUCCGUGGCGUUGUAAGGCGGCGCGGAUGGGCAAGUCGGCCACGGCGUUGUAAGCCGGUGCGGGAGUCCGUUGAGUAAGGACGACCACCUGUGCCGAAUGAUGUCGGCACGCCUCCAUCUCCGCAGUAUAAUGCCACUUUAUAUAAAACAUAGCAGGGCAAAGUAUUUUUGCUCGGAUGAAUUAAUAUGUGCUUAAAAAUAAAUAGGGCAAACAACACUUGGUAUUUUUCGGAUGUUGUUAGCAGCUCAUCUGAACAUCUCCAGCAGCUACCCUUCCCUGAUAAUAGCCAUACACGUGACCAUACCAUCAAGUACUGCCAACGCAUAUGGCACAGUAAGCCAUGCGGAUGGGCGAGUCAACCGCGUCGUGUUGAUGUAGCGGGUGCGGCGACCUGUGCACAUACUUGUCGAGAAGUACGGCAUGGAUAAACGCUAGUGCAAAAAUAAUGCUGGUGCAUGCCCCUUAUGUGACACCUUUGUAAUGAAUAAUAAUCCUGGUAUUUUUGUCAGAUAAAACGAGGAUGCUGGUGUUGAAUAAAUUUUCUAACACCUGGGCGCGGUCGUUCCUGCUAGUCGUCGUUGUGUUGAAAUAUGCUGGACCGCAAACUGUCUUGUAGACGGGCGCAGGAACAGCGUCUGACCAGAACAAGCCUAGCGUCGUCGCAGUGACGCUGGGUAAAUUUUUUUUGAAAGAAUAGUUGAUCUUUCUGAUGAAGUACUUCUUUGUAUAGCUUUAGUAUUUGUAGCAGCAGGCCUCCACGUAACCUGCCCUCCUUCGUCUUUUUCUUGUCUCACAUGAUGACAUGAGGUUUGUACGUGGAUUACUUUGAUUGAAAUACCAUGCAGGUCACUCUUGGCGGAGGCGGAGGCGUUUGAGACUGCAAGGCGGCUCGCCUUGGAGCAACACAGGAGUAGCGCUCGAGGUGGCGCGAGGCUGCGACGGUUCUCCAGUGAAGCGUGGCCGCGAUGGCUCAGCAGAUGUUGUGACAAGAGGAGACACAUCGGGGACCGACGGCUCAGGACGUGUGCGAGGGGCGCCGGCGGCUCGAGGUACGGCAGCGGCGACUUGACACGGAGGCGGUUGAAGCGCGACUGCAGCCGGCGGCUCAAAGUGUGAGGCCGUGAGGGUGGGUCGAUGACUCGAGUAGAAGUGACUGGCAGAUGUAACUCUGGCGAUCGACCGCCCGACGCAGCGGCCGAGGCGGCUUGCAGGCAGAGAAGAGCAGAGGCGGCAACCGGCGGAUCAAACGCAACAGGGCAGCUCGACACGCGAUAAGAGUGGCUAAUGCCGCCACUGCAGUUCUGACACGGAAUCGACGGAGACUUGAGAGGCCGUGGAAGCGGAGACGGCCGACGAUGUGGCGGCUCAGACGCGAGCGCCGCGUAGGCGGUAGUUGACCGAGCGGAGCCUUGCGAAAACUGAGUUCAUAUCCGGGUCGUGGGCUGUCUCCUCCCUUUUUUAUGUGAACUAGCACAUUAGCAAACUCACGUGAGGGAUUUUUGGCGCAUAUGUCUUUGUCCUUCACAUGUAGGAGUAAGCAGUACUAUUAGCUUUUGAUUCUUGCGUAAACAUUGGUGCUUGGUCCUUCACGUGGGGGCGGGGUUGUAGCUUCAGAGAUGUGACAUGGCUACUGUUGCAAGAUGCACUGGAUAGCUUUGAGCGCAUGUGUAUAGAGAUGACCUGUGAUUUGACAGCAGGGCGCAGCGGAAACCUUGUGUCCAGCUCGGCGGACUGCCCGUACAAAAAUCGAUCUCCAUCGCUGCUUAUGCGUCGAAUCGGCAACAAAGAACUUGUCGGUCUCGGCGACUCACAGCGCAUCCCACUAAUCGUUACACAAUCCUAAUUUCCUUUUAAUGGCACGGGCCGAGUUAGAAUCUGGACAAAGUGGGCUUCUUAUCGCUGUCAAUUUGGACGCUGGUCGCCGAUGCCUUGUCGCUGUCCUUUCUUUUCUUUUUUCUUCCGAGUUCCAACGUUGGGAUAGAGCCGAACCAAUCUCGUAUUUGUUGUGACUCUCGCUGAUCGGGACCACUUGGUUUCGCCAGAUUGCUCCUGUGUAUCCGCCCUUGAACUGAUAAUAUGUGAAAGAUGCGUCCGGUGGCGCACAAGUCGAAACCCUAAUUUCUCAUGAGCUCUGAGUUUGCUGGCUCCAAAGUUUAAUCAUGUUCCAGAUCACAAAACAACAAAUUUGUCGGCUCUUCCUCAUUCGGCGAAAUCGCAAACUUCUCGAACCCUAGGAGAGAUCCUUCCAAAAACUCAUCACCACCGUGCGGAGCCCCACGGUGAGCGCCAACUGUCGUGGAUUUGUCACGGCGGAUGUCCUGAGUGUCAGGAAUUAGUCGCGAGGCCAAUGCAUCUAUGUAGUAGCUUGAGAGGGGUUGAUCGGGACGGAAGACACAACACACAAGACAAGGAUUUAGAUAGCUUCGGGCCCCGGGAAACAUCAUCCGGUAAUAACCCUACAUGUUGUUUGUGGCUAGAUCUCAUUAUGCUCAUCAGGGAAACGCCGCAUAAGUCGGCUCCCCUUUAGUUGUGUCUAGCCCUAGAGAUUAUUGUUCUUCUUGACUGUCCCUAUUUGGGGAGCCCUGCCCCUCCUUAUAUAAGUUGGAGAGGCGGCUUACAUGUAGAGUCCUAGUAGGAUUCGAACUAACUUAUUCUCUAUUACAAGUCGGAUACAAGUACGGGUCUUGCUUCCUUGUAAAGGAAAUAUUCCUCAUGCCUUCCGUCUUAAGCCGGCCCACCAUAACGUGAGUCGGCCUUCUGGGCUUUGGGCCUAGUCUUCUAUAUGACCCACCGGGGCCAUCUGUGAGUCUUCAGGCUCGUGAGUCGUCUGAGCAGUGAGCCACCAGACCCGUGAGUAGCCAUUCCUCCUACGGGUCAUCGGUGAAGUGCCAAGUCCGGCCAGGUCAUACUUCCGGCCGGGUCAUACCGCCGGGUAUAUCCCCGACACCGCUGUUGCAACCUCACCACUUUAUCCCUUCCUUUUCCAUUAAGCUUUGCUAGUCUUGAUACCCAUGGUAAUGGGAUUGCUGAGUCCUCGUGUCUCACAGAUUACUACAACAAUAGUUGCAGGUACAGGUUAUGCGAUCAUCAUAACGCUAGAGCGAUGUUUGCUUGUUUUGGAGUUCCUCUUCUGCUUCUUCUUCGAUCAGGGGAUAGGUUCCAGGUCGGCAGCCUGGGCUAGCAGGGUGGAUGUCGUUUUAGUUUCUGUUUGUGUUUCAUCCGUAGUCGGAGGGUUCUCUCUUGUAUGAUGAUGUUGUAUUCGUGUGGCAUUGUAUGCCUUUUGUAUGUAUCCCCAACUUUUAUGUAAUGGUACAAUGUAAUGAUAUCCACCUUGCAAAAGCGUAUUCAAGAUGCGCUUCUAUCCUUUGUGGGACCUUCGAGUUCCUUUAGGAUAGGGUCGCUUCUUGGGCGUGGCAAGUUGGUAUCAGAGCCUCGACCGACCAUUGGAGCCCCCUUGAUUGAUCAUGUAGUUUUGCCGUUGUCGAGUCUUGAAAAAAACUUUUCGGAGUCUAGUUAUAUCGGAGAGUAGGAAUUCCUUUUACUCCUCAGCCCCUUGGUCGCUCUGGUCAAGAAUCUUGACGUAGGUGUUUUGAAUUACUCUUAUUCCCUUUCAAACUUUCUUUAGGAUCAUGCAGUUGGUUUUUUUUCGAUCAUUGUCCAUCAGCUCUUUGCAUCCGGUACAUCUCUCGUCAAGGCAAUUUGACCCUCUUUGUUUUUGCAACUUCAAUCCUUAGUUCGCUCUCAACGAAGUUGUUUCUCUGCCCUCAGUUGUCUUCUUUUCCCACCCGCCCACCCCUUUUCUUCUCAGAGCCAGAGUCCGUAAUCGAGUAUCCAUCCUACUCGUGCGAAGCAUUUGCAUUCUUUCAACCGGUGUUUCCUCUUGAAGUUAUUCAUUGGUUUUCCCCUUCCAAGUUGCCUUUGUUUUCCCGCCCUCCCACCCUCUUCUUCCCAGAGUCUGAGUCUCUUUUGGCCAUCAAUUUCAUUCAUGUGGAGCCUCUNNNNNNNNNNNNNNNNNNNNNNNNNNNNNNNNNNNNNNNNNNNNNNNNNNNNNNNNNNNNNNNNNNNNNNNNNNNNNNNNNNNNNNNNNNNNNNNNNNNNNNNNNNNNNNNNNNNNNNNNNNNNNNNNNNNNNNNNNNNNNNNNNNNNNNNNNNNNNNNNNNNNNNNNNNNNNNNNNNNNNNNNNNNNNNNNNNNNNNNNNNNNNNNNNNNNNNNNNNNNNNNNNNNNNNNNNNNNNNNNNNNNNNNNNNNNNNNNNNNNNNNNNNNNNNNNNNNNNNNNNNNNNNNNNNNNNNNNNNNNNNNNNNNNNNNNACCGGUGAAUUCUCUUUUGUUUGACAUUCUUCAUCUCUUUUCUUCUCCGGUGGAGUCAAUUCAAGUUUUUCGGGUUGAUCAUUUUCUUUUCCAUGGAUCAAGUGUUCUCCUUGCUCGUUUGCCUCUCGCCAUUCAAUCAUUCGGGAGUUCGGAAGACCUCUCAAGAGAUUCGUUUGUGUUCGAAUCAAUUCGAGCUUGUCACCUCAUUCAAAUAUUUCAAUUGUUCCAGUGCAUCAUCUAUUUUUUCAAUGGUGUUUUCUUUUAGUGGGCCCUAACCCACAGGUCUUUUCCCAAGAUCUUACCUAACACUUCUAAUUAUUCCGGAGCCAUUCCUAAUUAUUUUCGAGUGUGACAUAAGAAUGAAUUUCAUCAGUCAGAUGCCAUCUCCAAGAUCGCUUUCAAAUUCUUUUCAUCUUUGGUUCAACCCUUCCUCUUUGUCAUUCUCCCGGAGUAUCUCAGUAAUUCUGGUGGUGUUUCUCGUCAUCAUUUGAAGAUCGAAGAAGAGCUUUUCCUCUAAAUCUUGCCCGUUCUCUCGAAGAUUCGUGGUUCUAGCUUCAUAUUAUCCUCUCAAAUUAUUCCAUUUGUCAGGUUUUCUUUUCUUACCCAUCCGGAGUAUGUCAGGAGUUGUUUUCCAUUUCUUUUCACCGGAGGCCAUCAUUUCAACUACCGUUACCCAAUUAUUAUGGCGCAUCUGUCAAGUAUGCUUUAAUCAGCUUGUUGUCUCUUUGUUCUUUUGCAUCUAAAUCCCCUCAAGCAUAUUUGUUCUUAUAAUUCUUCCCGGUGAUUCAUUCUCUUUCAUCAGUCAUUUUCGAAUUCUUACGCCGGUUCGUUCAAGAUUCUUUUCUUUGAUUAUCAUAUUAAUUCAUUUGUUCUUUCCAAUCCUACCGGUGGUUCAUGAAGACUUUCUCAAGUUUUGUGCUAUACCCCCCUUAAUCCUUUUCAACAAGAAUAAGUAGCAUGCAAAAUCCGUUGCUUGUCAUCAAUUUAAUUUGUUGAGGAUAAGCAUAACAUAAUUCUUAUUAUUAUUUCAUCGUCGUCAAGUAAUCCCUUCCUUCGGAGUUUAUUCUUGAUGAAUAAAUUCUAGUUCCAAGUGUUUUCAUCUUUUCUUUUCCGGAGUUAAAAAUGACUCGGCCAUUUUGUGGGAACCUCCAUCUAAAUCACCGCAAGCUUUAAUCUUAUUCUUUCAUCCUUCAUUCUAUCUCAUCAUCCUUUUGUCACCAGAGUUCUUCAUGGUGGUUCUUCAUGAUUUAAUUCAUUCUUCAAGAGUUCAUCAAGAUUAUUGUUGGAGGAGCACAAAUAUCUUUUCCUCUUGCGUAUCGAAGUGCAAUUAAUUCUUCGUAUUUCUUUUGAAGUGGAGUUUCGCAUUUCUUCGUUCUUCUCAGCUAUUCAGACAUUGGUUGUGGUAUAAUUUCACUUCAAGUUUUGAGUUGUUUUGAUAAGUCCACAACAAACUUAUUAUUUCGUUGUUGAUUUUCUCAACAACUCCGUUCAAUCCUUCCUUCUAAGUUCUUUUCAUUCAAUUCUUUCAAUUCUUCCGGAGGAAUUGCUUUGUUCAUCUCGUCAAGUGCCAUCUCAUUGGGUAAAGUUCAUGUUCUACUCCUUCCAUUUUCAGUCGGAGUGUUGCCGAAAUUCUUUUAUUCAUUCCUUUUCUACCUUGUUCUAACCGGAGUGGUUUCAGAGUCUAUCAUAUUCGUUGAGUUUUUUAUUAUUGUCAUAUUCGCCUUUCCUCUUUUCUACUCGAGUUUUCUCGACUUUGUUCAUUUCCCCUCUUGCGUUCUUACUUCACCUCUUCCUCUUUCUCUUCUGUCUCGUUCCUAAGAUCUUGGGACGAGAUCUCUUGUUAGUGGAGGAGAGUUGUAACGCCCUGGAUCCGAUGCGCUAGGUGUCUUCCAGCUAUUCGCCGUCGUUGACAUGUCAUUGCUUGUGUAUUGCACUUUGCCAUGUCAUCAUUUGCAUUUCAUCUGCAUGUUUUUUCAAAACUUGCGUCCGUUCAGGUUUCCCUAGUUCCCUUCGUUAUCCGUUCUGAGCAUAGACACACUCGCACGCGCCCGUCGCACCUCUCAGACCUUGUUUCUAAACGGGAUAAAAAUCAUUCUCGGAAUGGGCCGCGAUUUGCCCAGUGUCCUUGGUAUAUCACCGGUAGACCGCCCGUCAAAUUUCGUUCCAUUUGGAGGUCGUUUAUGCCCCAACGGUUAACGGCGUAGCCCGAAUCCCCCUUCUCUUUGCAGCUCAGCCCCUCUUCACCACAGCCCAUGAGCCCAUCCAAACCCCCUCCAUGCUCUCGGUCGUUCGAUCACGAUUGUGUGGGCGAAAACCGCUCCUCAUUUGGAGUCUCCUAGCUUCCUGUACCUAUAAAUAUNNNNNNNNNNNNNNNNNNNNNNNNNNNNNNNNNNNNNNNNNNNNNNNNNNNNNNNNNNNNNNNNNNNNNNNNNNNNNNNNNNNNNNNNNNNNNNNNNNNNNNNNNNNNNNNNNNNNNNNNNNNNNNNNNNNNNNNNNNNNNNNNNNNNNNNNNNNNNNNNNNNNNNNNNNNNNNNNNNNNNNNNNNNNNNNNNNNNNNNNNNNNNNNNNNNNNNNNNNNNNNNNNNNNNNNNNNNNNNNNNNNNNNNNNNNNNNNNNNNNNNNNNNNNNNNNNNNNNNNNNNNNNNNNNNNNNNNNNNNNNNNNNNNNNNNNNNNNNNNNNNNNNNNNNNNNNNNNNNNNNNNNNNNNNNNNNNNNNNNNNNNNNNNNNNNNNNNNNNNNNNNNNNNNNNNNNNNNNNNNNNNNNNNNNNNNNNNNNNNNNNNNNNNNNNNNNNNNNNNNNNNNNNNNNNNNNNNNNNNNNNNNNNNNNNNNNNNNNNNNNNNNNNNNNNNNNNNNNNNNNNNNNNNNNNNNNNNNNNNNNNNNNNNNNNNNNNNNNNNNNNNNNNNNNNNNNNNNNNNNNNNNNNNNNNNNNNNNNNNNNNNNNNNNNNNNNNNNNNNNNNNNNNNNNNNNNNNNNNNNNNNNNNNNNNNNNNNNNNNNNNNNNNNNNNNNNNNNNNNNNNNNNNCGCCGCCACGCCGCCACUACCCCCGCGUCCUCGUCGACGCCGGCCGGCCCCUCGCCGGAGCGCGAGCCGCUGGCCCCGGCGCCCCGCUCCUCCCCGUCGACACCGCCACCGGAUCCGGCCAGAUCCGGCCCGGAGCACCCUUCCUCGUCCUCCUCUGGUCAUCUCCCUCGUCGCCGUCAGCUUCUCCAGCGAACCUCGGGAUGUGUGCCCGGAACCCUAGAGCCGGAGUGGUAAAUUUCGUCUAAGUCCCGAAUCUGUUACUGUAUGUGUACUACUUUGUCAUGCCAUAACUUCAUGCAUAUAUAUCCAUUUUGUGCAUACGAUAUACGAAAAUGUUCACUGUGAGAUGCUCUUCAUUUAAUUCCAUUGUGUCAAUGCUUGUUUGAGUUAAUAUUGAUGCCUAAAUAAUCGUUACAAAAGUGCUAUAUGAUGUUAACUGUUGUCUGUUAACAGAAAUUGCUAUUUUGUCUUUUUCAUUGCAUUUUGUGUGUGCAUCCGAUGAGCUUGAUGUCUACAUGAGUUUUGAGCUACAUCAUGCCUUCUUUACAGUGGUUCGCUCCAUGUAUUUUUGUGUCCCUGGUGGUGAGUGCAUCAAGCUCGUGAAGUAGGGUACUUGUUGUUACUGUUUUGCUAGGCUGAAUCUGUUAUACCAUGAUACUAUGUAAACCUGCUGCUCCAAGUCAUUCUAUGCAUAAUCUGGAUAUGUUCAUUAAGGAUAUUUUGUUAUAAAUGUCAUGCUCUAUCCAUCCAUGCCCUUGGUUGCAUUUAUAGCCUGCUGUAGCUUGUCGUAAUCUUGCUCUCAAUUUGCUAAAUAAUGUUGCUGUCAACCUGUUAACAUUAAGUUCAGUUUUGGCCAUGAGUUUUGCUAGUGAUCCAUGAACCCUAUGAAUAUGCUAUUGCCAUGUUUAGCUCCAUAAAUGUGUCUUCUUACUAUUGGUCAACUUGUCAUGCCAUGUGUUUCUCUUUUAUGAGUGGUACAAGCUCACCAACAUGUCUACUUAUCGUUGUUCCUGCCAUGUCUGAAUCUGUCAUAUUACUUGCCAUGUUUGCAUGGAUGCUACCAUGUGUUCUGUUGAUCUUUAAAAUUAGUUCAGUAAGGUAGUUUUGUUCUUUGUCUUUAGUAUUAGCAUUCCAUGCCUUUGUUUGCCAUGAUAAGUUCCUGUAGCGUGUUGUUUGAUAGCUCGAAACAUUGCAACCUGAUGUUAUUUCUGCUAUGUCCAGUGAUUUCUGCAGUCUGUGAAACUGUUAUUAUUUGCAAUAUUGCGAUGUCCUUUUGAGCAUGUUAUUUUGUUUUCUGUAGAUAGCUCAGUGUUCAUGUUUUGGUAUGCUUCAUCUGUACAUCAUGUCCAUGUCUUUGUUUUCAUGUUGACGUGCCGUAGCAUAUUGUUUUGAUGCUUGCUAGAUGCCUAGUUGCUGUUUUGGACAGCUUGUCCUUUAAACUUGUUUCAUGUGUAUGUGUUGAAUCGUUGCUCUGUUUUGAGUGUGCUUUAUAUGAAACUUGCUCAGAAUUGCAUCUGGUUUCAUCUUAUCUUGUUGCAUCUAUGUUUUGAGAGUUUGCUUGAUGUUUGAAUGCAUUUUGCAUCAAUGUCAUGUUUAACUUGUUUUGCUCAUAUCUUCUAGGCCGUAGCUCCGAACUAAAUGAACUUUAUAUGUAACUUGACUAGAAUAUCGUGUAGAUCAUCUUGGUACAUCUUAACUUGCUAUUUGACAACUUGAGAAUAAGGUUUAUUCAGAUAUGGACCAAUUUCGAAAUUUGCAUACGAGGACUGACCGGAAUUGUUAUAUGUUGUUUUCGGCCUCAUUUAAACUUGCUUUGAUGUGUUUCUCUUGUAUGCAUCAUCUCUUGCCAUGAGUAGCAUCCUAUAGCCUUUUUCAUGCAUCAUGCUUGGUUGUGCAUCUUGUCUUGUCUAUGUGUUGUGUGUUUACCUUGUUGUUUGCUUCUUUCCGGUUGUGCUCCUUCUCGUUAGUUCCUGUUCGUUGCGAUCGUGAGGAUUCAUUCGUCUACACUUGGUUCGUCUUCGUGGCUUCAUCUUCUUCAUGGACUCAUUCUUCUUCCUAGCGGGAUUUCAGGCAAGAUGACCGUCACCUUGGAUCUCACUACUAUCAUUGCUAUGCUAGUUGCUUUGUUCUAUCGCUAUGCUGCGCUACCUAUAACUUGUUCACCAAGCCUCCCAAAUUGCCAUGUCAGCCUCUAACCUUUUUCACCCUUCCUAGCAAACCAUUGCUUGGCUAUGUUACCGCUUUUCCUCAGCCCCUCUUAUAGCGUUGUUAGUUGCAGGUGAAGUUGAAGAUUGCUCCAUGAUGGACAGGAUUAUGUUGGGAUAUCACAAUAUCUCUUAUUUAAUUAAUGCACCUAUAUACUUGGUAAAGGGUGGAAGGCUCGGUCUUAUGCCUGGUAUUUUGUUCCACUCUUGCCUCCCUAGUUUCCCUCAUACCGGCGUUAUGUUCCUUGAUUUUGUUUUCUAUACACGGUUGGGUGAUUUAUGGGACCCCCUUGACAGUUCGCUUUGAAUAAAACUCCUCCAGCAAGGCCCAACCUUGGUUUUACCAUUUGCCGACCUAAGCCUUUUCCCUUGGGUUUUCGGAGCCCGAGGGUCAUCUUUAUUUACCCCCCCCCCCCGGGGCUAGUGCUCCUCCGAGUGUUGGUCCAACCUAAGCGAUGUCCGGUGCCCCCUGGGGAACCAGGAUCUAUGCCAACCCGACGUCUGGCUCAUCCGGUGUGCCCUGAGAACGAGAUAUGUGCAGCUCCUAUCGGGAUUUAUCGGCACAUUGGUCGGCUUUGCUGGUCUUGUUUUACCAUUGUCAAAAUGUCUUGUAAACCGGGAUUUCGAGACUGAUCGGGUCUUCCUGGGAGAAGGAAUAUCCUUUGUUAACCGUGAGAGCUUGUGAUGGGCUAAGUUGGGACACCCCUGUAGGGUAUAAACUUUCGAGAGCCGUGCCCGCGGUUAUGUGGCAGAUGGGAAUUUGUUAAUAUCUGGUUGUAGAAAACUUGACACCAGAUUUGAAUUAAAAAGCAUCAACCGCGUGUGUAGCCGUGAUGGUCUCUUCUCAGCGGAGUCCGGGAGGUGAACACGGUUUUGGGUUAUUUAUGAACGUAAGUAGUUUCAGGAUCACUUCUUGAUCAUUGCUAGCUUCACGACCGUUCCAUUUGUUUCUCUUCUCGCUCUUAUUUGCGUAUGUUAGCCACCAUAUUUUGCUUAGCUGCUGCUGCAACCUCACCACUUUACCCCUUCCUUUCCCAUUAAGCUUUGCUAGUCUCGAUACCCAUGGUAAUGGGAUUGCUGAGUCCUCGUGGCUCACAGAUUACUACAACAACAGUUGCAGGUACAGGUUAUGCGAUGAUCAUGACGCGAGAGUGAUGUUUGCUUGUUUUGGAGUUCUUCUUCUACUUCUUCUUCGAUCAGGGGAUAGGUUCCAGGUCGGCAGCCUAGGCUAGCAGGGUGGAUGUCGUUUGAGUUUCUGUUUGUAUUUCAUCCGUAGUUGGAGGGUGCUCUGUUGUAUGAUGAUGUUGUAUUCGUGUGGCAUUGUAUGCCUUUUGUAUGUAUCCCCAACUUUUAUGUAAUGCUACGAUGUAAUUAUAUCUACCUUGCAAAAGCGUCUUCAAGACGCGCUUCUAUCCUUGGUGGUACCUUCGAGUUCCUUUAGGAUAGGGUCGCAUCUUGGGCGUGACAAUUGCAUCGCACACAGUUUCGUCGAAGGGUCUCUUAUCGUAGUCGAGUUAGUAGCAUCCUGCAUUAGUGUCAGGUCACCCCUAACAUAGCAUAUCACCAUGUCAUGCAUUAUGCUGCAUCUGAGUGCUUUAUAUUUAUUAUUUCUUCCCCCACUUCUUCUCUGAUAGACCCCAACACCGACGCUGCUCCAAAGUGCGACUACACUCCUGACGACUAGCCCCUUUCAGCAGAGCUUCCAGGCAAGCAAAACCCCUUGAUCAUUCCUAUAUCAACCAUUAUUUCUCUCUCUUGCUUGCAUUAGAUUUUGCUAUUGUUGUUCGAUAGCUCCUAUUUUGAUGCAUAGCCUGCUUUUGUAACCUAUUAUUGUUACUUUACCUGUUAUCCUAUAUGCUUAGUAUAGGUUUUUUAGUGAUCCAUCAAUGACCCCUCACCCUUGUCCUUGUUGCCCCGCUUUGUUACCGGUGACUUGAUCAAUGUGAUCAACGACCAGAGACCGGGACAUGAAUGAUUCUGCAGAGCUACUAUCGAGCUCCGACGGUGAUACCUCGUAUCACACUCAUGAUGAUAUCGUUGUAGUGUGGCUAAUAGGUCGUGGAUUACUGAGGGCGAUCCCUCAUUCACCAUUCCUGGUGACGACUCUAUCGUGCAACACCUCAAGUGUGAACCCUUCAAGGAUGAUUCCUCCAAGGUCACCUUGAUGAUUACACCAAGUAGGAAUCCUUCAAGGGUGAUUCCUCGGAUUCCCCCAUGAUAUUAUGGACAAACGGAUACCUUGACCUUCACCUCAGUCCUUUGUGGAAGUCGGGUUGACCUAAGGGGUACCGCAAGAGUUACUAGAGUCAGCUAACCGUGAAGGUACCCGCGAGAUAACUACGUGCCAUGGUCGGGCAGGCAGACCGCCUUAGAGAGGGAUGGUCCCAACCCUUGUCGUAUGUCUGCAAGACAGGGCGACAUGAUCACUGGUCAUCUUCGCGUGCUCCCAAUACACUAACGGGUUUGGACUUGUGAUUUGAAUAGGCAUCUGGCCUUUUUUCACUGACCACCACACGGGAAUAAGUUUGGCACUUGGUGUCGUACGAUUCUUUUGAAAGUUCCCAGACGUCAGCAUUUAGCGGCGCACGGCCGGGACGGUAACCACAACGCUAGUAUAAGGGGGUGGGUUUGCUCCAGGCCACGUUCACAACGCGCAAGAUUGCACAGUAUGAUUGGCCCAUGACCCCUUCGCAUUUAGGAUGUAGAUGGGCAUGUUGCCCUCUCUGUUCAGCCUAGGUAGGACUAGGUGUGUCGAUCAGCCGAGGCCGGGCAUGACUCGUUAAAAUGUGUCCGACCGGAGCUAAACGAGCUUGUUGGGUAAGUUGGUGCACCCCUGUAGGGAAGUAUAUCUAUUAGAAUAGUCAUGUCCAUGGUAACGUAUGCUUGGAGUUGUAUCACCAUCUAUUACAUCUAGAACUAGAUACUUGUGACACUAAAUGGAUAUGAUGGCUCCAAGAUCGCUUUCUCACAGGGAGUCGAGGAAGGGUCUCUAGGCAUUGCUACUACAUGCUCACUACUUUAUAAUAUACUAAAACGCACUCUUCUAAUGCUGCAAGACGCUACAAGAUGCUACUCAUUGAUAGGCUACGUCUUCCCUUCUAUUCUGGCAUUUCUGUAGUUUAGCCCAAUGAUAUAGCUCCAUUCAUUUUAUACAGAUGCAUACCUAGUAUAGAUCAGAUGAAGUCUUGCGAGUACUUUGGAUGAGUACUCACGGCUGCUUCGAUACCUUCUUCCCCUCUACCCAAUUGUUGCGACCAGAUGAUGGAAUCUAGGAGCUAGUUGAUCUCGCCGACAACUACUACUACACUGACAGAGCCUACUACUACGUGGAGACCAUCGAUGACUCGGAGUAGAUAGGAGGCCCCAGGCAGGAGGCCUUCACCUUUUUGAUUAGAUGUCCUUGUUUUGCUAGCUUUCUUAUGGUAGACUUAUUUAUCUUAUGUCUGUACUCAGAUGUUUUUGCUUUCGCUGACUUAUGUAUUCCAGCCUUUGUGGCCCUAACUUGUAAUAUAAAGCUUUAUGUCAAAUUUGUGUCUAGAGUUGUGUUGUGAUAUGUUCCCGUGAGUCUGUUAUUUUGAUCGUGUGCAUUUGCGUGUAUGAUUAGUGCACGGUUGAGUCGGGGCGUCACAAUGUGGGAACGUAGUGGGCUGUGAAAGACAAAUUGUCGAUUAAGAUUUACGGGAAGAAGGAGCUAGCGCACAUACGAUGCAUGCGAGUUUAAGGUAUACCUCCUCGGUGGUGGUGGAUGUCUACUAUGCAACAUUUCUUCAUGUAGACUCGUCUUGGGCCUCCAAGCCCAGAGUUUUGUAGGACAGUAGCAAUUUUCCCUCAAGUGGAUGACCUAAGGUUUAUCAAUCCGUGGGAGGCAUAGGUCGAAGAUGGUCUUUCUCAGACAACCCUGCAACCAAAUAACAAAGAGUCUCUUUCGUAAAAUUGUAUAGGUGAAGAGUUGGUGAUACAAGUGUAAUAUGGAUGGUAGAUAUAGGUUUUUGUAAUCUGAAUUUAUAAAAACAGCAAGGUAACUAGUAACAAAACUGAGCAAAAAUGGUAUUGCAACGCUUGAAAACAAGGCCUAGGGUUCAUAGUUUCACUAGUGCUAAUUCUCUCAACAAUGAUAACAUAAUUAAAUCAUAUGGCAAUCCCUCAAUGUGCAACAAAGAAUCACUCCAAAGUUUCUAUUGGAGAACGUAGGACGAAAAUGUUCAUCAACCCCUAUGCAUAGGUUACCCCAACAUCACCUCUGGAAACCAUUAGUUGAUUGCCAAAAUGUCAGGACCCCGACUCGAUGCCACAUCGAUCUAGCAUGUAAUACCUCAUAUCACUUUGCGGCCUCACGCACGGUAUUCCCACGGGUGUCGUCUUACCUUUGCCCGGGACCGUUUGCGCCUUUUGGCACACGUAUAUGAUAGUGUCGCUAGCAUCCAUAUGGUAAAGAGCCCGGGCUGACAUGGCUAGUCGUAAACCCAAAGUGGCACAGACUUACAGGGACAGGCAUCCAUGACCCAGCAUCGAACGUGUCGGUCAUCAGCAAGUGAAUCCGGGCUGUAGCACUGGGCUAGUAGGACUCCGGUAAACCGGGCUGUAGUGGGCUAACAGGACUCCGGUAUCCAUCGCGUGACAUUUCCCCGAAGGGACAGACAUAGGAACGAAGAAGGACACAUGCCGGCCAGCCUAAGUGUUCCGGAGCAGUAGCAAGCUACCAUGGCUCGGUGGAAACACUAGGAGACAUUUCCCGGUAAGAGGGGCUACUAAGGAUAAACAACUAGAUAGUCAGAUCCCACACAUACCAAGCAUUUCAAUAACAUACACACAAUAUGCUCGAUAUGUGCAAAUACAACAUGGCAUCACAACAUGACUCUACGACUCAAGUAUUUAUUCAUUAGGCUCCGAGGAGUGAGAUAAUACAAACAUGGGUCUCAUGACCCAGCAUUCAGAGCAUACAAGUCAAACACAUGCGGAAGCUUAACAUGUCUGAGUACAGACAUCUACAAAUGAAAAAGGCUGAGAAGCCUGACUAUCUACUAGAUCCUGCCGAGGGCACAAGAUCGUAGCUGAGGUAACAAGCUAAACGUCGAAGACCACGCGGAACUACUAGCGAGAUGACGUCUCUCGGAAAAAACAUAAAAUAGGCAAACGUGAGUACAAAUGUACCCAGCAAGACUUACAUCAGAACUAACUACAUAUGCAUCUUUAUCAACAAAGGGGAUGGUGGAGUUAACUGCAGCAAGCCAGCUUUGACUCGGUGGCUAUCCUGAACUACGACUGCAAGUAACUCUUUUGAGGUGGCGCACACGAGUCCACAUAUUCACCAUAUCAAUACACCACUAUGGAUCCGCUCCCGUCUCCCUACGAGAACGCCAUCCAUAGCACUCACACUUAUCUUGCGUAUUUUAGAGUAUCCACUUACACUUAUCUAUGAACUGUUAUAAGCAACCCAGAAGUCCUUUACCGCGGACACGGCUAUUCGAAUAGAUGAUGUUAACCCUGCAGGGGUGUACUUCUUCAUACAUGUUUCCACCACUUAGCGUCUGCACACGACAUGUGCUCGGCAGACUUCAAGCGAAAGCCGACGUGGGUGUAGACCACGACCUACCUAAACACUCAAGUCUCUAGUCCAGGUUUAUCGCCUAUUCGGGUUCCAUCCAUGAGGAGAUCUGGCCGGAGUUUCGCUCACAGCCCCAAACAAUGUGUGCAGGGUUCCCGAGACACCAAACGGCCGCCCGGUACACCGUGCCACAUGCCUACCGCAUCACAGCCCACCCCUCCGGUCAGCGCUGCGCACGGCCUCCAGCAUACUACAAACACCAGAAACUACUUGCAACUCCUGGACAGAGGACAAGGGUGAAUAAGAAGUCGAGCGGGGUCAUAUUUCAGGGCCCAAUGCAUGGUAGUAGCUGAAUCAUGGAUCACAAACACAGAACUCAGUUCCUAAGGACGGCUUCAAUGAGACAACCCACCAUGUACUCCUACAUGGCCUCUCACCGAUACCUUUUACCAAAUCGUGUUCACACACUUAGCUCACACACAGUAGGACAUGCUCACACACCUCUGAUUCAUUCCCGACGAAUCAGACCUGACCCAACUCUAAGCAGUAGCAGGCAUGACAAACAAACAUGAAUGAGUAGGCACAACAGGGCUCAAGCAACUCCUACUCAUACUAGUGGGUUUCAUCUAUUUACUGUGGCAAUGACAGGUCAUGCAGAGGAUAAAGGGGUUCAGCUACCGCAGCAAGUAACAAAUGACUCGUUGUUGUCCUAAUGCAGUAAAAGAGAGCAGGGCGAGAGAGUAGGAUUGUAUCGGAAUGAACAAGGGGGUUUUGCUUGCCUGGCACUUCUGAAGAUAGCAUUGAGUCUUCAUCAGUGUCAACGAUCACAAUGUCGGAACAUCGUCUACCGAGAGGGGACAGGUACCGGCAACAGAGAAGAAAUACAAUCAAUGCAAUGCACAAUAUGAUGCAUGCUCAUGACAUGGCAAUAUGAGUGUGUUGGCCUAAUGCAACUACAACCAGAUGGAUUUGGGUCAUAUUGAGCCAAAGGUUCAAUCCCAAAUUCAAUUUAUGAAUUCAAAUAGCGCCUUAUCAUGUUUUGCACUAAACAGCAAGGUUAAGUUGUUUAAACAUGCAUGAAACCAGUGCAGAUGGAUAGAUUGGAUUUUUCUGAUCAUUUUUCAUAUAUAAUUUAUUUCAUUUGGAGUUACGGUUGAAUUUCUAUGAUUUUUAGAAGUUUAUACUAUUUUCUGGAAUUUCCUGAUUUAUUUUUAAACCAGAAAGUCACUUAUUGCGUCAGCACUGUGUCAUGCUUGCGUCAGCAAGUCAACAGCGCUGACCAGGUCAAACCUGACCAGUGGGGUCCACUGGUCAGUCUCAUAGGGCUGCGUUGGUCACUGACGUGUGGGUCCCGCUUGGUUUAAAUAAAACUGAACAGAAAUUAAACUGGUGUUAGUUAAGGGCAUGGGGCCCAGUAGUCAGUGAGAGAGGAAGUUAGUUAGCCUCGUCAUUAGCAGUUAACGACGUUGCCACGUCGGCUUGCCGGCGUUCAGCCGGCGACGACCAAAACUGCGGCGGGAGCUCACCGGAGUGGCGCUGCGAGCGGUUUUGGGCCAAGCCAAGGGCACCAGAGGGUUUCCCUUGCUCAUGCCCAUCCAAAGGAGGCACGCGGGAGGCGCGGGGUGGCCGGAGCUCGCCGGAGUGGCAGCCGCGGCGGCUGCCGGAGCUACGGGUUCGAGCGGCACGAGGCCACAGAGGACAGGAGGGCUGGCUAAGGGGCUCACCGAGCUCCUGAAGAUGCUAGGAGCACGGUGCCAUGCUCGAUUUUGAGCCUUACUGGCUGCAGUGACGGCGGCGACAUUGCCGGCGGCGUGGGGUUCUCGGCCAAGACGGGGCUAUAGCCUAGAGGUCGAAAGAGACCAGGGGAGAAGGGGAGGACGGCUCGGGGGCUCACCGUGAGUCCGUUUGGAGGGUCAGUGGGCUCGAGGGCGGCCGGAGUGCAGCGAAUCAACGGCGAGGGGCUCAGGUGCCCGAGGUUGGAGAUGACCGCGAUGACGAUGAAGCAGGGCCUCCUAGCGUCUUGUAGCUCGAUUGGGAGGAUGAGGAGGUUCCUGCGGUUCUUCUGGACUCGGCGGAAGGGUGAGGGGUGCCCGGUGGCCGCGGUGGUGCUCAUCGGCGGCGGCGGGUGUGUUCGGUGGCUGCGUGCGAGAGAGCUAGAGGAGGGGAGGAGCUCGGGGAGAGAGUGAGAGGUCUGGGGGGGUGUGUGGCUGUCUCCGUGGCGCUGGAAGGGCCUCGAGGGCGUGAGGCAGGCAAGGAGGAGGCCACGGCGUCGCCAGCGCUCGCCACCGAGCUGCUUCGGGGCGAGGGGAGGAAGAUGACAGGAAAAGGUGGGCUGGGCCGCGCUGGGCCGGUCCUGUUGGGCCACCAGGUAAGUGGACCAGGUGAGUACUGUUAUUUUUAAUUUUUCUGUUCUGUUACCCUUUUAUUUUUAUUUUGCCACUGUUUUCAAAUUCAAAAUAAUUUCUAACAGUGCCAAAACAUUCUGAAAUAUUUUAUGUUACCUCUCUGGACUAUUCCAAAAGUACAUAAAACAUUUCAAAGCAUUUGAAGAUAUAUUCAUUAUAUAUUAUGAAUAUAUCCCCAAAUUCAAAUAGAUUAUUGAUUUAAAUUCAGAGACCAAAUAAUUCCUUAAAAAUGUUCCAAAAUUUUGGUUUGAUAUAUAACUCUUGCCAAAAUUCACAAAACUAUUUUUAGGGCAUUUUGGAUUCACAGAAUGCAAUUUAAAAGGUGCUUGCCCUUCUUUUAAUUAGAUUUCUGAGGUUUCAACAAUCCUCAAUUCAAGUUUCAUUUGAAUUUAAACAUGAUGCUCACAUGGAAGCUGGCAUAGGUCAGGCCAGAACUAGGGAUGUGACACAAAACAUACAUCAAGUGGAUCAAUAGAGCAUUCCAUUGUCACCAUAGAUAUCCCAUCGCAAGACAUACAUCAAGUGUUCUCAAAUCCAAUACUCAAUCCAACAUAAGGAAGCCUCAAAGAGCAAGACCCAAUUCAUCACAAGAAGGUAGAGGGGGAGAAACACCAUAUAAUCAAACGAUAGUAACAAAGCUCGUGGUACAUCAAUAUCAUGCCAAAUCAAGAACACAAGAGAGAGAGAGAGAGACUAAGAUUAAACACAUAGCUACUGGUACAUACCCUCAGCCCCGAGGGUGAACUACUCCCUCCUCGUCAUGGAGACUGCCGGGAUGAUGAAGAUGGCCUCCGAUGAUGGUUUUCCCUCCGGCAGGGUGCCAGAACGGGCUCUAGAUUGAUUUUUCAUGUCUACAUAGGCUUGUGGCAGUGGAACUUCCGAUCUAGGGUUCUUUUGGGGGUUUUUUGUAUUUAUAAGAAUUUUUGGCGUUGGAAACAAGUCAGGGGGUGCUCGAAGGGCCCACAAGCUCCGGAGGCAUGCCAUAGGGGGUGGGCGCUCCCCUAGGCUUGUGGCCUCCUCGGUCACAUCCUGGCCCAGCUCCGGUGCUAUGGGGGUCUCCUUUGGUCCAUAAAAAUCACCGUCAAAUUUUAGCCCAUUCCAAGAACUUCUAAUUCUGCACAAAAAAUGACACCACGGUAGUUCUGCUGAAAACAACGUCAGUUCGGGUUAGUUCUAAUAAAAUAAUACCAAAACCAUAUAAAAUAGUUGCGAACAUGGCAUGAAUACUUCGUAAAUUAUAGACACGUUGGAGACGUAUCAGUGGUCUUGGCCUGCGCGGCUCCACGAGGUUGUCCUCUUAUUUGGUGGAGACGACCUGGGUGGCAGCAGGGGCCUUGCAGGGCGCGGCGUCAGCGGCUUUCACUAGGCGCCACCGGGUUCAAGGGUUGUUUGUCCCCGCGAUGUCUUCUAAUGCUGCCAUCCUCUCUCUCUCUCUCUCUCUCUCUCUCUCUCUCUCUCUCUCUCUUUCCUACUCAUCUAAGGAAAGAGGUCAGAUAUUCUCAGACUCAGUGCCCGAGAGAUCUUAGAUCCAAAGACCCCCUCUCUUCUUCUCCAGCUCCUUAGCCAUUGGCCGUGGCCUUUUGGGGUGCCACGGCCAAAAGGGCUCGUCGCUCAGGGGUCCGGUUGUCUUCAAGCAGUGGCGUUGCACAUUUGAUGAGCACCGCCUUAGAAGCCCACUGCUGAAAACAGAUGGGGAAGACUUAGACAAAUGUGAAACACGGAAUUAUUAUCGAACAUACGAGAUGAUGGUUACCUUGGAUGGGCCGCAUGUGGCGCUGUAGACGAUGUCUGGCCCGUCUUUAGGGAAUUUGUUCUGGGACAGCUCGAAGAGAGCCAUGCACAUCCCAUCGAUGGUGGUGUGAAAGAAGUUCCGUAGUGUUGGUGUAUCCUCGGGCUUAUAGAGCCACAUGGGGCUAGCCCAGAGCUGGAGUGGGAGGAUGUACCGAUGCAGUAUCACAUCCACUAGCUUGAACUUCUCCUUGAGGGCCCAGAUCCUCUCCUAGAGAGCGACAACGUCAUCCGGAUUACCCCAUUCCAGGCCUUGUUUCUGCCAGGACAUCAGCUUCCUCGGUGGUGCACCCAUGAAGGUAGGGGUCGCGGCAUGGCCCAGGAUCAGAGGUUCUAUGAUAUAGAACCACUCACACUGCCAGAUCUUCACACUCUUGAUGAAGGUUCCCUCCAGCCAGUCCCUCUUUUGGAGCUUGUUGAUCAUGGUGCCCCGCACUCAGUGAACUCUGCGCCGCUACUCUUCGGCUUGACGCAGAAGGUCUUCAGCCACAGGCCGAAGUGCGGCUCCACGCGCAGGAAUGCGUGACACACAAUGAUGAAUGUAUUGAGGUGCAUGAUGGAGUUCAGGGCUAGAUUAUGGAAAUAUAGCCCAUAUAAGACAAGGAUCCCCUGCAUAAAUGGUUGCUAGGGGAACCCCAGACCUCAGACAAGGUGGGGGACGAAGAUGACCUGCUCCAUAGGGUUGGGAGUGGGGACACAUUGGUCUGGCUCUAGGGCCCUAUAGGCAGUGUCGGCAGGGAUGUAUCCUGCCACGCCGAGCUCAUCAAUGGUGGCGUCGGUGACCUUGGAGGCCACCCACCUCACGUUCAAAUUUGCAUCGGCCAUUGGCACGAGACGCGGAAGCUUGGGGAAAUCUUUAGGUUUGAGAAUGGGAUUGGGGUGUGAAGGCUUGGCAGGUUUGGGUGCUAGAGCAGAAGGAGAUCAUGGAGAAAAGAUUCGACACUCCCUGCUCUUUAUAAGUAAAAAGAUAAACGUCCCCUCCAUUGUGUCAUACAAAUUGCCACGUUUCAGUUGGCCAUGCCAUUAUGGCCACGUUGGGUGAAGCAAUUGAUUGAUGAUAUCACCUAAACUGCGGGGCAUGAUCUCUGUUUAGAUACGACAUGAAAUGAUAGUGUUACCUCGAACAAUGAUUUGAAUAAGCAAUAACUGAUGUAUAUGGUGUCAUGGGUGGUGAUGCUUCAAAAAAAGUUGUCAGUAAUUGACUGAUGCAUAUGAUGUCAUGGGAGCCUCGACAGUCGCCGGAUCAAUCAUGGCUUCAUGGGAGAUGUUGACCACUGCAUCGGCCAAAACUUCAGAUGCCUCGCCCUAGGGGUUCUGCGCCUUGCUUGCCGGUUGUGCGUCCCGUUCUGGCUUCUUGAUCAGGCGCUCCUUCCUCAGCACCACCAGGGCGGUGCUGGCUGAGUGAGGGGCCGCUUCCAGAUAGAGUACCAAAGGCUCGAGAGGGUGUGGUGCCACCAUUACGGGUGGACUAGUUAGAUAUCUCUUGAGGUCCUGGAAGGCUACGUCUACCUCGGGGGUCCACUCAAAUGGCUCCUUCCUUUUCAUCAACUUAAAAAACAGGAGGGCGCGCUCCCCCAGCUUUAAAAUGAAGCGCCCAAGUGAGGUUACGCAGCUGGCCAGCUUCUACAUCUCCUUCAGGGUCUGUGGGGGGUUCAUAUCUUCUAUCGCCUUGACCUUCUUUGGGUUAGCCUCGAUCCCUCUGUGCGACACCAAGAAGCCUAGCAGCUUGCCGGAGGUGACCCUGAACACGCACUUCUCGGGGUUAAGCCGGAGAUCCACCGUGUGCAGGCUUGCGAACGUCUCCUCUAGAUCUUUUAUCAGAGUCCUGGCCUCCCAAGACUAUACCACUAUAUCAUCAACGUAGGCCCCUACGUUCCUCCCGAGCUGCGAACCCAGGGCGAUGUGCCUCAACCACUGGAAAGUUGCUCCAGUGUUGCAUAGCCCAAAGGGCAUGCAGGUCUAGCAGUAUACCCUGCAUGGGGUGAGGAAUGCCGUUUCCUCCACAUCCUCUAUGGCCAUCUUGAUCUGGUGGUAGCCGGAGAAGGCGUCCAGGAAGCACAACAGGUCACACUCAGCGGUGGAGUUGACGAUCUGGUCGAUGCAAGGGAGCGGAAAGGGAUCUUGAGGGCAGGUGUGAGUGUCAAAACCGGCGGAUCUCGGGUAGGGGUUCCCGAACUGUGCGUCUAGGCGGAUGGUAACAGGAGACAAGGGACACGAUGUUUUACCCAGGUUCGGGCCCUCUUAAUGGAGGUAAAACCCUACGUCCUGCUUGAUUAAUAUUGAUGAUGUGUGUUACAAGAGUAGAUCUACCACGAGAUCAAGGAGGCUAAACCCUAGAAGCUAGCCUAUGGUAUGAUUGUUAUUCGUCCUACGGACUAAAGCCAUCUGGUUUAUAUAGACACCGGAGAGGGCUAGGGUUACACAGAGUCGGUUACAAUGGUAGGAGAUCUACAUAUCCGUAUCGCCAAGCUUGCCCUCCACGCCAAGGAAAGUCCCAUCCGGACACAGGACGAAGUCUUCAAUCUUGUAUCUUCAUAGUCUUGGAGUCCGGCCGAUGAUGAUAGUUCGGCUAUCCGGACACCCCCUAGUCCAGGACUCCCUCGGUAGCCCCCGAACCAGGCUUCAAUGACGACGAGUCCGGCGCGUAUGUUGUCUUCGGCGUUUGCAAGGCCGGUUCUCCUUCACGCUCCAGGUGUUUGCCGGAUAGUGUCCGGUUGCUUCAUAAAUGUUGCGCUCCUUGGCUUCCACGUCCAAUAAUGGCCUUCUUCCACGUGUUGUAUGAAUGCGAAAAGCCAGGGUAUUCUUACGUUUUACCCCCUAGCUGCGCGAAUAAGCUGCCUAUAAGAGAGGCGAGGAUCCAGAUCCAAAUCACACCAUCCUCCUUCCGCAAGUACUCAUCGAGGCGCAUCUGACAAAAAAUCCAUUCCAACAUGGACAGUCGACGCGGCUCCUCUUCUCGCACUCCCAGUCCUCAGCCAGGAGAUUAGAGGAGAUGCUCAGUCCCGCAUAGCGAGUUAGUGAUGCUCCAAGUAGAGGGAUACCUUCCCCCGGCCUUUAUGGUUCCAGUUCGAGCCGGACUAGCCACCUACAAGGGUGGGAAGCAGGCGGAGAGCGUCCCCAAUCCCUCCAAAGGAGAGCGGGUAUGCUUUGUCCCCUACUUAAUAAGGGGAAUUGGAUUUCCUAUACAUCCGUUUCUCCGGGGGCUCCUGGAGUUCUAUGGACUCCAACUUCACCACCUCACGCCUGCCUCCAUUUUGCACAUCGCGGGCUUUGUAGCUCUUUGCGAGCUGUUCUUGGGCAUCGAGCCCCAUUUUGUGCUGUGGAAGACGCUGUUUUGCCUCGUACCCCGUUCUCAUGGGGGGUCGAUAUAUCAAGUGGGCAGAGCCGAAAUAUGGCGCAUCGCCGGGACCGGAUAUCUAUCUGGAACCCCGAAGAAGGCGUCCGAAGACUGGCCAUCGGAGUGGUUCUAUAUGGAAGACGCCCCGCUGCCGGAUCUAGUUCGGAUCGGCCUCCCGGAGUUUAGCAACGCUCCUCUGAAGAAACGCCUGAGUUGGCGCCCGCGGAGCCCUCAACAUGAAGAUGAUAGGAGCGUCCACUAUCUGAUGGGCCGGAUACGGCUACUAGCCCAUUCCGGAUUAACCAUGAUUGGAGUCAUGGCCACAUGCAUUAUGCGAGGGGUGCAGCCGCUCCAAUAUAGGGGCCACCCUAUGUGGGAUUUUAACGGGGAGAAUGACGCCACCCGUCAUGGCCGCACGGGGCCGGGAUCGGCCAUCGAUCUAGUGAAGAUCCUGUCUGGCUUGUACAAGGGGGAGAAGGACGACUUCCUCUGCACGAAUCCAUUGAAUGGAUUCUCCAUGAAUAACCCUCGGAGCUGGGUAAGCGGACGCUUAUAUAUAUGAUCCGUGCUUUCAAAGGUAAGUGUCUUACUUUAUGAUUUUGACGCAGGAAAUACACCGGGAUGUGGCGGGCAUAGAAAGCCCAACUCCACAACCCGAGGAUCCGGGAAGAUCCCUUGAUCAGGCCUCCGAAGAGGAUCCGUACAUAAAGGUGGAUUUGAUUGACGGGGUGUUCCACCAGCUCAGCAUAGGCAAUGCUUUAGUCGCCAUUACGGCUGACUACCCCGGUUUAUGUCCGGCUUCCCAGGUGAGUAUGACCGAAGUCCUGACACCGUUACUUUUUUAAUGCUUAUUUCUGACCACCGUGUACCAAUGGUGCUUGGCAGGAGGUGCCUUUACGGCAGGAAGCCGAGCCUGCGGCGACUGAUCAAACGAGGUCAGUGCGGCCUAGCAGGCGGAAGAGGAGUGCGGCGCGAAUCGAAACGUCGCCGCAAAGGUAUGGUGCACCAUUGUCUUUUAAGGGAAAGACUCCUGGGAGGCAUAUUAAUGCUCAUGAUUCUUCCAGGAGAAAGAGCGCUCGCCGGACUGAGUCCGGAGAGGGUGCCCACCAAGCCUCCGCCAGCCAGGCUCCAACGCCUGGUUCGGAGGGGGAGGCGAGCGCAAGGCAUGAUCCGGAUGCUCCUCCAACGAAGGAUGCCGACAGGUUGUCCGCCACCAGGUCUGAGGUGGACAGCGCCAUGAAUCACAGGCGCCGCCGGACAGUUCUUCGUGACGCGUGUUUCUCCCCUGAGGCGUUAAAUGCCCUUAAUGCAGGAGACGCGCACCUCCAUGCUGCUCAAGAUGGUUUAACCAGAGCCACGGAGCAGUAUGUAAAGGACAUACGGGUAAGGAAUUUUAAUAGUUAUAUAUGCCAGUAGCCCCCGAGACUUAAAAUAGUUAAACUAACUGAUUUAAGGAUCAUUUGUUAUGCAGGAUCUUACUGAGAAGAAUACCCACCUGUCUCAGGAGCUUCAAGAAUGCAAGGCCCAACUGGAGGCCGCACUAGCCGCUGUCGGGGGAGCCACGGAGACCCCCUUUGGUAAUUCAUAUUUUGAAAAAAGAAGUAGUUUAUGAAGUGCGGCGUGUGUAUAUAGUCUGACAAUAAUAUUGUAGAGGGUGCCGGACUAGAUCCGGACAAGCAACAGCUGCUGCACCAGUUGAAGGCCGGCGAGAGGGUGCUUAUGAGGGUGCAGCAGGAGAGGAACAAACUCCAAGAUGCCAACACCCAGCUGGGCGAAGAAUGUUCGGGUCCAGCUGUCUAACUCCGUAAAGGAGAAUCGGCGGCUUCAUCGUGACAUUUAUAGUAAGUGCUUGAGCAAACUCUUUUGAAAAGAAGAGUUCGGCAAGGAAGUCGAUUGACAGAAAUGUGUCUGUAGGUGUGCUCACGGGUCGUCCGGCGGAGGAGAUUCCUGGUUCCAUGGGAGACCCUCUUCCCGAGCUUCUGCUACUGCACGAACGUGUUCGGCAUGCGAUGAGCAGCGUCGUUCAGGCCUUGUGGCCUUCCGUCUCCCUACCUGAGGGCCUUGGAGGGCUUGCUGAGAAGCUUCAAGGAGUACGACGAUGUCUCCGUCUGUGGAAGAUGUCGGCCUGCCGUCAAGGUGCCAGGGAGGCCUGGGCCAUGGUGAAGACGCGGUACCCAAAGGCUGACCCAAACCACAUGGCCGAGGUCGGACCUGUGGGGCCCGAUGGGAAGGAGAUCCCUGUGAGCUUGAUGUACGGCCAAGUAGAGUUGGCCGCGAAAUAUUCCCAACAGGACUGUAAAUUAGACAGCCUGUUAGAUGGGAUUGAAGAGGAGUACAAUUAGUCUGUUUGACGAUGUAAUUUUAAAAUGACAUGUAAAAUGCCUUCUAGCCGGAUUGUAGAUCGUUUGCCUUUGCGGACCUUUUCGCUUCAACCUCGGGACCCAACAGUCCGGAGUGUGUCCGAAUACCCUUACGGUUAUAAAAUAACCGGGGCAUGCAUGGAUACAAGGCGUAGGGGUCAUAAUUGCUUUAUCAGACAAGUGCCCAACUAGCUAUGUUAUAUUACAUGGUUAGUAAGAAACAUCUUCCAGGGAGAAUAGUUCCGUUAAGGGUUCCUUUCCCUGGGAGGCAUGCCCUUAAGUGCAUGUCCGGACUGCGAAAAUAGCAGAAAAAGCAUCUGGGGGCAGAUAAAUAAGUAAGUAGUAAAUCAUCUUUCAGGUCACCGACCGAAUAUUCCCUUAAGAAUGCUAGCCUUCGGCUUCACCCAGUCUAAGGUACACAUCCGGCUGACCCGGCAGUAACAAUCGCAGAGGUGCUCCCUUUACCUCCUAGCCGAACAAUCGGGAACGUAGGGGUAAGCACAGGAGCCAGGCAACCCGGCUUGGACAAAACUUAAGUCAUAUCGAUGCAUAUAAUGGUGAUCAAAAGGUACAUGCGGAAGUGUGACACAUGUGGUGGGCAUGAAGCCCAUAUAAAUAAGCUUCUGUUAAACAAGCCCCCAGGUAUAACGAGUGUGAGUAGCACAUCGAGUUAGUGCGAACAAAGCGCAGAUUAGCCCUCAAGAGGUUUGUACUGAAAGAGGGAGGAAAAAGGAGGGAAAACAAAGACAGCAAAAAAACAUGAAAGGUGGACGGAGGAAAGAGACGAACCCUGAGUCCGGCGCUAGGCGUAAAAUCUUCGGAGACGGGCUGCGUUCCAUGGGUUUGGCUCGAGUCGGUUGUCAGAUGCGUUGCGUAGACCGUAUGCACCGCCGAUAAGGACUUGGUCGAUGAUGAAGGGACCUACCCAUUUGGGCUUGAGUUUGUCCUUUUUCUUGUCCGGCAGGCAUAGAACUAGCUCGCCAACAUUGUAAGUUUUGGCCCGUACUUCUCUGCUUUGAUAUCUUCGAGCCUGCUGUUGAUAGAAUGCGGAACAGGAUUUUGCCACGUCGCGCUCCUCCUCUAAGGCGUCCAAACUGUCCUGCCGAUCCAACUCGGCUUCUCUUUCCUCGUACAUGCGCACGCGAGGUGAGUCAUGAAUUAUAUCGCAGGGCAAAACUGCCUCAGCGCCGUAUACCAUAAAAAAUGGUGUGAAUCUGGUUGUGCGGUCUGGCGUGGUCCGCAGCCCCCAGAGUAUGGAGUCGAGCUCCUCUACCCAGUGCGUGUUAGAUUCCGUGAGGGACCCACUAAUCUGGGUUUAAUGCCGCUCAUGAUUAGACCAUUUGCUCGUUCCACUUGACCAUUAGUUUGAGGGUGGUAGACUGAAGCGUAGUCGAGCUUGAUGCCCAUGUUUUUGCACCAGAGUUUAACCUCGUCGGCCGUGAAAUUCGUGCCGUUAUCAGUGAUGAUGUUGUGGGGGACGCCAAAAUGGUGUACUACCCCGAAUAUGAAGUCUAUCACAGGUCCGGAUUCUGCCGUUUUAACCGGCUUGGCCUCUAUCCAUUUGGUGAAUUUGUCCACCAUGACCAAUAAGUAUUUGUGCUUGUGGGUUCCCCCUUUAAGGGGUCCAACCAUGUCAAGCCCCCAGAUCGCGAACGACCAAGUAAUGGGUAUAGUUUUGAGGGCGGUGGGUGGCAUGUGGCUCUGAUUAGCAAAGAGCUGGCAACCGACGCAUCGUUGGACUAAAUCCUGAGCAUCUGCCCGGGCGGUCGGCCAAUAAAAUCCUGUAUGGAAGGCCUUGCCUACAAGGGCCCGGGCGGCGGCGUGGUGCCCGCCGAGUCCGGCGUGAAUUUCAGCUGGGAGAUUUCGCCCUUCCUCUUCGGAGAUACACCUUUGAAGGACUCCGGUUGUGCUUUUCUUAUAAACUUCUCCCUCAUGGAUCUUGUAGGCUUUAGAUCGCCGAACUAUGCAGCGGGCCUCAUUUUGGUUUUUGGGAACUUCCUGCCUGAUUAAGUAGGCUAGGAAUGGUUCCGUCCACGGGGCAAUUACUGCCAGUAUUUCGUGGGCUGAAUCUGUUAUUUCAUUGGCUGAGCCACCGAUUGUGUCAGAAUGUUCUGCGUUAGGUGAUGCAGUUGGUUCUGGAUUGUUAUUUCCGGACUCCUCUUCCCAUAAUACGGAUGGCUUAAAGAGCCGCUCCAGGAAGAUGUUUGGAGGGACGGCGUUGUGUUUUGCACCGAUUCAUGCCAACACGGCUGCUGCCUGGUUAUUAUCCCGGGCUACAUGGUGCAGUUCGAGUCCUUCGAACCAGGCUGACAUUUUUAGGACAGCGUUACGGUAGGCUGCCAUUUUCGGAUCCUUGGCGUCAAAGUCUCCAUAUACUUGGGAUAUUGCGAGGUAUGAAUCCCCGCGCGCCUCUAGGCGUUGAAUACCCAUGGAGAUUGCCAUCCGGAGGCCAUGUAGAAGGGCCUCGUAUUCGGCUGCAUUGUUGGAGUCCGUGUACAUUAUUUGAAGCACGUAUUGGACUAUGUCUCCGGUUGGGGACGUCAAGACGAUGCCAGCCCCCAAGCCAGCCAACAUUUUGGAGUCGUCGAAAUGCAUGAUCCAAUUGGAGUAUGCGCCGUACUCUUUAGGGAGUUCGGCUUCGGUCCAUUCGGCGAUGAAGUCAGCCAGAACUUGCGACUUGAUAGCUCGCCGUGGUUUGUAGGUUAUAUCAAAUGGUAAGAGCUCAAUGGCCCAUUUUGCAAUCCUGCCCAUCGCAUCGCGAUUGUUUAUAAUGUCGUUGAGAGGUACUUCGGAGGCCACUGUUAUGGAACACUCUUGAAAGUAGUGUCGCAGCUUCCGGGAUGCCAUGAACACUACAUAUGCUAUCUUUUGAUAGUGUGGGUACCGGGACUUGCAUGGAGUUAAGACAGUGGAUACGUAGUACACUGGUUUUUGAAGAGGGAAUUUGUGCCCUUCUGUUUCUCGUUCGACGACGAGUACCGCGCUGACAACUUGAUGUGUUGCUGCGAUAUAUAACAACAUCGGUUCGCCUAGGUUGGGCGCGGCCAGGACCGGAUUUUUUGCCAAUACGGCCUUAAUUUCUUCGAGUCCGGCUCUGGCAGCAUCCAUCUAUUCAAAAUGUUCGGUGCGCCGGAGGAGGCGAUAGAGGGGCAGUGCCUUUUCUCUCAAAUGGGAGAUGAAGCGGCUUAGAGCCACCACGCAUCCAGUUAGUUUUUUGUAUUUGCUUGAGGUCUUUUGGAAUAUCCAAUUGUGACAGAGCUCGGAUCUUGGUUGGGUUUGCUUCAAUUCCUCUACCGGAUACAAUGAAGCCCAAGAGCUUUCCGGCUGGUACGCCGAAAACACAUUUUUUCGGGUUCAGCUUAAUGUCAUAUGCUCAGAGGUUGUCGAAUGUCACCCUCAAGUCGUCUAAUAGAGUUUCGACGUGUUUGGUCUUGACGACCACAUCGUCUACGUGUGCCUCUACUGUUUUGCCUAUCUGGGUGGCCAGACAUGUCUGAAUCAUGCGCUCAUAUGUUGCGCCGGCGUUUUUGAGUCUGAAUGGCAUUGUGUUGAAGCAGAAUGGUCCGUAUGGAGUAAUAAAUGCCGUUGCGGCCUGGUCUUUUUCCGCCAUCUUGAUUUGAUGGUAUCCGGAGUAUGCAUCGAGGAAGCAAAAUGAAUCGUGCCCUGCGGUAGCAUCGAUGAUUUGGUCGAUGCGAGGGAGAGGGAAAGGGUCCUUUGGACAGGCCUUGUUAAGGUCUUUGAAAUCGACACAAAGGCGCCAGGAUUUGUCCUUUUUUGGUACCAUUACCAGGUUGGCUAGCCAGUCCGGAUGUUUUAUAUCUCUGAUGAAUCCGGCUUCUAAGAGUUUGGCUAGCUCCUCUCCCAUUGCAUGUCUUUUGGGUUCGGAAAAUCGCCGAAGAGCCUGUUUGACUGGCUUGAAUCCUUUUAGGAUACUUAGGCUGUGCUCUGCCAGCCUGUGUGGGAUUCCUGGCAUGUCUGAAGGGUUCCAGGCGAAAAUGUCCCAAUUUUCCCGAAGGAAUUCUUGUAGUGCGGCUUCUACAUCAGGAUUUAAUUAUGCCCCAAUGGAGGCCGUCUUUGUGGGGUCUGUUGGAUGGACCUAGAAUUUGACUAUUUCGUCUGCUGGUUUAAAAGAGGUGGACUUAGACCUCUUAUCGAGUAUCACAUCGUCCCUAUCCACCGUGGAGCACAGCGCAGUGAGCUCCUCUACCUCUAGGGCUUCGGAUAAUGCCUCUAGGGCCAGUGCGGCUGUCUUAUUUUCAGCGCGGAGUGCUAUAUCUGGAUCACUAACGAGAGUGAUUAUUCCAUUGGGCCCGGGCAUUUUGAGCUUCAUGUACCCGUAAUGGGGUAUAUCUUGGAAGAUUGUGAAUGCCUCUCGUCCUAACAAGGCGUGAUAUCCGCUGCCGAAUCGGGCCACUUGGAACGUGACCUCUUCGGACAUGUAGUUGUCCGGCGAGCCGAACACUACGUCUAGUGUGAUUUUUCCUGUGCAGCAUACUUCUCGACUAGGGAUUAUUCCCCUGAAGGUUGUGCUACUUCGCUCAAUGUGGCUCCAGUCAAUUUCCAUUUUUUGAAGGGUUUCCUCAUAGAUGAGGUUUAAUCCGCUACCGCCAUCCAUGAGUACCUUGGUAAGACGAAAGCCGUCCGCUAUCAGACUGAGGACCAAUGCGGCUGGUGCUCGAGCUGUUCGAAAUUUAGGUGCAUCACUGGCAUUGAAGGUGAUAGCUGUGUCGCUCCAUGGAUUCGUUGUUGCUACUUGGUAGACUUCGGCGAGGCUGCGGAUUGUUCGCUUCCGCAUGUUAUUUGAUGCGAAAGUCUCGAAGACUGUUAAUACCGUACUGGUACUGUUGGGCUGGUUGUCCAGGGCUAGAAAGCCUUCGCCACUUUUGGCCACCUGCUGUAGUAUCCAACAUGCUCGAAGGCUAUGUGUUGGAGUGGCGCCCUCCGUACUGUGGAUUUUGCAGGGUCCGUUGAGCCAUCCCUCCAGUACGGUUUCGUGCCCUUUAGGAGGGUUUUGCCUUUUGGUUUUUAAUCCAGGUGCUUGAGUAUGACGCACCCUUUUAUUUUGGACUGGGGUUGUAUUCAGGGCCGGAUUGUCCCAAAACCUGGUUAUAGUUUUCCAGGCGCUCUCCAUCGCACAGUAUUUUUCCUCCUGGUUAUGGAGGGAUCGGGAAUCCGGACAUAGCUGGUUUUUAACAUAGAAGAAGAGUCGUCGCAUUGUUCCUCUACCACAAGAACGUGGUGGGUAGCCUGGGGAGAGUUAAUUUCUCUCAGAUCGGUUUUAAGACCAAUCUGAUCGUAGUCUGUAGCGACUCCCAAGGUGGCGAUGCGAUCCAAGAGCUCGUUUACGGAGGAGAGCUCAAUCGGAUCUAGCUGCUCGGCGAAUUCCGAGCUGACGUGAAGAUCGCUUUUGAUGACCUGAGAGGUCAUCAUCGGAGCGGUGGCCGAACAGGCGGUCAUAAGAAAACCACCUAGCCGGAUAGUUUGGCCGGCGGCCAAAGCUCCCUUGACGACGGCGCCGUCUUUAAAGACGGGAAAAGGCAUCCUUCCUGAUUGCGACGGCACAGAGGAACUCUCAAUGAAAGCACCAAUGUCGGUGUCAAAACCGGCGGAUCUCGGGUAGGGGGUCCCGAACUGUGCGUCUAGGCGGAUGGUAACAGGAGACAAGGGACACGAUGUUUUACCCAGGUUCGGGCCCUCUUGAUGGAGGUAAAACCCUACGUCUUGCUUGAUUAAUAUUGAUGAUGUGUGUUGCAAGAGUAGUUCUACCACGAGAUCAAGGAGGCUAAACCCUAGAAGCUAGCCUAUGGUAUGAUUGUUGUUCGUCCUACGGACUAAAGCCAUCCGGUUUAUAUAGACACCGGAGAGGGCUAAGGUUAUACAGAGUCGGUUACAAUGGUAGGAGAUCUACAUAUCCGUAUCGCCAAGCUUGCCCUCCACGCCAAGGAAAGUCCCAUCCGGACACGGGACGAAGUCUUCAAUCUUGUAUAUUCAUAGUCUUGGAGUCCGGCCGAUGAUGAUAGUUCGGCUAUCCGGACACCCCCUAGUCCAGGACUCCCUCAGCAGGCCUUGUUGAGGUUGGUGAAGUCGACACACAUGCACUCCUUCCCUCCUUUCUUGGGUACGAUGAUGGGGUUCGCCAGCCACUCUGGGUAUUGCACCUCUCUGAUGACCCCUGUGGCUUGUAGCUUACGGGUUUCUUAGACGAUGAAGGCCUGCUUCUCGGUGGACUGUCGCCGAGCCUUUUGCUUCACCGGCUGCACAUUUGGGCAUACCCUCAGGUGGUGCUGGAUUAUCCCCCUUGGGACCCCGGCCAAGUGUUUCGGUUCCCAGGCGAAUACAUCCUUGUUGGCUCACAAAAAGUUGAUCAAUGCCUCCUCUUGAUCGUGUGGGAGGCCAGUCCCUAUGGUGAAGGUGGCGCUAGCCAUCCCAUCCUCGUAGACCAGCACUUGCUUCAUCUCGGCUCGGUCCUGAGAGAACAACUGCUUCUUCUUGGCAGGCGCCGCUUUUGGGGCCUCCUGGCCCUUCUUCUCUCCAGGUAGCACGGUCGCGACCGCCUUGAAGGCGAGCUUGAGGGCCAGCAGCGCGCCUUUGGUGUCCCCCGCCACCGUCAGGACACCAUUGCAGCCAGGCAUCUUCAUGAGGUUAUACGCGGGGUGGGUCGCAGCCAUAAACUAGGCCAAGGCUGGGUACCCUAGAAUGGCAUUAUAUGGCUGGCUGAUCUUGGCGAUGUCGAAGUCGAUGAGCUCGGUGCGGUAGUUGUCGCGGGUCCCGAAGGUGAAAGGGAGACGGAUCUGCCCCAGGGGCCUGGCUGAGCCGUCGCAGACUCCGAAGAACGGCUUGGAGGGGCGGAGCCGGCUGGGCGGCACGUGGAGCAGGCCGAACGCCUCCGGGGAGAGCAUGUUGAGGCCGACCCCGCCGUUGAUGAGGGUCCUAGUGAUCGCCAUGUGACAGAUGGUGGGGGUGUAGAGCAACGUGAGUCCGCCUGCCCCCGUAAUGGAGGCAGGGAGAUCUUCAGGGCCGAAGGUGAGGUCAGCUUGGGGCGCCGCCCAACCCGGGGGAGCCUCCGAGCCCGCCUGAGUGUUUCUUGCCCGUUGGUAGAACUGCUUGAUGUGGCGGUCGGUGAGUGGCGCCUGUGAGCCACCCAGGAGAGCCGCGGCGACCGGGGGAGCUGGCGCCGCGUAGUGGGCGAGGAAGAGGUCGCGCAGCUCCUCCCAUGAGGCCAUGGAAGAUGCGGGCAUGUUGAGGAGCCAAGCAGACGGUGCGCCCACAAGGGCCAUGGGGAACUAGUUGGCCUUCACCUUGUCAUCUCCACCAGCCGCCCAAACUGCUUCCUCAUAUGCCUGAGGGAAGGGGGCUGGAUCUACCGCACCAUCAUAGCACGGCGGCAUCUCUAGUUGGAACUUGGGCGGCCACUGCACCUACCGCAGGGAGAGAGUGAAGCAGCGCAGCCCUGGCGCUUCUCCAGGAACAUGCGCCGACGGGGCCGACGGAGGAGCGCCUGCCAUGGGGGUCGGCGGCACGAUCUAGAGGUCGAUGAAGAGGAUUGCGACGCACCCCUACCGGGCGCGCCUAAUGUCGGAUUUAGGGAUCCGGCAACCCUUGAGAGGUUUGAACUCUAGGGUGCGUGCGGAUAUCUCAACCUGCCCAGCCUGCCUACUCGCGAUCCUCCCUAUCCUAGUGCGUCGAGCUUGUAGAGACACAAAGACACAGAGAUUUAUACUGGUUCGGGCCACCAUUGUGGUGUAAUACCCUAAUCCAGUGUGGUGUGGUGGAUUGCCUCGAGGGGCUAUGGAUGAACUAGUACAAAGGAUGAACAAGCCUGGGGAGGUGAGGUGUUCUUGAGCUGGUGUGGUGCUCUCGUUGGAAUGGAUAUCCCCCUCCUAUGGUGGUGGCUAAGUCCUAUAUAUAGUCGCCUUGGUCCUCUUCCCAAAUAUGAGCGGGAAGGGAUUCCACAAAGGCGGGAUUUGAAAGGGGACAAGUAGUAUAGUCUAUCGUGACAAAAGUAGUCUUCGCCUGCAAAAAGCCUCUUGUCGUGAAGCUGCGGUGGGCUCGGUGGUGACCUCCGUCCUGCCGUCCUGGCGGUCUUGGUCUUGUUGCACAAGAAUGGAAACCUUUUGCUGAUUCCUCGGGACUCCACGCCUUUGGCUUGCCUCCCUUGCACCAAAGAGGAAACCUGCGCUCUGCACCCGCCUGGCGCUCGCCUGGCCUUGGUCGUCACGGCUCACGUCAGCUGAGCCUCAUGAGAUAGCUGCAUAGAACUCUCCGCCCCUCAGGAGCCCUCCUGAGGAGGCCAACUCCUUCGGGGGUCUUGGCAUCGUCUGCCUCACGAGUCAUGGCCCCUCGCGAGGGUCUCAUGUUGUUGAUGUUGAAGCUGGGCCGUACCAGGCCGUCGACGGAGCCACGCGGUGGGACGCAGGCAAGCAGGACUGGAUACCCCCAAGUCCAGGACGCCGACAAAAAUCAUUAGGGGUAAGAGGUGCAUCAUUCUUGGGAAUUAGUGUGAUAAAUGAAGUAUUUAUACUCUCAAGAGAGAUAUUCCCAGCAUGAAAAGCAUGAAUGAGAUGUCUGACAUCAGUUCCUAUGAUGUCCCAAAAAGCUUUUAAAAUGUCAUUAUUAAAUCCAUCAGGCACAGGAGACUUGUCAGUAGGAAGUUCUUUGACAACAUUAUUAAUUUCAUCAUUUAUAAAAGGUCUUUCAAUGUCUCUGAAAAUAUCUGGGCUCCUCUGCUGUCCAAGUAGGUUUUGCAGAUCAAAAUGCAUGGAGUGCCCCUUGAUACGUCCAUUUUUCAUCAUGCUUUUAUAUCGAUAUUUAUUGCAUUAUGGGCUGUUGUUACACGUUAUGUCACAAUACUUAUGCCUAUUCUCUCUUAUUUUACAAGGUUUACAUGAAGAGGGAGAAUGCCGGCAGCUGGAAUUCUGGGCUAGAAAAGGAGCAAUUAUUAGAGACCUAUUUUGCACAACUCCAAAAGUCCUGAAACUCUACGAAAGAUGUUAUUGGAAUUAAUAAAAAAUAUUGGGCGAAGAAAGUACCAAAGGGGGCCCACACCCUGGCCAUGAGGGUGGGGGUGCGCCCUACCCCCUGGGCGCGCCCCCCUGCCUCGUGGGCCCCCUAGCAGGCCUCCGAUGACCAUCUUCUGCUAUAUGAAGUCUUUUACCCGGGAAAAAAUCAUAGGCAAGCUUUCGGGAAGAAACUCCGCCACCACGGGGCGAAACCUUGGCGGAACUAAUCUAGGGCUCUGGCGGAGCUGUUCUGCCAGGGAAACAUCCCUCCGGGAGGGGGAAAUCAUCAUCAUCAUCAUCACAAUCGAUCCUCUCAUCGGGGCGGGGUCAAUCUUCAUCAACAUCUUCACCAGCACCAUCUCCUCUCAAACCCUAGUUCAUCUCUUGUAUCCAAUCUUUGUCCCAAAACCUCAGAUUGGUACCUAUGGGUCACUAGUAGUGUUCAUUACUCCUUGUAGUUGAUGCUAGUUGGUUUAUUUGGUGGAAGAUCAUAUGUUCAGAUCCUUUAUGCAUAUUAAUACCCCUCUGAUUAUGAACAUGAAUAUGAUUUGUGAGUAGUUACAUUUGUUCCUGAGGAUAUGAGAGAAGUCUUGCUAUAAGUAGUCAUGUGAAUUUGGUAUUCGUUCGAUAUUUUGAUGAGAUGUAUGUUGUCUCUCCUCUAGUGGUGUUAUGUGAACAUUGACUACAUGACACUUCACCAUUGUUUGGGCGUAGAGGAAGGCAUUGGGAAGUAAAAAGUAGAUGAUGGGUUGCUAGAGUGAUAGAAGCUUAAACCCUAGUUUAUGUGUUGCUUCGUAAGGGGCUGAUUUGGAUCCAUAUGUUUCAUGCUAUGGUUAGGUUUACCUUGAUACUUCUUUUGUAGUUGCGGAUGCUUGCAAUAGGGGUUAAUCAUAAGUGUCAUUCUUGUCCAAGAAAGGGCAGUACCCAAGCACCGGUCCACCCACAUAUCAAAUCAUCAAAGUAACGAACGUGAAUCAUAUGAGCGUGAUGAAAACUAGCUUGACGAUAAUUCCCAUGUGUCCUCAGGAGCGCUUUUCUAUACAUAAGAAUUUGUCCAGGCUUGUCCUUUGCUACAAAAGGGAUUGGGUCACCCUGAUGCAAUUUAUUUACUUUCAUUACUUGUUACCCGUUUCGAAUUACCUUAUCACAAAACUAUCUGUUACCGAUAAUUUCAGUGCUUGCAGAGAAUACCUUACUGAAAACCGCUUGUCAUUUCCUUCUGCUCCUCGUUGGGUUCGACACUCUUACUUAUCGAAAGGACUACGAUAGAUCCCCUAUACUUGUGGGUCAUCAAGACUCUUUUCUGGCGCCAUUGUCGGGGAGUGAAGCGCCUUUGGUAAGUGGAACUUGGUAAGGAAAAAUUCAUAUAGUGUGCUGAAAUUUGCUGUCACUUAUUACUAUGGAACAUAAUCCUUUGAGGGGCUUGUUCGGGGUAUCUUCACGCCGACCAAUAGAGCAAAGAGUUGCUCCUCAACCUACUGAACCUACUAAGAAUGUUUACUUUGAAAUUCCUUCGGGUAUGAUAGAGAAACUGCUAGCUAAUCCUUUUACAGGAGAUGGAACAUUGCAUCCCGAUUUGCACCUAAUCUAUGUGGAUGAAGUUUGUGGAUUAUUUACGCUUGAAGGUAUGUCCGAGGAUGUUAUCAAUAAGAAGGUCUUCCCUUUAUCUUUGAAGGGAGAGGCAUUGACAUGGUUUAGGCCAUGUGAUGAUAUGGGAUCAUGGAACUACAACCGAUUGAAAUUGGAAUUUCAUCAGAAGUUUUAUCCUAUGCAUCUUGUUCAUCGUGAUCGUAAUUAUAUAUAUAAUUUAUGGCCUCAUGAAGGAGAAAGCAUCGCUCAAGCUUGGGGGUGGCUUAAGUCAAUGUUAUAUUCAUGGCCCAAUCAUGAGCUCUCAAGAGAAAUGAUUCUUCAAAAAAUUUAUCCUCGGCUUUCUCUCAACACUCGCUCCAUGCUCGAUACUUCUUCUACUCGUUAUUUUAUGAUGAAGACUAUUGAAUUUAGAUGGGAUUUAUUGGAAAUAAUUAAUGGCAACUCUGAAGAUUGGGAUCUCGACGAAGGUAAGGAGCCAGGUAUGACACCUAAGUUUGAUUGUGUUAAAUCUUUUAUGGAUACCGAUGUUUUCCAUGAAUUUAGCACUAAAUAUGGACUUGACUCUGAUAUAGUAGCUUCUUUCCAUGAAUCAUUUGCUACUCAUGUUGACCUCCCUGAGGAGAAGUGGUUUAAAUAUAAUCCUCCCAUUGAAGUAAAAGUAGUUGCACCUAAUAAAGUUGAGGAAAGCAAUAUCACUUAUAAUGAUCAUGUUGUUCCUACUACCUAUAUUGAGAAACCACCUUUCCAUGUUAGGAUAAAGGAUCAUGCUAAAGCUUCAACUAUGGUUCAUAAGAGUAAUACUAGAACACCUACACCACCUGAGCAAAUUAAAGUUGAACCUAGUAUUGAUAUGGUUAAAGAUCUCUUGGCUGAUAAUUAUGAUGGGCAUGUUAUUUAUUUCUGUCAUGAAGCUGCUAGAAUUUCUAGACCUGAUACUAAAAAUAAACAUAGACCUGUUGUAGGCAUGCCUGUUAUUUCUGUUAAAAUAGGAGCUCAUUGUUAUCAUGGCUUAUGUGAUAUGGGUGCUAGUGCUAGUGCAAUACCUCAUUCCUUAUACAAAGAAAUUAUGCAUGAUAAUGCACCUACUGAGAUAUAAGAGAUUGAUGUUAAAAUUAAGCUUGCCAAUAGAGAUACUAUUUCACCAAUUGGGAUUGUUAGAGAUGUUGAAGUCUUGUGUGGGAAAGUUAAAUAUCCUGCUGAUUUUCUUGUUCUGGGUUCCCCACAAGAUAGUUUUUGUCCCACAUAUUUGGUAGACCCUUCUUGAAUACUGUUAAUGCUAAGAUAGAUUGCAAAAAGGAUAUUGUUACGAUUGGUUUAGGGGAUAUGUCUCAUGAGUUUAAUUUUGCUAAAUUUCGUAGACAACCCCAUGAUAAAGAAUUACCUAGUAAUGAUGAAAUUAUUAGUCUUGCUUCUAUUGCCGUGCCUCCUAAUGAUCCUUUAGAACAAUAGUUGCUAGACCAUGAAAAUGAUAUGUUUAUGAAUGAAAGAAGGGAGAUAGAUGAAGCAUUCUUUAAACAGGGACCUAUUUUGAAACACAACUUGCCUGUUGAAAUUCUAGGGGAUCCUCCACCACCCAAGGGUGCUCCCGUGUUUGAGCUUAAAGCACUACUUGAUACUCUUAAAUAUGCUUAUCUUGAUGAAAAGAAGAUAUAUCUUGUUAUUAUUAGUUCUAACCAUUCAGAGCAGGAAGAGGAGAAAUUAUUGAAAACUCUAAAUAAGCACCUUGCUGCUAUUGGAUAUACUCUUGAUAAUCUUAAGGGCAUUAGUCCCACUCUAUGUCAACACAAAAUAAAAUUGGAGAAAGACGCCAAACCAGUUGUUGAUCACCAACGACGGUUAAAUGCUAAGAUGAAAGAAGUGGUAAGAAAAGAAAUACUAAAGCUCCUGGAGGCAGGUAUAAUUUGUCCCGUUGCUGAUAGUUAGUGGGUAAGUCAUGUCCAUUGUGUCCUUGAGAAGGGAGGUCUUACUGUCGUUCCUAAUGAUAAAGAUGAAUUGAUCCCACAAAGAAUUGUUACAGGUUAUAGGAUUGUAAUUGAUUUCUGCAAAUUAAAUAAAGCUACUAGAGAGGAUCAUUACCCUUUGCAUUUUAUUGAUCAAAUGCUUGAAAGAUUAUCCAAACACACACAUUUUUGCUUUCUGUAUGGUUACUCUGGUUUCUCUCAAAUACCUGUGUCAAAAGAGGAUCAAGAAAAGACCACUUUUACUUGACCUUUCGGUACUUUUGCUUAUAGACGUAUGCCUUUUGGUCUAUGUAAUGCACCUACUCCCUUUGAAAGAUGCAUGAUGGCUAUAUUCUCUGACUUUUGUGAAAAGAUUGUUGAGGUUUUCAUGGAUAAUUUCGCCGUUUAUGGAUCUUCUUUUGAUGAUUACUUGAGCAACCUUGAUCGAGUUUUGCAGAGAUGCUAAGAUACAAGUCUUGUCUUUAAUUGGGAGAAGUGCCACUUUAUGGUUAAAGAAGGCAUUGUCUUGGGGCAUAAAAUUUCUGAAAGAGGUAUUGAAGUUCAUAAAGCUAAAAUUGAUGCUAUUGAAAAUAUGCCAUGUCCCAAGGACAUUGAAGGUAUAAGAAGUUUCCUUGGUCAUGCCGGUUUUUAUAGGAGGUUCAUUAAGGACUUCUCUUUAAUUUCUAGGCCUCAGACUAAUCUCUUACAAAAAGAUAUGCCUUUUGUCUUCGAUGAUGAUUGUGAAGAAGCAUUUGAAAUACUUAAGAAAGCUUUGAUUUCAGCACCUAUUGUUCAGCCACCUGAUUGGAAUUUACCCUUUGAAAUUAUGCGUGAUGCUAGUGAUUAUGCCGUAAGUGCUGUUCUAGGACAAAGAGUUGAUAAGAAACUAAAUGUUAUUGAAUAUGCUAGUAAAACUCUACACAGUGCCCAGAGAAAUUAUGCUACUACUGAAAAAUAAUUUUUAGGAGUUGUAUUUGCUUGUGAUAAGUUCAGACCUUAUAUUGUUAUUCUAAAGUAACUGUUCACACUAAUAAUGCUGCUAUUAAAUAUCUUAUGGAAAAGAAAGAUGCUAAACCUAGACUUAUUAGAUGGGUUCUCUUGCUACAAGAAUUUGAUUUGCAUAUUAUUGAUAGAAAGGGAGCUGAGGACCCUGUUGCAGACCACUUUUCUAGGUUAGAGAAUGUUCUUGAUGACCCACUACCUAUUGAUGAUAGCUUUCCUGAUGAACAAUUAGCUGUCAAAAAUGCUUCUCGUACUCCUCCUUGGUAUGCUGAUUAUGCUAAUUACAUUGUUGCUAAAUUUAUACCACCUAGUUUCACAUACCAGCAAAAGAAAAAGUUUUUCUAUCAUUUAAGACAUUACUUCUGGGAUGACCCACACCUUUAUAAAGUAGGAGUAGAUGGUGUUACUAGACAUUCUGUACCUGAGCAUGAACAGGAACAGAUCCUACGCAAGUGUCACUCGAGGCUUAUGGAGGACACCACGCUGGAGAUAGAACUGCGCAUAAGGUAUUGCAAUCCGGUUUUUAUUGGCCUACUCUCUUCAAGGAUGCUCGUAAUUUUGUCUUGUCUUGUGGUGAAUGUCAAAGAAUUGGUAAUAUUAGUAGACGUCAAGAAAUUCCUAUGAAUUAUUCUCUUGUUCUUGAGCCAUUUGAUGUUUGGGGCUUUGAUUAUAUGGGACCGUUUACUUCCUCUAAUGGGUAUACACAUAUUUUAGUUGUUGUUGAUCAUGUUACGAAGUGGGUAGAAGCUAUUCCAACUAGUAGUGCUGAUCAUAACACCUCUAUUAAGAUGCUUAAAGAAGUUAUUUUUCUGAGGUUUGGAGUCCCUAGAUACCUAAUUACUGAUGGUGGUUCACAUUUUAUUCAUGGUGCUUCUCGUAAAAUGCUUGCUAAAUAUGAUGUUAAUCAUAGAAUUGCAUCUCCAUAUCACCCACAGUCUAGUGGCCAAGUAGAACUGAGUAAUAGAGAGCUCGAAUUAAUAUUGCAAAAGACUGUUAAUAGAUGUAGAAAGAAUUGGUCCAAGAAACUUGAUGAUGCAUUAUGGGCUUACAGAACUGCAUAUAAAAAUCCUACGGGUAUGUCUCCAUAUAAAAUGGUUUAUGGAAAAGAAUGUCACUUACCUCUCACACUGGAACAUAAGUCAUAUUGGGCCAUUAAAGAGCUCAAUUAUGAUUUCAAACUUGCCGAUGAGAAGAGGUUAUUUGACAUUAGCUCACUUGAUGAAUGAAGAACUCAAGCCUAUGAGAAUGCCAAAUUGUUUAAAGAAAAAGUUAAAAGAUGGCAUGACAAAAGGAUACAAAAGCGUGAGUUUAAUGUAGGAGAUUAUGUGUUGCUAUUCAACUCUCGUUUAAGAUUUUUUGCAGAAAAACUCCUCUCUAAAUGGGAAGGGCCUUACGUUAUCAAGGAGGUCUAUCGGUCCGGUGCCAUAAAAAGCAACAACUUUGAAGGCACAAAUCCGAAGGUGGUGAACGGUCAAAGAAUCAAACAUUAUAUCUCAGGUAAUCUUAUAAAUGUUGAAACUAAUGUUAUUGAAACUGUAACCCCGGAGGAAUAAAUAAGGGACACUUUCCAAAACAUUUCAGACUCCGAAAAGGAAUAGGUAUGUGGUACGGUAAGUAAACCGUCUCCAAAACAGUUCAAAUAGCAAUUUUUCUUCGAUUUGGAAUAUUUAAGAAAAUAGGAAAAUAAGAAGUAGUCCGGGAAGGACAUGAGGCAUCCACGAGGGUGGAGGACGCGCCCUACCCCCCCCUGGGCGCGCCCCUGCCUCGUGGGCACCUCGUGUGCUCUCCGGACUCCAUUUUCUUGCACGAUACUUCUUUUGGUCGGUAAAAAUUCAUUCUAUAAUCUCGUGAAGGUUUUGACCAUCGUAUCAUGCAAAUAUCAUUUGUCUUUGUUUCAAGCUAUUUUUUCUGACAUAUCUAGAUCACCAUAGCAUCUUCAAGCGCCCCCAAGGACAAGUUUUUUGAGAAGGUUAUCAACCCCUACCUCGCGGAGGUGCUGCAACACCCUAAAAUCAUUGAGAUGCUUGAGGGGGUGCUGCACAUCCUGCGAUGUUGAGGGACCAAGGAGGACCGGAAGUGUUGUGACAAGACUUGAAGCAAUGGAACAACAAGUAUUCAAGUGCCAAGGGAUGGUGGAUCGCGGGCUCAAAGCCAACCAGAUGAUGAUCGCGGAGUUCACCAACAACCACAAGCUGGAUGCCAAGAACAUUGGGGAGACCAUUUUCAAGCUUCAUGAGAAAAUCGAGCACCUCCAAGCCCAGAUCUAUGACCUGCAAAACCAAAACUGUGAGUAUGAAUAUAGAUUCAAGAGGAUGAGUUUGGCUGCAGAUUUGAGGAUCCCGGAGACUCGAUCAUCCUUCUAUGAUGGUGAGCCUAUGCCUUGGAAGAUGGAUGACAAGCCUACAUCAUCAACAACUCCAUCAUCACCACCUUCAAAGAAAGAAACAUAAUCACAUGCGUAUGGGCACCCCCCUUGGCAACUGCCAAGCUUAGGGGAGGUGCCCCGGUAUCGUAUAAUCAUCACACUCCUAUCUUUACCGUUUUUCUUAGUUCGAUCCUUUUGGUAAUAUCUUGAUCUAGUAGAAUAAAUUUUUGGCAUGAUUUAGUUUUGAGUUUUGCUUUUAUGACUCCUCUAUGUAAUCGAGUCCGUGAGCUAUAUAUAAUAAAGAUUAGUGUUGAGUCAAGGGCUUGAUUAUCUUACUUUGAUCUUGAGGGAAUAAAAAUAAAAAGAAAUAAAAGAGAUCAUAUUGAUCUUAUGGAGAGUAAUGACUUUACAUAUUAAGAGUAUGAUAAAUAAAACUUGUUGAGAGUUGGCAAACAUAGUUUUGAUCAUCGUUGCAAUUAAUAGGAAGUUAUAAAGAAAGAGAGGUUUUCACAUAUAAUUACACUAUCUUGGACAUCUUUUAUGAUUGUGAGAACUCAUUAAAAUAUGACAUGCUAAAGAGUUGAUGUUGGACAAGGAAGACAACAUAAUGGGUUAUGUUUUCUUAUAUCCGAAAUAAAGUAUAUUGUCAUGGAUCAUCCAACAUGUUGAGCUUUCCUUUCCCCCUCAUGCUAGCCAAAUUCCUUGCACCAAGUAGAGAUACUACUUGUGCUUCCAAAUAUCCUUAAACCGAGUUUUGCCAUGAGAGUACACCAUACCUACCUAUGGAUUUAGUAAGAUACUUCAAGUAAGUUGUCAUGUUGCAUGCAAUAAAAAUAGCUCUCUAAAUAUGUAUGACUUAUUAGUGUGGAGAAAAUAAGCUUUAUACGAUCUUGUGAUAUGGAAGCAAUAAAAGCGACGGACUGCAUAAUAAAGGUCCAUAUCACAAGUGGCAAUAUAAAGUGAUGUUCUUACCAUAAAAGCACAUGACAACCUCUGCUUCCCUCUGCGAAGGGCCUAUCUUUUACUUUUGUCGUACAUUAUGCAAGAGUCAUGGUGAUCUUCACCUUUCCUUUUUACAUAUUAUUGUUUGAAAGAUCCUGAUAUAUAUCCAAUUGGGUGUAAGUUAGCAUGAAUUAUUAUUGUUGAUAUUACCCUUCAGGUAAAAGGUUGGGAGGCAACAGUAUAAGCCCUAUCUUUCUUUGUGUCCGACUAAAACUUCAUUACCCAUAAGUAUUGCGUGAGUGUUAGCAAUUAUGGAAGACAAAAUGAUAGUUGAGUAUGUGGACUUGCUGAAAAGCUCUUAUUGACUCUUUCCUAUGUUAUGAUAAAUUGCAAUUGCUUCAAUGACCGAGAUCAUAGUUUGUUGGUUCUCAAUGAAGUUUCUGAUUCAUACUUGACAUUGUGAAUAGAUUGUUACUUGAGCAUAAGAAAUCAUAUGACUAUAUAUAUAUAUAUAUAUAUAUAUAUGUUGCUGUUAUAAGAAUGAUGAUGAUGCCAUCAUGUCUGUAUUUUAUUUUAUCGACACCUCUAUCUCUAAACAUGUGGACAUAUUUUUCGAUUUCGGCUUCCGCUUGAGGACAAGCGAGGUCUAAGCUUGGGGGAGUUGAUACGUCCAUUUUGCAUCAUGCUUUUAUACCCUGUUCAAGAAUUCAUCCGAUUAAGCAGUUAACUUGCCGAUUAAUCCCUACUUGUAGGGUCACCGAGUAGCCGAUAAACUGAUAAGUCGUCCGAUUAAUUGAAUAAAUGGCCGAUUAACUUGCCGAUUAGCCUAUUAAUCCCCUACUCGCGAGCCAACCGAGCAGCUACCAGUUAAUGAUUUCCUCAGUAAUGCUUUUAUAUCGAUAUUUAUUGCAUUAUGGGUUGUUGUUACAUGUUAUGUCACAAUAAUUAUGCCUAUUCUCUCUUAUUUUACAAGGUUUACAUGAAGAGGGAGAAUGUCGGCAGCAGGAAUUCUGGGCUAGAAAAGGAGCAAAUAUUAGAGACCUAUUCUGCACAACUCCAAAAGUCCUAAAACUCCACGAAAGAUGUUUUUGGAAUUAAUAAAAAUAUUGGGCGAAGAAAGUACUAGGGGGGGCCCACACCCUGGCCACGAGGGUGGGGGCGCGCCCCCCUGCCUCGUGGGCCCCUUGGCAGGCCUCCGGUGACCAUCUUCUGCUAUAUGAAGUAUUUUACCCUGGAAAAAAUCGUAAGCAAGUUUUCGGGAAGAAACUCCACCGCCACGAGGCGUAACCUUGGCGGAACCAAUCUAGGGCUCCGGUGGAGCUGUUCUGCCGGGGAAACAUCCCUCUGGAAGGGAGAAAUCAUCACCAUCGUCAUCACCAUCGAUCCUCUCAUCGGGAGGGGGUCAAUCUUCACCAACAUAUUCACUAGCACCAUCUCCUCUCAAACCCUAGUUCAUCUCUUGUAUCCAAUCUUUGUCCCAAAACCUCAGAUUGGUACCUGUGGGUCUCUAGUAGUGUUGAUUACUCCUUGUAGUUGAUGCUAGUUGGUUUAUUCGUUGGAAGAUCAUAUGUUCAGAUCCUUUAUGCAUAUUAAUACCCCUCCGAUUAUGAACAUGAAUAUGAUAUGUGAGUAGUUACGUUUGUUCCUGAGGACAUGGGAGAAGUCUUGCUAUAAAUAGUCAUGUGAAUUUGGUAUUUGUUCGAUAUUUUGAUAAGAUGUAUGUUGUCUCUCCUCUAGUGGUGUUAUGUGAACGUCAACUACAUGACACUUCACCAUUGUUUGGGCCUAGAGGAAGGCAUUGGGAUGUAAUAAGUACAUGAUGGGUUGCUAGAGUGACAGAAGCUUGAACCCUACUUUAUGUGUUGCUUCAUAAGGGGCUGAUUUGGAUCCAUAUGUUCCAUGCUAUGGUUAGGUUUACCUUAAUACUUCUUUUGUAGUUGCGGAUGCUUGCAAUAGGGGUUAAUCAUAAGUGGGAUACUUGUCCAAGAAAGGGCAGUACCCAAGCACCGGUCCACCCAAAUAUCAAAUUAUCAAAGUAAUGAACGUGAAUCAUAUGAGUGUGAUGAAAACUAGCUUGACGAUAAUUGCCAUGUGUCCUCGGGAGCGCUUUUCUCUAUAUAAGAAUUUGUCUAGGCUUGUACUUUGCUACAAAAGGGAUUGGGCCACCUUGCUGCACUUUAUUACUUUCAUUACUUAUUACUCAUUAUGAAUUACCUUAUCACAAAACUAUCUAUUACCGAUAAUUUCAGUGUUUGCAGAGAAUACCUUACUAAAAACCGCUUGUCAUUUCCUUCUGCUCCUCGUUGGAUUCGACACUCUUACUUAUCGAAAGGACUACAAUAGAUCCCCUAUACUUGUGGGUCAUCAAGACUCUUUUCUGGCGCCGUUGCCGGGGAGUCCUAAUCUCUUUCUAAAAGCUUCCCAAAAGCUUCAUCAAGACUCUUUUCUGGCGCUAUUGUCGGGGAGUCCUAAUCUCUUUUUAAAAGCUUCCCAAAAGAUGCCAGCUUUACCCUCAUGGUCUGUUAUUUCAAUAUGCUCAUCAUUAAGAAGCAUGGCUAUUUUAUUAUGCCUAUAGUUGAUAGAAUCUCUUGUGUGGAAAAACUUGGAAUUAUCAUCUCCAAAUUUAACUCCUUUGAUCUUCCCUCUCUGCUUCCAAAAUAUUUUUUGGUUUUUUAAAAGAAUCAACAGUUGGUCCUUAAGUAACUUUCUGCAGUUCUAUUCCAAAGUGUCUAAUCUCCUGAAUUCCUCAAAGAAAUGCAAUAGGAAAAUGCAUUCAUUGAUGUCAGCUAUCUCCUUCUUCAGACAAGUUAAGGUUUUUACCCAUAAUUUCAGGCUCCUCCUUACAUUCUUGAAUUUUGCAUUGAUCAUUUUUGCAGGAUCUGUAAAUCCAUCAGAAAUUUCCCAAGCUGCCUUGACCACCUCCUUAAAAGGGCUAUGCUUCAACAAGAAUUUUGCAUUGAUCAUUUUUGCAGUAUACUCUUGUUCAUUAGGAUAAAAAUAUUAUUUUGCUUCCUAUGUGUCCUGAACACAUUUUGAAAGUUGAUAUUAAUAGACAUAGUAAAGCAAAAAAAGAGUGAAAAUCAUAUUGUGGCAAAAUAAUUUGAGUACCCAAUGAAGGCUAAUAACAAACCAUCAUCUCUUGUUGCGUUUGAAAUUAAAUUGAAAAGUGGAUGUUUACUUGUCACCAAAUCUAAUAUUCAUGAUCUAGAUUUCAUAAUAUCUAUUUGCUAUGCCUUUGUGUGCUAGGAGGCAUUAUUUUUAUGCAAGGACGUGCCCCCCUCUUUGCCACCAGCUGUCACUAACAUUUUGCAGGAGUUCGCUGACGUCUUUCCACAAGACAUGCCACCGGGAUUACCACCUAUUCGAGGGAUUGAGCAUGAGAUUGACUUAAUUCCUGGUGCAUCAUUGCCCAACCAUCCGCCAGACCAUACCAAUCAAGAGGAGAUGAAGGAGACUAUGCGUCAAGUACAGGAGCUGCUCGAGAAAUGUUAUAUAUGUGAAUCUCUUAGUCCAUGUGCUAUUCCUAUUAUACUAGUACCAAAAAAGUAUGGUACAUCGCGUAUGUGUGUUGAUUGUAGAUCCACAUUUCAUUAUCGUCAUCCUAUUUCUAGGCUAUAUGAUAUGCUUGAUGAUUUAAGUGGUUCUAACAUAUUCUCCAAACUUGAUUUGCAAACUGGAUACCAUCAAAUUCGCAUGAAAUUGGGAGAUGAAUGGAAAACUGCAUUUAAAACUAAGUUUCGUUGAUAUGACUGGUUAGUCAUGCCUUUUGGGUUAACUAAUGAGCCUAGUACUUUCAUCAGAUUAAUGAACAAUGUUUUAUGUGCCUUCAUUGGAUUAUUUGUUAGUCUAUUUUGAUGAUAUACUUGUUUAUAGCAGAUCUUUAGAGGAACAGUUGGAACAUUUCCAUGUUCUUUUUGUUACUCUACAUGAUGCACGUUUGUUUGGUACCCUUGGGAAGUGCACCUUUUGUAGCAACCGGGUAUAUUUUCUUGGCUAUGUUGUUACUCCGCCAGGCAUUUAGUUGAUAAAGCCAAGAUUAAAGCUAUUGAGAGUUAGCCGCGGCCCAAAACGGUCACACAACUAAGGUGGUUUCUUGGCCUCGCUGGUUUAUAUAGGCAUUUUUUGAGAGAUUUUAGUACCAUUACCGCACCUCUCAAUGAGCUUACAAAGAAGGAUGUGCUUUUUUGGGGGGUACGGCACAAGAAGAAUCCUUCACGGUAUUGAAAGAUAAGUUGACACAUGCUCCUUAUUCCAGCUUCCUGAUUUUAAUAAGACUUUUGAGCUUUAGUGUGAUGCUAGUGGAAUUGGAUUAGGAAGCGUGCCAUUACAAGAUAGUAAACUUGUUGCAUACUUCUUUGAAAAAUUGAGUGGGACUAGUCUGAAGUAUUUUACUUAUGAUAAAGAAUUAAAUGCUCUUGUUUGGAUUUUAGAAACAUGGCAACAUUAUUUAUGGCCUCAAGAAUUUGCUAUACAUUCUGAUCAUGAAUAUUUAAUCGUAUUAAAAGUCAAGCAAAACUGAAUUGUAGACAUGUAAAUGGGUUGAAUUCAUUGAUACUAUCCCUUAUGUCAUUAAACACAAGAAGGGUAAAGAAAAUAUUAUUGUUGAUGUAUUGUCUCGUCACUAUAUCAUGCUUUCACAACUUGACUUGAAAUAUUUGGUUUGGAGACCAUCAAAGAUCAAUAUGUGCAUGAUUCUUGAUGUAUACUACACAACUUAUUCUUGUAGACUCGUGUUGGGCCUCCAAGCACAGAGUUUUGUACGACAGUAGAAAUUUUCCCUCAAGUGGAUGACCUAAGGUUUAUCAAUCUAUGGGAGGCAUGGGAUGAAGAUGGUUUCUCUCAAACAACCCUGCAAUUAAAUACAGGAAAUCUCUUGUGUCCCCAACACACCCAAUACAAUAUCAAAUUGUAUAGAUGCAAUAGUUCAGCGAAGAGAUGGUGAUACAAGUGUACUAUGGAUAGUAUAUAUAGGAUUUUCUUAUAGGAAAACAUAAAAACAGGAAGGUAGCAAGUAACAUAAGUGAGCAAAAACGGUAUUGCAGUGCUUAAAAACGAGUCCUGGGGUUUAUAAUUUCACUAGUGCUAUCUCUCAAAAGUGCUAACAUAAUUUAAUCAUAUAAUAAUCCCUCAACGUGUGACAAAGAGUCACUCCAAAGUUCUUAUCUAGUAGAGAACAUAAGAUGAAAUUGUUUUAGGGUACGAAACCGCCUCAAAGUUAUCUUUUUCCGAUCAAUCUAUUGAGCAUCCCUAUAAGUAUCACAAACAGCCCUAGAAUUCAUACUAAAACAACAAUAUAUGAUACACAUCAACGAACUCUAAUGUGACCUAGAUACUCCAAUGUCACCACAGGUAUCUGUGAGUCGAUUAUUCGAUAUGCAUCAAACAACUUCAGAUUCAUAAUAUUCAAUCCAACAUAAAGAACUUCAAAGAGUGCCCCAAGGUUUCUGGGAAAGAAGGGCAAAAAUGUGUAUCAACCCCUGUGCAUAGAUUACCCCAAUUUCACGAUACUCCACAAGUUGAAUACCAAAACAUACAUCAAGUGAAUCAAUAGAGCACCCAUUGUCACCAUGGGUAUCCAUAUGCAAGACAUACAUCAAGUGUUCACAAAUCCAAAAAUUAUUCAAUCUGAUAAAAGUGACACCUCAAAGGUAAAAACUCAGUUCAUCACAACAAGAAAGAGAGGGAGAAACACCAUAUGAUCAAACUAUAUUAACAAAGCUCGUGGUACAUCAAGAUCGUGCCAAAUCAAGAACACAAGAGAUAAAGACAGAUCAAACACAUAGCUACUGGUACAUACCCUCAGCCCCUUGUGUGAACUACACCCUCCUCAUCAUGAAUGCCGCCGGAAUGAUGAAGAUGGCCUACGGUGAUGACUUCCCCCUCUGGCAGGGUGCUGGAAUAGGGCUACAGAUGAGAUCACUUUAGUACAAAGGCUUACGACAUCGGAGCGGAAGUUCUAGGUUUCUUUCUUUGGUUUUUGGUAUUUAUAGGAAUUUUUGGCGAUAGUUUCACGUUAAUGGGCCCACAAAGGAGCAACAAGCCUGACCAGUACGCCCUAGCGGUUGGGCACACCCCCAGGCAUGUCGCUUCCUCAUCAGGCUUCUAGUCCUUCCUCGAAGCUUCGGGGUUCUAUUUUGGUCCACAAAAAUUCACCAUAAAUUUUCAGCCCAUUCUGAGAAAUUUUGUUUCUGCACAAAAAACAACACCAUGGUAGUUCUGCUGCAAACAACAUCAGUCCGGGUUAGUUCCACUGAAAUCAUACUAAAACCAUAUAAAAUUGUUGUAAACAUGGCAUGAAUACUUCAUAAAUUAUAGAUACGUUUGAGACGUAUCCGCAUCCCCAAGCGUAAUUCAUGCUUGUCCUCGAGUAGAUAAAUGAUAAAAGAAAUAAUUUAUGAAGUGUGAAUGCUAGCAUAGUGCACAAUGUUGAUCAAUGAUAAUUUCAAUCACUUUUUCUAGCAUCAUAACAACAAAUUUUUCUCAUAAAACUCAUCAUGAUAAAGUAGCAAUCAAUUCACAUGUUAUGGUUAAAACAAUUCAUUCCCUUGAAACUUAACAACAUAUGUUCUUAGUCACCAAACAAUUGCAAUUCAACUUAUUUUCAACAAAGUCUAAGUAAGAGCUCCACAUACUCAGUUAUCAUAUAGUCUUCUAUGAUUGCUAGUACUCAAACAUAUUUUUAGAAAAAAUAGUAUUCACCGAACAUAGAGAAAGAUAGGGGCUUAAUGUUUCGCCUCCCAACUCAUUUAUCAUAGAGAUAAUUUUCAACAAUAAUAAUUCAUGGUAAAAUAUAUUUAAAUGGCCAUAUAUGCCUAUAUCUUUCACCACCACAUGAUGAUUUCCAGCUAAACAAUAGGUAGGAAUAAGAAAUUGACUCAACAAAAAUAAAAUUAACAGAAAAGUAAAAGAUAAGCACUUCGCAGAGGGAAGCAUGGAUUUGUAGAGGUGCCAGAGCUCGAAGCUUAAAACGGAGAUGAAUAUAAUUUUGAGAGGUAUGUCUUUCCUUUCAACGUCACGACCGAUAAUUCUCAAUAUCUUCCAUGCUAAACACAUUAUAGGCGGUUCCCAAACGGAAAGUUAAAGUUUACACCCCCCACAACCAUUCAAACACAAGCCAUGUCUACCAAAAUCCUUGGGUGCCCUCCAUACCAAGUUUCUGGGGGAGUUCGUGUCGUUAUUUUUCAUUUUCAUCAUAGGAAAGGGCAUCCCAAUUACCAUCCUCUCUCGUGCAAUGACAAGUGAAUAAACACCCAUCAUGAGAAUAACCCGCUUAGCGUGGAAGAUAUUGACCACCCCCUGCCACUUCAUGAGUGGUAUGGGCACACAAAACAUAUGCCUAUUUUAAGAUUUAGAAAUGGCCCAUGUAAAUUUACUUGGAACGACAGAGUAAUACCAUAUAUAGGUAGGUAUGGUGGACACUCAUGGAAGAAACUUCGCUCAAGGCUUUUGGAUGCACAAGAAAUAUUCCCGAGUACAGAAAUUUUGGCUAGCAAAAGAUUCUAAACAAGCACCGCAUGUUGGAGGAUCCACAACAAUAUAACUUUGAUGCAAAUAUACACAAACAUAACUUAUUAAGUUGUCUUCCUUAUCCAACUUCAACUAAUUUUCUCAAGUGGAAAUAUUUAAUGGGCAUUCACAAUCAUAAAAGAUGUCUAAGAUAAUAUAUUUGUAUGUGAUUGUUCUCUUCCAUACACUAUCUUUCAUGAAUUGCUAGUCGGCGUUCUAGGACCGGGGGUGCCACAUCCCUCUGCCUGCAGUUUAGCGCGUGGCUCCAUUGAUGGCCUAGUACGGCCCAACUCCAAGGCUUCACGAGCAAGACCCCCAUAAGUGCAGCCCGCCUCGCGAGGCGAACGACAUCAAGGCCUCCCGAGGAGCAGCCUCCCGGGGUUGUCUCCCGAGAAGCACAUAUCUCUAGGCAAGCGUCCCACCUAGCGAGGCGCGCGAUGAUGUGAGCCAUGACGACCAAGGCCAGGCAGGCGCCAGCGGAUGUAGUAGAGGAAAGUUUCCUAUUUGGUGCUAAGGAGGCAAAGACGUAUGCGAGUUCCCGAGGAAUACCCGAAAGGUUUCCAUUUUAGUGCAACAAGAGCAAGACCACGAGCUUGGUAGGACGGAGGUCAUCACCGAGCCCACCAUUGCGUCAUGACCGGAAGCUUUGCAGGCGAAGACCACCUUUAGUCGGGAUAAGGUGUACACAUGUCCCCUUUCAAAUUGGCCAUUGUGGUAUCCCUUCCUGCCUAAGCUAUGAGGGAAGAGGACCAAGGCCACUAUAAAUAUAGGUUAGUCUCCAUCAUAGAGAAGGAUCGAUCCCUUAGGCCAUUGAUCUCUCCUGAGGCAGCUCGCACUUGUACUAGUUCAUACUCAUCCGCCUCGCGAGGCAAUCCACCAGGAAGCUGGAGUAGAGUUUUACACCACAAGGUCGACCGAACCUGAGUAAACUACUAUGUCCACUUCCCCUUCGCGCUCGCUCGAACCCGACAAGGUCAAGCCAUGAGGCAGUGAGCAGAGAGUUGUAGCUUGGCAAGAUCCUUUACACAUGGCCCAAAGUUCGAACCUUGAUUGGGUUUGCAGAGCCUUGAUUCUGACAUUUGGUGCACCGAUAGGGGCAUGUCAAAGUUCUUCCUUCUGCUUCACUCCUCCUUGCCUCAUCAUACCCAUGGAGGACGCCGUCCACCCUGCCGCUUGAUCCGUUGUUCCCGGGAAUGCCGCGGGUUGCCCGACUUUCAUUCCUGACCUACGCAGGGUGUAGUGGCUGGUAAGGUUUAGGCCGAUGUUGCCCCCAUGCUAUGACGGCGCGGCCGACCAUGAGGAGUUCCUCCACUAUAUGCCCAUGGCAUCUUGGCAGGGGUGGCAACGACAAGGCCAUGGCGAACUGGCUCCCUCUGGCCCUCAUGAAAGCUCCAGGUUCUUGGCUUCAUGGCCUCCCAGAGGCCUCAGUGUCCUCUAGGGAAGAGCUCUGCAGUCAGUUCGUCACGCGCUUCAUGGCUCUGGGGCCCCACGCGAUCGUGUGCAUCCUCGGCGGGUCACAAGCGCCUGCAUCCGGUCGCCACGCCAAGCACCUCUUCCCAAGGCGCCGGCCUCAAUGUCCUCUCUGUCGUAACCUUUGAGAUGCUUGAAGUGCCUUAUGCCCAGCUCCUUCCCACUAGGCCGUUCUCUGGAGUAACAAGGGGCUCUGCCACUCCCGUGGGGUAGGUGCGCCUCCCGGUCACCUUGGUACCUGCACCAACUACCACACCAAGUUGAUCGACUUCGGCGUGGCUCGCAUCGGCCUCCCUUACAAUGCCAUCUUGGGGUACCCUGCUCUCGCCAAGUUCAUGGCAGUGACCCACCCAAGCUACAACGUUGUCAAAAUGCCUAGCAGUGGCGGCAUUGUCACCGUGACCGGGGAAAGGAAGGAUGCGGUUCGAGCACUCAAGCUCACCUAUGAGAUCAUGGCGGCCUCAUGCACGGACAUCAAAGGAACCCAGCAGGCUCCGGAGGCCACGCCCGCGAGGAAGAAGCAGUUGUUUUCCCAGGACCGCGCUGAGACAAAGGAGGUGCCCGUCAACGAUGCCAACUCGGGUGUCACUUUCACCAUCAGCACUGGCCUACCCACGGAACAGGAGAAGGCGCUCGUCCGCUUCCUCCGGGUGAACAAGGACGUGUUCUCCUGGAAGGCGUCUGACCUGAUCGGCAUCCCGACGGAGGUAAUGGAGCACCACCUAGUGAUGUGCCCCAAUGCUCGUCUGGUGAAGCAGAAGGCACGACGUCAGAAGCAGGAAAAGCGGGCAUUCAUUGUCCAAGAAGUGCGCAAGCUACAUGAAGCCGGAGUCAUACGAGAGGUGCGGCAUCCGGAGUGGCUCACCAACCCAGUGGUCGUUCCCAAGAAGGCCGGACAAGAGCGCAUGUGUGUCAACUUCACGAGCCUCAACAAGGCAUGUCCUCAGGACCCUUUCUCGCUCCCAUGCAUCGACCAGAUCAGGGACUCUACUACAGAGUGUGGUAUGUAGUGAUUUUUGCAUGCAUUCUCGGGCUAUCACCAGAUCAAGAUGGCGGUGGAGGAUGUCGAGAACACGGCCUUCAUCUCCCCGUGCAGCGUAUACUGCUACACCUACAUGCCCUUCAGGCUGAGAAGCGCUGGCGCCACCUUCCAGGGACUGAUGCACAUCAAAUUGGGGCCACAGCUGGGGAGAAAUGCGGAGGCAUACUUCAAUGACAUUGUGGUCAAAUCGCGUGUGGCGAGAACCCUAGUCAAGGACCUGGAACAAACAUUCACCAACCUGCGCAGAGUGAACCUGAGGCUUACCCAGAGAAGUGUGUUUUUGGGGUCCCAUCCGGCAAGCUGCUCGGCUUUCUUGUCUCGCAUCGAGGGAUAAAAGCCAACCCCAAGAAGGUCAAGGCUAUUCAAAGGAUGCACCCUCCUCAGAACCUCAAGGAAAUGCAGAAGUUGGCAGGGUGUGUAACCUGCCUAGAGCACUUCAUAUCCAAGCUGGGCAAGCGCGCAUUGUCGUUCUUCAAGCUGAUGAAGAAAAAAGGUCCUUUCAAGUGGAUCUCAAAAGAGGAGGCAGCCUUCGAAGAUUUCAAAAGGUACCUCAGCAGCCCGCCUGUCAUUGUGGCGUCGUGCUUCCACGAGCCCUUGGUGCUCUACUUGGCAGCCACCCCGCAUUCGUCCAGCGCAGCACUCGUGGUGGUCCAGGAGGAACAUGUCAGCACCCAGGGAAGGCUCAACAGCCCGUGCAGGUCAUGAAGCCCCCUAAUCCAUCGUCGCUGCAAGUCGGCGCCACUAAGGGUCCUACCCCUCUGUCGCCCGACGAGGCCCCCGGGCCCCACGCGCCCCGUGCGAAGCAGGUCGCCGCCGAUGCCCCAUGCCUCGUCGAGCACCCGGUGUACUUUGUCAGCACUGUGUUAUGGGAUGGGCGUGCGCUACCCUAUGUAGCAGAAGCUCCUCCUCGUGCUCCUGGUCGCUUCUGGGAAGUUGCGCCAUUAUUUCCAAGGCCACCUCAUUAAGGUUGUGUCUGCAUACCCACUAGAAAAGGUGUUGCACAGCCCCAACACUUCAGGCAGAGUCACCGAGUAGAACAUCGAGCUGCAAGCCUUCUAGCAGGAAUUCAGUACGACCAGGGUAAUCAAGGGAGCGGCGUUUGCCGACUUUGUGGCAGAAUGGACGGAUACAUACUACUAGGAGCCAUGCGAGGACUGAUACCUUGCUUCGGGCGAUGAGGCGCCCGACAGCUGGGUCAUGUACUUCGACAAAGCCUUCGUGCGGUGCACCCCGGGAGCCGGGGUCAUGCGCGUUUCCCCGACCGAAGACAACCUCUACUACACCAUCCAGCUUUGCUUCCAAUGCGGCUAGAAGUCUCCAAAAAUUUCAUGGAGUACGAGGUCUUGAUCGCCAGGCUCGAAGCUACAACCGCCCUGGGGGUCAAGCGCCUCACCAUCAAGGGCGGUUCCCAGCUCCUAAUCAACUUCUCCAACAAGGAGUACAAGCCGAAGGACGAGCACAUGGCGGCAUACUUGGAGGAUGUACAUAAAAUUGAAAAGCGAUUCUCGGGCUUGGAGUUGCAGCACAUCCCGCAAGGUGCAAACAAAGAAGCGGACGACAUCACCAAGCAGGCAUCACACCGCGAGCCCCAAAGCCCUGGCAUAAUUGAGGAAGGGCUCUUCAGGCCAUCAGUCGCACCACCGUCGGCAGGCACAAUGCUGCCUCAGGAGGACCUGUCUCCCGCGCCGCUCAUAGGUGCCCCGGCCUGCGGCCCAACCUCAGGAGCCCGCCUGCUCCUGGCAUUGACGCCUUAGGAGGACAGUUGUACCAAGGAGUUCGAGGCAUACCUGCUCUACGGCACCCUGCCGAAGAAGGAUGAGAACGUGGGGCACAUGGCUCGCCAGGCCACCGCUUACUGCUUACAAGAUGGCGAGCUGUACCGCAAGCAUCCUAACGACAUCUUGUUAAGAUGCAUAUCAGAAGAUCAAGGGCGCGAGCUGCUGGCCGAUAUCCAUGGGGGAGACUGUGGGCAUCACUCUUUGUCGCGCACUCUUGUGUGCAAGGUGUUCUGUAGCAGGUUCUACUGGCCCUCGACACUUGACGAUGCCACUGAGUUGGUCGAUCUUGCGAGGCUUACCAAUUCCAUGCCAAGUAGAUUCACCAGUCAACGCAGGGGUUCUAGACAAUCCCGCUCUCGUGGCCCUUUGCGAUCUAGGGGUUGGACUUACUAGGGACGUUUCCUCGGGCACCCAGAGGCUACCGCUACCUCUACGUAGCCAUCGACAAAUUCACCAAGUGGCGGAGGUGGAACCUGUGCGCACCAUCCCAGCAGCCUCGGCUGUCAAGUUUAUCAAGGACCUCGUGAGACGGUUCUGCAUCCCCAACCGCAUCAUCACCGACAACGGUUCCCAGUUUACAAGUAACCUCUGCAUGUCAUAUUGUGCUAACCUUGGAAUGCAGAUCUACAUGCUUAGGUGGCGCACCCAUAGAGUAACGCCUAGGAUAAGCACCCCAAUGCAGAGGUCGUCAGGGGCCUCAAGGCUAGAAGCUUCAACAAGAAGCUUGAGGCAUGUGGCUGGGGUUGGCCGGAUGAGCUACAGUCCGUGUUGUGGUCCAUACGCACCACUGCGACUAAGCCCAUUGGUGAAACCCCAUUCUUCCUCGUCUACGGGGUUGAUGCGGUCCUUCCGUUUGAGAUCAAGCAUGGUUCCCUGCGGGUCUUGGCAUUCAACGAGGCGCGUCCGGAUGCCGCACGGGGAACCGAUAUCGUGCUCGGCGAGGAGGCCUGCUGUCAAGCUUCCCUCCGUGCUGCAAGGUACCAGAAGGACCUACGGUGCUACCAUAGCCGCAGCAUCCACUCCCGAACUCUCGAAGUCAAAGACCUCUUCCUAAUGUGGGUCUUCUCCAGGGAGGGCCUUCACAAGCUCUCGCCCAUGUGGGAGGGCCCGUUUAGGGUCGCUCAUGUCUCCAGGCCUGGCGCUGCCACGUAGAGAUGGAGGACGGGGUCCCCGUGCAUAACGCUUGGAACAUCCAGCACCUUCGCAAGUUCUACCUGUGACACUAUCACGUAAUAAUGAGUGGGGAUGUACCCGCCCCGGAGUCUCCCGGUGCAUUGUCAUAUAGCCUCGCGGGAGCUCCCGCCCACGCCCAAGUGGAAGGCCCAUGCUCCGCGCCUGCAGAACGGUCGAACAGCGACUAUGCCCACGCCCAAGUGGAGGCCCCAUGCUCCGCGCUGGUGGGAAGACUAGUGUAGGUGUAGGAAGCGGCAACUUUUCCCCUAUUUCUCAUAAACAAUUUUGUGAUUUCCCUUAAUGAGAUUUGAAGUUGUUGUGUACUUCUUCAAACAAGGGUGGGGGUUUUGUUUUCCUGCGGUGUUUCUUCUCUUGAAUCCUUUUCCGGAAGAGAACCUAUUGUUGCAUGUCGCCCCCUGCCCCGAGUGUGGCACCCCGGCUCAGAGAAACCGGAACGCCCCGUAUUCUAGCCGAGAGAUCGAGGAGAAGUCCUUUGGAAUACUGCACUGCUUGACAUAGAACAAAUCAGCUCUUAUAACAAAGGGUAAUAAUACAAAUGUCUGAUGUUACAGAGGAUCACAUCAGCACGGUGACACUACACCUGCGAUACUACACUAGCUCUAUGCUAGCAGCAGAACAACUCAUAGUAGCGGAAAUCUUCUAGCACCAGAAUAACGACGAAGCUGGGGAAUCCACUCUGCAGGGACUCUGGCUGGGACACGAUCUAGCUCACACGAACGGUAACCAUGACAAGCAAUCAAUCAAUCACUGGAUCACCUGCAAUCUGGCAUGACACGCCAGGUCAGUACAUUGAAUGUACUUGCAAGCUCACAACAACCAAAAGCAUUAAGGCAACACAACAACAUAGCAUUCACAGAUUAAUUAACAACUACUAUGAUGCAAAAACCACUACUAAGCAUGAUAUGAAACUACUACAAAACUAAUAAAACCCCAUCUCACAUCUCAAUAACCAUCUCAUGCUUAGUUAACCGGCCAAGCAAUAUACCAUCUCGAUCACCUCGUGAUCUAUACCUCCAUGUGAUCACCGCGUAACCACAUCACCAACUGAAUGAUCAUCCUCAAGAUCAUUAUCAUCAUCCUGCCAAACUGUCAUAGCUCAUCAUAUCAACGUAUUAGUCCUAUAAAAGUCAUUUUGUCAUGUGAGUGUUGAUCGAAUGGUGUGACCUAGCAUGAACUUAUGCCCAUGACCGAGGACGCGGCUAUCGAUAGAUUAAACACACACACUCUACAGAGGUAGCGCACUUUACCCACACCACGGAGCUCAUAGCCUCGCACUCCCAUUCGGGUGGACCAACGGCGUUCUGACGAAACCCUUCCCUUGCCAUGACACUCUCACGGCCACUCCGACCAACUCCCUCUCAGGGCUAAGUCAUGGGUGGCCCUAUGCCGACCAAAGGAAUCUUCGGCCACUGUCAUGGCAAAACAUUCCCAAACGGGGACAUGAACUCAAAACCAAACAUGGGCACACAAGGCUUAUGCCGUCCUACCUGAUCAGGGUAGCGUCCGCGCAUAACCUUCCCUCAUUGGAGGCACCGACGAGAGGCACGACAAAGGACCAAAUCAAGACCCCCCAUAAAGGUAAACGUGGAUGCGCUGGAAAAAGCCCGGUCCGGUAGCACCUGACCAACUUAAUGACGGAAUUUAUCCCCAAAGCAUAUCUGCGAUAACCGAUACUCCGAUAUCAUCUAUCAACCUGUAAUCCAAGUCAUAGAAAUAUCCAACAAAUAAUAUAAAGCAUGACCUAAACAUAAUACUCCGAGGGCAACAUGACACUACUAUUAUGAUGAAUCCAAGAACGAUAAUACUACUACUCCAAUAGCAAGAACUAGCUACCCCGCUAAGAUCCACAUGCAAGCAUCAUCUCCAAAAAUAAUAUUACAAAGCAACAUACCAACUAACAUCCCAAAAAUAAUCAUACUAGCCACUAAUAAUCCAAAGGCAACAUGACAUCCACAUAAGCUGCAAAACAUUAGCCCGAGAACUCCAAGCAACAUCAUGGCAAUAACAAGUUCAAAAAUAGGCCGAGAAAAUGCCAUGAACAAAUCACAAGUAGCUACAGCAAUACAGUGAUGCAAAUGGAGGGUGUGGCUUGCCUGGGGUGGAAGAAAUCAUCGGGAGAAAGUGCGAGAAACUCGCGGAAAGAAUCACCGGAAAACGUUCUCUCUCGGAGGGGGCUGAUUAAGGGCAGGGGCAAAAUGGUCAUUUUAAUAAUGUCAAAACAUGGUGAAAGUGUGGCCAACAGAACGGGCUCGGCGAAACGAAGACAUGGGCUUUGGAAUCACCUGAUUUGGAGCUACGUGCGAAAAGAUACGACCGUUUAAAGCUCAGGGACCAAUCUGUAAAAAUAUCUUCUACAAACAGGUCCCUGGUUGUUAAACAGAACAUCCCUUUCUCAGAAAUAUGCUUCAUAAAAGAGAAAACACAUUCUGGCCCGAAGAAGGGGAAGAAUACACCUUCGGAAACUGAAGACAUAAUCAAAAGGAUUACGCCUCCACUUAUCCAUCUCAGCGUACCUAGGGUCCGCACGUGGACUGGCUGACAAGUGGGGUCACAGGGCCCACUGGCCAGCUGGCGAUGGCGGCGCCAUCUCCUUCCUCUCGCCCACGUCUGGUCGGAGCAGAGCCAGCCUCGACGAGGCCUGCCGGUGCUAUAGGGCACUUCCGGCCAUGCUCCGUCUAUGGAACCGCUCAGCGUCGAGCGACACAUCGAGUGGUCCAUCCACGGUCGCCGGGGUGGAUAGAGUCGAUGGCGGAUUCAACGCCGGUGGACGAGAGCUUUGGGCGAGGACGGGGUUGGGGCUACGGUGCGUCCGAUGACAAACAGAGUAGAUGGGGAGAGUCUACGGGGACUAGGUGGUGCGCUGGUGGUGAUAGAAGGAGGAGAAGGAGCUCGGCUUGACCGAAUUUAAGAGGAGGAGGCCGGUAGCCAUGGUGGCAAUGGCAGGGUAGAGGAGUUCCUUGAGCUCGAAGAGGAGGCUAGGGAGGGGUCUAGGAGUGAGGCAAGGGCGAUGGGUUGCUCGGGAGGCCGCGGGCUGGCUAUUUAUAGCCGAGGAGAGGCGGUUGGGCAAGGGCCGAGGCCAUGUGCCGCCGCUCGAGCUCGGCCAACACUCUGGCGCGCUCAGCAAGCACGGGCGGGCAGGGCAACGUGACGAGGGAUCGAUGUAGGCUUCACGGGGAAGAGGGUGCUAAGGGGGAGCAGGAGAAACGGACAGGACGAGGGAGGCCGUGGCCGCGUGCCGCUGCUCGAGCUCGGCCAACUCUCUAGCGAGCUCAGUGAGCACGGGAGGGCACGGGGUACACGACGAGGCCUCGCUAGCAACGUUCACGGGGAGGUAGACGACGCCGAGGAGCAGAGGAAGCGACUGAAACAAGCUUGGAGCCAAACGGGGCACAGUGCUCUCAUGGGCAUGCGUCCGCGAGCACCGGCAAGGCAGUUUCUGGAUGGGGUAAGGGGUCGAGGGUAAUGGGUGAGGAGCAGGGUGUCAGGUCGGCAUGCUGAGACGCUUGAAAACCACCGGGGUUGAGCUUGUCGGCCCGUCCCGACACACAGAGCACGCUCAACGCAGUUGGAGCGCAUGGAUUUGCAUGCCAGAGAUGUAGUCACCACCAUCACUGGCACGAAGAGGACAAGGGAGGCUGUGAGGAUUUGUCAAGUGACUAGUCCCUGCAUAAUAGAGGCUGAGGGAGUUGAUGGAUCGACAAAAGGGACCAAGGAGAGGAGUGUGGCAUCGCUGCAAGUUUGCUGCAUCAAACUUGGAGGGGUACUAGUGAUCAACAGGAGCUCAUUGGAGUCAAUGGAGUUGUCUGGGGUGUUUGACUACGGAAGGACUAUAAUCCUAGAGGUUUUGAGAAUAUUUAGACCAAGAUUUAAUAUAGUUGCUUUGCAAUUGCCAAAUCUGGUCAGAAACUAAAUCAAGAUGAUGCACUCACCUGGAUUAGCCACUUGAGCUCAAUUUGGGUAGAUGAUGAUGAUUUGGAUAGGUGACGAUGCUGUAAAAAGCUCGUACCAAAUGGGUUCACCAAAAUGGUACUUGCUUCACAAACACCAUUUCUGUCCAGAAGCUUGGAAUAAUUUUGGUGAUAAAAUAGAUUGAUGAAAUGAUGCUAAAUUGGGUGGACAGAUGUUUUAUAGGUUGGAGAAUGAUCUGGUAAUUUAUCAGAAUUUUUGAAGCAAUGUAAAAUGAACUUGCUUCACAACAUGAAAAUAUUGCCAGAAUCAAAUAUUUGGUCAUGUGCUCACAUAUAUGAUUGGAUGGGGCUGCAAAUGGGUGGAGAGGGUUAAUAUGAGCACAUUAAGGAUUGUGCAUAAGUACAACUCAUUUGGAUACUCCUAGCUAGUACUUCCUUCACAAAGCCUUCUGGCAGACAGAAACUUUGAAAAAUCACUGAGGAAGAUUGGCUAGGAAAAUAAAGUUGAACUUGUGCAUGAGGCAAUUAUUUAGAUAUAUAAGCAUGCCCAAAAAUUUCAGGAGCCACUAGGAAAAUAUAAAUGACACUUCCUUCACAAAGUGACAUUCAAGACAGAAAUGAAGAAUAAUUAUUGGGGAAUUAUUCUUGGGCUAGGACUGGAAAGUUUGGGCAUAUUUGAUCAACAUAUGACCCAAAGGAAUAACGAGAAUUAAUUUGGAAUUUUUUGGGAUGGACAGAAUUAAAGGCUGCUUCACAACCUAGGGCAAUUGAGGUUAUUCCUUUAAUGAAAAAUGAAUUUUCCCCAAGAAUAGAAUAUUGGGAUAUGGGCUAGGAUGGAAAUGGCAUGGUCUUGGGAUGAGUUUGAGAAUGAUGAGCCACUUGGGAGGAGGAAUGAGGAUGACUUCCCAGGUGGCAAGGCCAGAGAACCACUCCAAAAGAAAAAUAGAGCAAAAACCAAAUAAAUCAACAGAAAAAGGGCCAAAAUCCAUGCUGUUACACUAAGCGCCCUGCGAGCGGGGGCUGGGCACAGUGUUGGCACUUGGGCAAGUCCCAGCGGCGUUAAAAACCGAUGGUCGCGGGUCUGCCCCGACGCACACCACCUCACCAGGAAUCUCGUGCCUAAACCCUCGCGCGACGCUCACGAGAGAGCCAACAGGCACCCGUUGCCCUUGGCCUCUCAAUCCGGGAGGGCUCAUCUCCUGGCCUUUCUUUGCCAGCAUGACCCGGCAUACCAACGAUGGUCAACCCUCGCUCGGGGGUAACGGGCAUAAAAUAAGCACAAGGGAAAGGCAGCCCAGGAAGGCAUGAAUACAGUUCAAUACAUAUUUAAGGAAUGUUCAUCAAUACCUCUUACACCCCCGAGUGGCCAUACUCAAAAUGUUGAUAGGUAACAGAAGAAAUACAGCCUAAGGAGAUGUGUCGUCACCAUCGCUGUCAUCGGUCCCGUGCCCUCCGGCUCCAUGCUGGUCUUCAUGGCUAGCGGGGCCGGAUUGUGCGAUUAUAUCAUGCACAUGGUCCUCAACCCACUCCCCCAAGGCAUCCUGAAUCACCAUGGGAGCGGGGGCUAUUGUGGCCUCGAAGUCGAUUGGGGUCGAAGCGAAGAAGGUUGUUAAAGACGCACGUCGACGCCCGUGCAAGGAGAUCGCAGCACUCCUCCUCCACGAGCCUGCUCACCCUCUCCACGCCUCCUUCAAGACGCUCCAUGAUCCUGGUGAAGAAGGCAAGGUAACCGGCGUCAUCUUGCACAAGCGGGCUCGAGAUGCUAUGUGCUGACGCAGUUCAGGGCACGACGAGCCCUUUGCUCGAGGUCGUGGAACAUCUCGGAGCGAGUGUGCUGCAAGCCCCGAGCUCGGCUAGGCUCGUCCGCUGCCCAUUCCACGAGGGAGGGGACCUCUCCCACCAGCUAAUAAAGGAAUGCUAGCUUGGCUUCAUCCGUGGCUUGGGCAUCUAGCGCAGUCUUCUGGUGCCUCUCCGCCUCGGCCAGCUUCCCUUUAGGUCGUCAAUCUCGCCCUUCAGUUCUUCGGGCCGUGCAUAGAAAUGGGUCUCUAGAAGCUUCGGUUUCUGAAGGUUGUCCUUGAUGAGGGCCCGGCGGGCGGCCAUGACCCCCUCGUCGAUCUUCGUCUAGAACUUCGAUUCUCGGGAGGCUAGAGAAGCCUUGGAAGCCAUUACUUGGUGCCCCAUUACAUCUAGUCACUCAUGCUCCAAGCUUUGCUCGGACGCCUAUAGCGCCAACGCGUCCUCGAGAGUGCAGAGCCCCGCUUUGCACGCCGAGGGCCCUUCCGAUAAAGCACUCAGGGUGGCUCUGCAAGCCUAAGCUUGCCGCUCGAGGACGGUGAGUGAAGCCAGAAGUUCCCACUCGCGAUUUUCUACGGCUUCACACCGUCGAUCUACGGCCUCGGCUUCCUCGAAAGAGCGAUUGCGGGCUUCUUUCACCAUGACAGAAGACUCCUCAUCCUUCGAGCGGGCAGCCUCACACUGCAGGCGACUAAGAUUGACGGCAACCUCGAGCCGACGCCACUCACACACCAGGCACAGAUUCUCGGCCUCAAGAUGCAGGUUGACAUUGUGAAGCUCCGCCCCGAGCCGGUUCAGCGUGCUGCUCGCAUCUUGGAGAAGCACAUGCCGAACAAUGCCACGGCUAUGUGCAAGCUCCAAUGCCCAACGGGGGCUCUGCUCAAUGCUCUGGUCCGUGGAGGACGCGCGGGAUGACCCGGGGCCGGUCGUCUCCCCGUCCGACUCUCCCGCCCAGGGCGUGACUGAGGGAGUCCUGGAUUAAGGGGUCCUCGGACGACCGGACUAUUAACAUGUGCCGGACUGUUGGGCUAUGAAGAUACAAGACAAAAGACUUCUUCCUGUGUCCGGAUAGGACUCUCCUUUGCGUGGAUGGCAAGCUUGGUGAUUCGGAUAUGUAGAUUCCUUUCUUUGUAACCGAGUUUGUAUAACCCUAGUCCCCUCCAGUGUCUACAUAAACCGGAGGGUUUAGUCCGUAGAGGCAAUCAUAAUCACAUAGGCUAGACUUCCAGGGUUUAGCCAUUACAAUCUCGUGGUAGAUCCACUCUUGUAAUAUUCGUAUUCAUAAAGAUCAAUCAAGCAGGAAGUAGGGUAUUACCUCCAUAGAGAGGGCCCGAACCUGGGUAAACAUCAUGUUCCCCGCCUCCUGUUACCGUCAGCCUUAGACGCACAGUUCGGGACCCCCUGCCGGAUCCGCCGGUUUUGACACCGACAUUGGUGCUUUCAUUGAGAGUUCUGCUAUGACGUCGAAGAUAGGAUUGAUGGCUCGCCUUGUUAUCAAGGACAAUAUCACCUCCGGAGGAGCCCUGGCCUUCGGCCAAACCCUCCGGUUGGGUGGCUUCACCAUGACCGCCCGUUCGGUCGUUGAGCCGAUGAUGACUUCUCGGGUAAUCGAAAAUCACCUUCGCAUCAACUCCGAAUACUCCAAACAAAUGGAUCUGACGGAGUUAUCGUAUUUAAACAAACUCCUAGAUUGCAUCGCCGCCUUGGGGGUUGCCACAGACUACGAUCGAUUGGGCUUAAACCUGAUCAGAGAGAAAUUGAAUCUCCGCCGAUCACCCAUCAAAUAGCGGUAGUGGAGGAGCAAUACAACAACUCUUCCUCAAUAUUGAGGAUGAAUUGUGUUCGGAUUUCUGAGCUCAAAGAAUCGGAUACCCGUCCACAGGAAUACGUGCCCCGUAUUCCGAACCUAUAGUCAGACAGUGGACCUGAAAAAUUGGUUGAUAUCCCGGAGCCCGAACCGUUAAGCUCGGAAGUUUCUCAAACUCCGGAUCCCAAAUUGGGUCAGGAUACGGACUUAAAUCCACCCACCCACCCAGAUACACGCGAUCUUAUGAACAUAUGACAGCAGCCUCAAGAAACGGUCCAUCACUUUUGGGCCAGAUUCCUCCUUGUCAAAGACAAGAUCAAAGACUGCGCGACGAAGACGCGAUCUCAUUAUUCUGCAAAAAAUGCAUGGACGAGGGAAUCCACAAUGCCAUUAACUAUCGUCGUGUAUUACACUUCGUUGACCUGGCAACUAUAGUACAGAAGUACUGCGCAACAGAAAGCGCCUGGAAAACUCAGGCAACUUCUUGGGAGCCACCGGUUUCCACUCAACCCCUCGUCCGGACAAAAAGGAUGCACCCUCGUCGGUCGCCUAAGCCAAUAGUAAAGAAAUCAAAGCCCAUUAUGGGGCGCGGAACCGUUCUGGAGGGAUGGCUCGAUAGGCCAUGCAAAAUACAUACAACGCCAGAUACCACACCAACCAACAGCCUUAGAGCAUGUUGGAUACUCCGGCAAGUGGCCAAGAUCGGCGAGGAUCUCCUCACCAAAAAUAUCGCAGAGCAACAUCACAUGGAAGACGACGAAUUCAGAGUAUUGACGGUCUUCGAGACUUUCGCCUCAAACAAUAGGCGCAAAAGGGCACUCCGCGGCCUCGCCGAAGUCUGCCAAGUCGCAGCAACAAACCCCUGGAACAACACGGUCAUAACUUUCAAUGCUAGUGACGAACCAAAAUUCAGGACAGUCCGGGCAGCAGCCGCAUUGAUCCUCAGUCCAAUAGUGGAUGGCUUUCGGCUUACCAAAGUGCUCAUGGACGGCGGCAGCGGACUAAACCUCAUUUACGAGGAGACUCUGAGUAAAAUGGAAAUAGACAGGAGCCACAUUGAGCAAAGUAGCACGACCUUCCGAGGAAUCAUUCCCAGUCGGGAGGCGCGAUGUGCAGGAAAAUCACACUCGGUCUGGUAUUCGGCACACUGGAGAAUUGUCGGUCCGAAGAGAUAACCUUUCAAGUGGCCCCUUUCUACAGUGGAUAUCAUGCCCUAUUAGGGCGGGAUGCAUUUGCAAGCUUCCAAGCUAUAGCCCAUUACGAGUACAUGAAGCUCAAGAUGCCCGGGCCCAAUGGUAUUAUCACUCUUGCUAGUGAUCCGGACAUAGCACUCCGCGCCGAAAACAAAACCACAGCCCUAGCCCUUGAGGCGUUGUCUGACGCCCUCGCGGGAGAAGAAUUAACCGCAUUGCGCUCCAUGGUGGAUAGGGACGAUGUGAUCCUGGAUAAGCGACCCAAAUCCACCUCCUUUAAACCAGCAGACGAAAUAGUCAAAUUCCAAGUCCACCCAACGGACUCCAAGAAGACAGCAUCCAUUGGGGCACAGCUGGACCCCAUGGUCAACGCCGCACUGCGAGCGUUCCUACGCGAAAACUGGGACAUAUUCACUUGGGACCCUUCUGAUAUGCCAGGGAUCCCACGUAGGCUGGACGAACACAGCCUAAACAUACUGAAGGGAUAUAAGUCGGUCAAGCAAACAUUGCAGCGCUUUUCCGAACCCAAACGACAAGCUAUGGGGGAGGAGCUAGCAAAGUUACUCGAGGCCGGAUUCAUCAGAAAUAAAACACCCGGACUAGCUAGCAAACCUGGUAAUGGUACCAAAGAAGGAUAAAUCCUGGCACCUAUGUGUCGAUUUCAAAGACCUCAACAAGGCAUGCCCUAAGGAUCCCUUCCCCCUCCCCUGCAUCGAUCAGAUUAUCGACGCUACCGCAGGACACGACUCACUGUGGUUCCUCGACGCAUACUCCGGAUACCAUCAAAUCAAGAUGAAGGAAUCCGAUCAAGCCGCAACAGCAUUUAUUACCCCAUACGGGCCUUUCUACUUCAACACUAUGCCCUUUGGGCUCAAAAACGCCGGCGCCACCUACCAACGCAUGAUUCAAACAUGCCUGGAGAAACAAAUCGGCAAGAUAGUUGAAGCAUAUGUGGAUGAUGUAGUCAUCAAAACUCGACACGUCGAGUCAUUAAUAGACGAUCCGUGUCUUACAUUCCACAACCUCCGUACAUAUGACAUUAAGCUCAAUCCGGAAAAGUGUGUUUUCAGCGUUCUCGUUGGAAAACUGAUGGGCUUCAUCGUUUCCAAUAGGGGAAUUGAGGCAAACCCGGCUAAAAUUUGAGCUUUGUCACAGUUGGCCACGCCAACAGACCUUAAACAAGUCCAAAAACUAUCCGGAUGUGUGGUAGCUUUAAGCUGCAUUAUCUCCAUACUAGGAGAAAAGGCAUUGCCACUCUACCGCCUUCUCCGAUGCACCGAUCAGUUCAAGUGUACGGACACGGCAACGGCCGGACUGGAAGAAAUAAAGACUCUUUUAGCGAGCAGCCCAAUCCUGGCCACGCCGAAUAUCGGCGAACCCAUGUUAUUAUACAUAUCGGCCACACACCAAGUCGUAAGUGCGGCGCUCGUCGUCAAAUGGGAAGAGGACGGGCACAAAUUCCGGCUACAAAAGCCGGUAUACUACGUAUCCACUCUCCUCAAACCAUGAAAAUCUCGGUACCCUCAUUACCAAAAAAUAGCGUACGCGGUCUUCAUGGCAUCACGGAAGCUACGACACUACUUUGAAGAGGGCUCAAUAAGGGUGGCCUCCGAGGUACCACUCAAUGACAUAAUAAACAACCGCGAUGCCACGGGCCGGAUUGCCAAGUGGGCCAUGGAGAUCCUCCCAUGCGACAUAACAUACAAACCACGCCGGGCCAUUAAAUCCCAAGUACUGGCCAACUUCGUCGCUGAAUGGACAGAGGCCGAACUCCCUAAAGAGUACGACACAUGUUCCAACUGGGUCAUGCACUUCGACGGCUCCCAAAUGUUGGCAGGCUUAGGAGCAAGCAUUGUCCUAACAUCCCCCACUGGAGAUACAGUUCAGUACGUACUCCAAAUAUUAUACAUAGACUCCAACAAUGCAGUCGAAUAUGAGGCCUUGUUGCAUGGUGUUCGAAUGGCUGUCUCCAUGGGCAUACAAUGCCUAGAAGUGUGCGGGGAUUCAAACCUCACAAUAUCUCAAAUAAAUGGAGAUUUUUAUGCCAAAGAUCCGAAGAUGGCGGCCUAUCGUAACGCCGUUCUCAAAAUGUCGGCUCGGUUCGAGGGGCUCGAGUUUCAUCAUGUGGCUCGAAAAAGUAACCAAGAGGCGGAUGUCCUCGCUCGCAUCGGCGCCAAGCGCGACCCCGUCCCACCUAACAUCUUUUUGGAAAGGCUCUUCAAGCCAUCCAUAGUGUGGCAAGGGGAGAGUGGCAACACCAAUCCAGAUCCGACUAUAACCCCCGAUUCCAAACACAUCGAUAUCAUCGGGGGCUCAGCCCCCAAAAUUACACUGUCGUCCCAUCUCAUCAUGGUAGUCAUUGCCCCAUGGACCGAACGCUUCUUCGCCUGCCUUAAUAGGCAGAACUCCUAGAGGAUCAGAAUGAGGCGUGCUGUAUUGUGCGGCGCUCUAAAGCCUACAAGGUUCACGAGGGAGAACUUUAUAAGAAAAGCGCUACCGGAGUACUUCAAAGAUGUAUCUCCGAGGAAGCAGGGUAGUAGCUCUUGGCUGAAAUCCAUGCUGGCAUCGGUGGUCACCACGCCGUGGCUCGGGCCCUCAUAAGCAAGGCCUUCCUUACAGGUUUCUAUUGGUCGACGCCCAAGCAAACGCACAGGAUCUUGUCCAACAUUGCGUCGGAUGCCAGCUUUUCACCAACCAAAGCCACAUACCACCCACCGCUCUACAAAAAAUCCCCAUCACUUGGCCUUUCGCGGUCUGGGGGCUUGAUAUGGUCGGACCUCUUAAAGGAGGAAGCCAUAAGAAAAAGUAUCUGUUGGUUAUGGUGGAUAAAUUCACUAAGUGGAUAGAGGCCAAAUGAGUUAAAACGGCCGAAGCCGGACCAGUGAUAGACUUCAUAUCCGGCGUUGUGCACCGUUAUGGUGUUCCACACAGCAUCAUCACCAAUAACGGCUCCAAUUUCACAGCUGAUGAGGUGGAAACCUGGUGUGCCAAUCUAGGCAUUAAGCUUGAUUACGCCCCCGUCUAUCACCCACAAACAAAUGGUCAAGUCGAACAAGCCAAUGGUCUUAUUAUGAGCGGCAUUAAACCCAGAUUAGUGUGGUCUUUGAAAGAAUCAGACAAGCACUGGGUCUAGGAGCUCGACUCUGUACUCUGGGGGCUACGGACCACGCCCAAUCGCUCUAUCAGAUAUACACCUUUCUUCAUGGUGUACGGCGCAGAGGUUGUGUUACCCUGCGACAUUAUUCAUGACUCACCUCGAGUGCGCAUGUAUGAAGAGAGAGAGGUCGAGCUUGAUCAGCAGGACAACCUAGAUGCCCUGGAGGAGGAGCACGAUGUUGCAAAAGCCCGUCCUGCAUUUUAUCAACAACAGGCCCGUAAAUAUCAAAGCAGAGAAGUAUGGGCCAAGACUUAUAAUGUUGGCGAACUUGUUCUACGCUUGCCGAAGAAGAAAAAGGACAAACUCAAGCCUAAGUGGGAGGGUCUCUUCAUCAUUGACGAAGUCCUCACUGGAGGAUCGUACCACCUGUGUGAUGCAUCAGACAAUCGCCUGGAGCCGAACCCAUGGAACGCGGCUAGACUCCGAAGAUUCUAUGCCUAGCGCCGGACUCUUUGUUCGUCUCCUUUCUCCCUUUUGCUUACAUUAUUUAUUUUCCUCUCUUUUCACCUUUUAUUUUUUUAGCCUUAAAUCUCUCGUGUGGCUAAACUGUACACCUACGACGCACACAUUCUCAAAUAUGUACGUCAAUUAUACCUGGGGGCUUCUUGUAUGGAAGCUUAUUAUUAUUAUUUUCCGAGCAUCGAGCUCACCACAUAUGUGUCUUUUCUGCGUUCUUCGCCAUUAUAUGCAUCGAUAUGACUUAAGUUUUGGCCAAGCUGGGUUGCCUGGCUCCUGUGCUUAUGCCCUACGUUCUCGUUAGUUCGGCUAGGGAAUAAAGGGAGCACCUCUGCAAUUGUUACUGUCGGGUCAUCCGUAUGUGUACCUCAGACUAGGUGAAGCCGAAAGCUAGCGUUCUUAAGGGCAUAUUCAGUCGGCGGACUAAAGAUGUUCUUUACUCGUUACACUAUGAACCCCCAGAUGUUACGUAUGUUGUGAGUUUUCAAUCACAGUUCGGACAAGCACGUUAACGCAUGCUGACCCAGGGAAAGGAACCCUUAACGGAACUAUUCUCUCUGGAAGAUGUUUCUUACGAUCAAAAUAUAAUAUAACAUAGCUAGCCGGAUACUUGUCUGUUCAAGCAACUAUGACCCCUAUGCGUGGUUUCCACGCAUACCCCGGUCUACAUUACCGAGCGAGUAUUCGGAAGCACUCCGCACCUUCGGGUCGAGAGGUCGAAGUGAAAAAGUCCGCCAUGACAAUCGUUUUACAAUCCGGCUAGGGACAAAUUUGUCAAUUGAAGUACAUAGUCACUUGGACUCAAAAACUUCUUCCUCUAUGCCAUCUAACAGGCUAUCUAGCCUACAAUCCUGUUGGGAAUACAUGGCGGCUACUUGUACCUGGUCAUAUACCAAACUAACAGGAAUUUCUUUUCCAUCUGACCCUAAAGGUCUGAUCCGGGCCAUGCGAUUUGGAUCGAGCUUGGUAUGCCCUGUUUUCACCAUGGCCCAGGCCUCUCGCACACCUUCCCGGCAGGCCGAUAUCUUCCAAAAUCAGAAGCACCGCCACGCUCCCUUGAAUAGUUGUACAAGCUCCUCCAUACUUCCUGGAGGGGAGUCGGAUCGCCAUAAGGCAUUGGCAAUACUUUGCAUGGCCUGCCGAGCUCUCUCGUGCAUUUGCGAUAGCUCUUGUAGCAGAUCGCCCAAAGUCCCGACAUCUCCUCUUCAGGACGGUCGGUCAGCAUACCGGCAAACAUAAUUAUGUCAGUUCCUUUCCUUGUCGAACUACGUGAAGGUAAGUUUGAACAAAUACUAAAUAUGCCACCUCGUAGCCUCUUAUUUUCCUUCACGGAGUUAGCCAGCUGGGCCCGGACAUCUUUUAGUUCCACGCCCAGCUCGGUGUUGGAAUCCUGGAGUUUCUUUUUCUCCUCCGAGACCCGUGUCAGUAUACGUUCACCCGGAGCUAGUUGCCUUUGUGCUUCUGGAUGUCCCGCCUGUGCGACUUCCGGUACCUCUCCCGGAUGAUCUGACGACUCUUCCAUAAGAUAUGCACCUGUAUUAAUAAUCCUGGUAUAUGAUUAUGUUUUCUUGAUGGAGGGUAUCAUUACCAGACACUGCCUUCUUGGAUUUCUACAGUUCGGCGGUAGCAGUGGCUAGCUGGGUCCGACACUUUCCCAGCUCCUCAGACAACAGGUUGUUCUUCUUUGUGAGCACCUGGAUAUACAACGAUCCUCAAAUCAGUUGCAUCAACUGCUUCAAGUCUCGGGGGCUACUGGUAUAUAAUUAUCAGAAUCAUACAAGUGUGUACUUACCCGCAUAUCUUUCAAAUAUUGGUCAGUGGCUCUGGUAAGCCCAUCUCGAGCAGCUCGGAUGUAUGCAUCACCCGAGUUGAAGGCGUUGAAAGCCUCUUCUAAAAAACUGGGGUCGCGAAGAGCGGCCCGCCGGCGCCGAUGAUUCAUGGCGCUUUCCACUUCAGAGUUUGUGAUGAAUACACCAUCUGAAUCCUCUAAAGAAGGACAAUCUGGUGUCACUCCAGCGUCAACCUCGGUCCUUGAGACAGGGUCCGGAAUCUGGCUAGUGGAGGCAUGAUCGGCAGGAUCCCCGGACAUAGUCUGACGAAUGUUUUUCCUGAUAAGACACAAAGGAUAGCGUCACACUUCAUUGUGACAGCCAAGGAGCAUAUUUUAAAAACCAUACCUCUUUGAUGAAGGCUCGGAUGUGUUUUUAUUUACCUUCCUCUUUGAAGGUCUGCCCGGCAUAGGCGCCACUCUCUUGUGAGUCGCCUCAGGUGCAGCGUUGAGCGUCGAUCGCCUCCCCUUUGGAGCACGAGAUAGUGCAGUGGGUGAGGCAGAAUGAGGAAGUUCUUUCGAAGGAGAGGUCUCCUGAUUACUUACAUGUGAGGCAGGGAGAAGGCCGGGAUAGUCAGCGGUGAUGGCCACUUCCAUGCCGUCAUAGCUCACCUGGAUCCGGGGUCAAGGGCCCGGUUGUGGUCCUCUAGCACUGGUGCGGGGCUAUGGAGCUCCUUGGUGAUCUUCCGCCAUUCCUGUUACAAAUGGACGGAUCAAUAUUUAUGGAAAGUGACUCGGGGAGUAAACUAAGUGGAGUAGUGGGAUGGAAACUCACCCAGCUGGGAGGGUUGUGCAUGGAAAAUCCAUCUCUGCGCUUAAUGCGGAUGAACUCCUCUUUCUCCCCUUUGUAUAGUCCGGCCAGUAUUUUGGCCAAAGCGGCGGGGGUAUCUAGACCCUUCUGACCGCAGCGGAUGGCAUCGUUUUCUCCGUUAUAGUGCCACAUGGGAUGCCCUCUGUGUCGGAGUGGCUAGACCCCCCGUACUAUGGAUGUCACCAUAGCCUCGACUACCGACAAUCCAGACCGGACGAGCGUCUUUAUCUUGCUCAUUAAUUGACGGACAUCCGUGCUAUCUUCCUCCCCGAGGCUCCGGGGGCGCUAGCUAUGGCGUUUCUUCAACGGCGCACUUGAAAAUUCGGGAAGACCCAUUCGGACUCAGUCAGGAAGGGAGACGUCCUCAAUAUAGAACCAUUCGGAAGGCCACUCUUCGGAUGUCUUCUUCGAUGUGUCGGACAAGUAUCCGGUCCUAGCGAUGCGCCAUACCUCGGUGCCGCCUAGUUGAAAUAUUGAUCCCUCUUGAUUACGAGGGACGAGGCGAAAUAGUUCUUCCAUAAUUCAAAAUGGGCCUCGCAACCCAGGAAUAGCUCACAAAGAGCAACGCAACCCGCAAUGUGCAGGAUGGAGGCAGGAGUGAAACUGUGCAGUUGGAGGCCAUAAUACUCCAGAAGCCCUCGGAGGAAUGGAUGGAUUGGAAAUCCGACACCUCUCAACAAGUAGGGAACAAAGCAUAUUUGUUCCCCCACGGAUGGGUUGGGGAGAUUCUCCGCCUGUGCCCCACCAUCGAAGGAAUCCAAUCCGGCAUGAACGGGGACUAGAUCUGCGGGGCGAAGAAAUCCCUGUGUCUGCAGCUUCACUAGCUGAUUGUGGGAUAUGGAACACUUUUCCCAAUCGCUUUUUUUGGAGCUGUGGGGGUGGGAGGAAGAGCUGGGAGCGCUAGCCAUGUUGGAGUUGUUUCUGCUGGCAAGCUCUAAGGAUUCCUCGCUUGGUGUGGACUGAAUCUGAAGAUCCCCAUCUCUUGAAAUAGACAACUUUCUUACAUGGUCAGAGUGGUAUGUGCAAAAAUACCCCGACCUCUCGUAUUUGCUGGGCACGUGGAAGCUGAAAUCAUGAAGGUGCAGAAGCCGAUGAGUGUGACAUUAAAUGAAAAGCCGGAUACUGCUCCUUAAGUCAGGUACUUUGAAGUGAUCGGAGAAGGAACCCGCCUUGCAAUGCCAAAGACAAUCUGCGCGUCGGACACCUCGUCAUUGAAGCCUGGUUCGGGGGUUACCGAGGGAGUCCUAGAUUAAGGGGUCCUCGGACGGCCGGCCUAUUAACAUGGGCCGAGCUAUUGGGCUAUGAAGAUACAAGACAGAAGACUUCUUCCCGUGUCUGGAUGGGACUCUCCUUUGCGUGGAUGGCAAGCUUGGUGAUUCGGAUAUGUAGUUUCCUUUCUCUGUAACCGACUUUGCAUAACCCUAGUCCCCUCCGGUGUCUAUAUAAAUCGUAGGGUUUAGUCCGUAGAGGCAGGCAUAAUCACAUAGGCUAGACUUCUAGGGUUUUAGCCAUUACGAUCUCGUGGUAGAUCCACUCUUGUAAUACUCAUAUUCAUCAAGAUCAAUCAAGUAGGAAGCAGGGUAUUACCUCCAUAGAGAGGGCCCGAACCUGGGUAAACAUCGUGUCCCCCGCCUCCUGUUACCAUCAGCCUUACACGCAAAGUUCAGGACCCCCUGCCCAAGAUCCGCCGGUUUUGGCACCGACAGUGACCAUGUGCGAGCUCGAUGCCCUGUCCAUAGGGGCCAUCGACUCAUGGAAGACCCGGCCACCUGCGAGAAUUGGCAAGGGGAGCCUCGGGGUCGUCCUCGUGAGUCUGGUGUUGCGUCAGAUGAAGGGAGCCGGGGACAUGGAGCCGAGGCCCACUUGGAGUCGCCUCAGGAGCAACACGACUUUACUGGCGUGCGUGGGCUCGGCCUCGUCAUGGGACACACUGCUACCGUGAGCGUUGCAUCCAUAGAAGCAGGUGGCAGGGACGCCCUCGUCCUUUUUCCUGGAGGAGACCUGAGAAGCAAGAGCAUAAGGGAGGCUUGCCGUGUGAAAAUCAAGGGAAGUAGAGCGCUUACGCGUCCACGGCGAUCCACUUCCUCCUCUUCAACGGCCGCGGAGGAAGGCCGGUGCCAUCUUCAGGCCGCCCCUCCUUCGGGGAACGCGAGGAUCAGGGAUCAGCGCACCGAAGCUCGGCGUAUGGCUCCCCACGCUUGGAGCAGGGGCCACACCCUCGCGGGACGCAACGCCAAGAGCGCCCGGAGGCACAGAGACAGGCCGAUCCCCGUGCAAUUGUCACGGCAGAUGUCCUAGUGUGAGGACUUAGUCGUGAGGCCAACGCAUCUGUAACGCCUCGGAUACAACUUUCCAUAUUCGUAACUCCGACUCUUGCCUUUUCCGGAGAUGCUAUAUGAUAUUUCUUUCGUGGUUGGGUUUUUGUCUGUUGUUUUGCAUUUUGUUCUUGUUAUGCAUCUCAUCUCAUAGCAUCAUGCGCAUUGCAUCAGCAUCGUUUUCAUAAAACUUGCAUCCGUUCGUGUUCCGCCGGUUCUCUCCGUUGUCCGUUCUGAGCCCGACCACACUCGCACGCGCCCGCGGCACCUCCGAAAUAUUAUUUUAUAAGUGGCAUAAAAAUGUUCUCGGAAUGGGUUGCAACUUGUCGUGCGGUCUUAUUAUAGUGUAGACAGGCCGCCUGCCAAGUUUCGUCGCAUUCGGAGUCCGUUUGACUGCCCAACCGUUAUAUUUAUAACCGCGAGAUAGUCGGUUUAAUCGUCGGACGUUUCGGUCUCCGAAAUCGUGUCGGGCUGCAUUUCUCCUCUCUCUCCUAUCAGCCCAAGCCUCUCUCUCACACAGCCCACUAACCCCUUCUAGCCCACCUAUCUAACCCCCUCUGCUCUGGACCGUUGGAUCGAGAUCCGAUGUCCGAAAACGGAGCAAAACCCCUAACCCUAGACCCCUGCCUAUUUAAGAAGCCCCCCUUGCCAUUUUUGAGUGCCCCUAGCCUUCCCCUACCCUCAGCCGCCACAUCCCCCUCGAAAACCGCGCCACCAGCCAGAUCCAUCCACCUCCUCCCUGUUUUCCGGCGCCCUCCACCUCAUCCUCGCCAUGUGGCGCCGCCUGAGUGGUCGCGCCGCCACCCAGCAUCGCCCCCCUCCAACCGGAGCUGGUCACGUCGCCCCUGCCUCCCUCCUCCACCUCGCGCGGCCCACAGAGCCCGUCCGAGGCCCGCUCAGGCCCGAAUCGCCGCCGUCCGGGCGCCCGCUCGCCUCCCGGCCCCGCAGCUCUGCUCGAUGGGAUCGAGAGAGAUCCCGAGCGCCGCCGCCUCUCGCCUCCCAUCGGCGACCCGGCAGCCCCGCCGGAGCCAGCAGGUCAGCGCCCCGCGCCCCAUCUCCUCCUUCCCUCUCCUUCCUGUCCCUCUUCCUCCUCGCCCUCUCAUCCUCUCUCUCUCUCCCUUCGCAGUGGGAUCGAGAGAGAUCCCGAGCGCCGCCGCCUCUCGCCUCCCGUCGGCGACCCGGCAGCCCCGCCGGAGCCAGCAGGUCAGCGCCCCAUCUCCUCCUUCCCUCUCCUUCCUGUCCCUCUUCCUCCUCGCCCUCUCAUCCUCUCUCUCUCUCCCUUCGCAGGCCGCCAUGGACGCCGACCCCGUCGAGGUCUCGUCGCCCCGAGCUCGGCCUCGGGUCAGAUCCGGCCGGAAACGGGGCCCCGCCUCCUCCCGUGGCUGGAUCCGCCCGUCCCUGUCCUCUCCUCGCGCCCCGGCCUCCUCCUGGCGCUCGCCGCCGGCGCCGCCUCCGCUCGUCCUCGUCGGGCGAGGACGACGCCCUCGCCUCCCAGUCGCGCCCCGCGUGGGCCUCCCCAGCUCCAACCCAGCAUCGCGAGGCCCAGCGCCUUCCAGCCGGCCCGCAGCUCCCCAGGCCCAGCCGCAGCCAGCCCCAGGCCCCGCCGAAGCCGCGCCAGGCCCAGCUGGCCUCCUCCACCGAGCCGGCCCAAGUGCCAUGGUGAGCAGCCCCCCCCCCACUGUUGGCCCGGCUAGUUUCGGCCCAUGUAUUUUUUUUCCAUGCGCUGCGAUUUUUGUCAUUAACCAGAGACUGCCUGUUUUACAGAAAAACCGUCUAACUUCAAGCAUAUAAUUACUCAUGAACCGUGCAUCACAUUAAAGUAAUUUAUAUAUGUAAAAUGCUCAGAAAAUUGUGUAGAUUAAUAAUAUGCCAUUUUAAUCCAUGUUUAAAAUGUUUAACAUGUUGUUUGUGUUUAUUUUGCAUAAUGCCAUGCUAAAAUGAUUUAAUUCAUAACUAAAUAACCGUAGCUCGGAUUUUAAUAAACUUUAUAUGUAAAUGGGGUGGAAAAAUGCCUAGAUUAACAUGGUCCACUUUAUUUUCCUGUUUAACAACUCUAAAAUUGUGUUUAGGGCAGAACAGUACCGAAUCUAAAAUAUGGACAUGGGGAUUUUCCGGAAUUGUUGUUUUGUGGUUCCGGCCUCAUUUAAACUUGCUUAGAUAGGUAGUUUUCUUAUGUUUCACCCUCUUGCCAUGUUAAUCAACAUUUAAUAUUGUUGGGUACUUAACCGAGAUCAAACUAAAUAAUUGCAUGUGGUGUUUCGUCAAUAUGCAACUCGUUGCAUAUUGAGCUCCGCUUAACUUGUAGUACUGCUUGUUGCACUUUGCCAUGCCAUGCCUUAUUAAACCGGUCAUGCAUCAUACUUGUUUGUGCAUCAUGCCAUGAUUAUGCUCGUGCAUUUACCAUGUUGUUUAUUUCUUUCCGGUGUUGCUUCUUAGUUCCGGUAAUGUUGCGAUUGUGAGGAUUCGUUCGACUACUCCCGUUCGUCUUCUUCAUGGAUUCGUUCUUCUUCCUAGCGGGAUUUCAGGCAAGAUGACCGCUACCCUGGAUCUCACUACUAUCAUUGCUAUGCUAGUUGCUUCGUUCUAUCGCUUUGCUGCGCUACCUAUCAUCUGUUUGUCGAGCCAUCCCAUGUUGCCAUGAACCUCUAACCUUUGACACCUUUCCUAUGCAAACCGUUGUUUGGCUAUGUUACCGCUUUGCUCAGCCCCUCUUAUAGCGUUGCUAGUUGCAGGUGAAGUUGAAGAUUUCUCCAUGGUGGACAGGAUUUUGGUUGGGAUAUCACAAUAUCUCUUAUAUUAUUAAUGCAUCUAUAUAUUUGGUAAAGAGUGAAAGGCUCGGCCUUAUGCCUGGUGUUUUGUUCCACUCUUGCCGCCCUAGUUUCUGUCAUACCGGUGUUAUGUUCCCGGAUUUUGCAUUCCUUACGCGGUCGGGUGAUUUAUGGGACCCCCUUGACAGUUCGCUUUGACUUUUACCAUUUGCCUCACCACCACCUACUUUUCCCUUGGGAGUAAUUAACCCAAGGGUCAUCUUUACUACNNNNNNNNNNNNNNNNNNNNNNNNNNNNNNNNNNNNNNNNNNNNNNNNNNNNNNNNNNNNNNNNNNNNNNNNNNNNNNNNNNNNNNNNNNNNNNNNNNNNNNNNNNNNNNNNNNNNNNNNNNNNNNNNNNNNNNNNNNNNNNNNNNNNNNNNNNNNNNNNNNNNNNNNNNNNNNNNNNNNNNNNNNNNNNNNNNNUCUAAGUGUUGGUCCGAACUAGAGCCCUUUGCAGCGCCCCCUCAGGCAAACUUGAGGUCUGGUUUUAGUUGUACGGAUUGCUCAUCCGGUGUUGCCCUAAGAACGAGAUAUGUGCAGCUCCUAUCGGGAUUGUCGGUGCAUCGGGCGGCUUUGCUGGUCUUGUUUUAUCAUUGUCGAAAUGUCUUGUAAACCGGGAUUCCGAGUCUGAUCGGGUCUUCCUGGGAGAAGGUCUAUUCCUUUGUUGAUCACGAGAGCUUGUCAUGGGCUAAGUUGGGACACCCCUGCAGGGUAUAAUCUUUCAAAAGCCGUGCCUGCGGUUAUAGGCAGAUGGGAAUUUGUUAAUGUCCGGUUGUAGACAACUUGACACCAGAUCCGGAUUAAAACGCAUCAACCGCGUGUGUAGCCGUGAUGGUCUCUUCUCGGCGGAGUCCGGGAAGUGAACACGGUUUCUGGGUUAUGUUUGACGUAAGUAGGAGUUCAGGAUCACUUCUUGGUCAUUGCUAGUUUCACGACCGUUCCGCUUGCUCUCUUCUCGCUCUUAUUUGCGUAUGUUAGCCACCAUAUAUGCUUAGCCGCUGCUGCAGCCUCACCACUUUACCCCUUCCUUCCCUUUAAGCUUUGCUAGUCUUGAUACCCAUGGUAAUGGGAUUGCUGAGUCCUCGUGGCUCACAGAUUACUACAACAACAGUUGCAGGUACAGGUUGUGCGAUGAUCAUGACGCGAGAGCGAUGUUUGCUUGUCUUGAAGUGCUGCUUCUGCUUCUUCUUUGAUCAGGGGAUAGGUUCCAGGUCGGCAGCCUGGGCUAGCAGGGUGGAUGUCGUUUGAGUUUCUGUUUGUGUUUCAUCCGUAGUCGGAUGAUGCUCUGAUGUAUUGUGAUGUUGUAUUCGUGUGGCAUUGUAUGCCUUAUGUAUGUAUCCCCUUCUAUUAUGUAAUGUUGAUGUAAUGAUAUCCACCUUGCAAAAGCGUUUCAAUAUGCGGGUCUAUCCUUGGUGGGACCUUCGAGUUCCUUUUGGAUAGGGUCGCAUAUUGGGCGUGACAAGUUGGUAUCAGAGCCUCGACCGACCCUAGGAGCCCCCUUGAUUGUUGGCCGUUGUUGAGUCUAGAAGAAAACUAUUUUGAGUCUUAGGAUUAUAUAUAUCAGAGAGUAGGAUUCUUUUUACUCCUCGGCCCCCUUUGUCGCUCUGGUGAGGACUCUUGACGUAGAUGUUUUGACUUUCCUCUCCUCAAAUUUCACUAAAAAAAAUUUUAGGAUCACGCGGGUAUCCUGGAAUCAUUACGAUGGUUUUGUGACGAGAACAUUGUUCUUGGUGCCUCCUGUCUAUUUAUGUGGCUUUGACCCGGGGAGUCGAGCUCUGAGGUGUUGUCGUCACAAUUUUAUCGUUGCAGUUCUGUAAUACCUAAGAUUUGCCGACAUCGAAAAUCUCUUUUAUGCAGUUGUUGGUGAGAUAACCCCGAUAACCAAGUACUGGGGCGAGCUCGGGAGUACUGCCAUAACUCGUAUAACGGAUGCUUUUCGAAGGUUGAGGUACACGAUUUCCGGAGUUUUCUUGGUUAUGUGUUGACGGAUGGAUACAGCUGGAUGUAGGUAUUGUUAGUUUGGGUGAGAUAUAUUGCUUCCCCUGUAUCCCCAACACCAGAUUGCAUAACCAGAAAGUUUUCGGAGUUUUAUAGGUGGGAAUUCAAAUAGCUCCUAGAAUAUCUUUUCGACAGAUGCAUGAUAUGAGAUUGGGGUUCGACAUCUAGUGGUCCGCCUUUCCACGGUCGUUUUUACAGUGGUCUCGUUGUGUCUUAAAGAACCCUUGGCUAUGCUGGUUCGGGGACACUUCGUAUGUCAUGUGCACUGCCUUGUACAUGAUGGUGCUGUACACUCGAGCCCGUGUGGGCCCCACCACGAAAACUUCGGACGAAAUCUCUAUCAUAUGUUUGUUCCGGCUUAUUCUGCAAGCCAAAUCCUUUGUUUUGUUUUAUUUGUGGUAUUCGAGUUGCUUCGAAGUCAAAUGUCGAAUCCAUACCUUUCAAGCGGUGUUCUCAUAUUGCUAUGUGAAUACUAAUCCUUUUGAUCAUCGAGAUCGUCAUGUUAAUUCUUUUUCAACCGGUGUGCUUCUCUUCAAGUGGUUCCAAUCUUUUUCAACAUCCGCAAGAUCAAUUCUAAGUUUUCUCAACGGUAUCCGUUUCAUCCGUCCCAAGUUGUCUUUGUUUUUCCCCACCCUCCCACCCUUUACUUCAAGGACUCAUAUAUGUUAAUCAAGUAUCCAUUUAUUCAUAUGAAGUUUCUCCAUUCUUUUCCUGUCAAUGUUCUGAACCGGUGAUCCCUCAUGAAGAUGCUCACGAGCUUCAAAUUCAUCAUCCUUCGUUCUUUUUUUUUCUUCUCCGGUGGAUUUAAUUCAAGAUUUCGGUGUUGAUCAUAUCCCUUUCCUCGUUUCAAAUGUUUUUUCCACAUCGGUGCACCUCUUAAUUGUUCACCUCUCUCUAUUCUUAUCCGGAGUGCUCAAGAUAUCUCAGAAGACUUGUGUUUCCAUUCUCAAUCCGUUCAAGAUAUUUGGAGAUUGUUAUCUCAUUCAAGUCAUUUAAUUCAACCGGUGCAAUCCCCCCUUUCAAUCAAUUGUUCAACGAUGUUUCUUUUGAGUGGGCCCUAACCCACAGGCCUUUUUUCCCAUGAUCUUACCUGACUCUUCGAAUUAUCAGGAGCGAUUCUCAAAUUCAUUUGAAAGUUUGACGUAAGAAUGAAAUAUCAUCAGUCAAAUGUCUUUCUCCAAGAUCUUUCAAAUUCUUUUCAUCGUUGGUUCAACAUUUCUAUUCUUCUUUGCUCCGGAGUGUCUCAUAAAUUGUUAGGGUGGUUCUCAUCAUCUUUCUCAACUUUUGAAGACCGAAGAAGGAUUUCUCUUAAAUCUUGCUCCAUUCUCUUCAAGAUUCAUAGCUCUCUUAAAUUCUUUUCACCCAUCCGGAGCAAUUCAAGAGUCUUUUCAGAUUGAUUCUCCGUAGCCCAUCAUCUUAGAAUUAUUCAUUCUCAGCCUUAAACUCUCGUUCUGGAAUUUUUCCGAUGCAUCGUUCAAAUAUCCUCUAAUCAGUUCAUGGCCUCUUCGUUCUCAUGUAUCUAAAUUCCCUCAAGUAUCUUCAUUCGUUCUCUAAUUCUUACCGGUGAUUCACCCCUUUACUUCUUUCAUUUUCAAUUAUUAUGGUGGUUCAUUCAAGAGUUCUCUUUUCUUGGUUAUCAUAUCAAUUCAUUCGUUGUUUCCAAAUUCCACCGGUGGUUCCAUCUAUACCUUCUCAAGUUUGUGCUAUAUCUCUCUUAAUUCUUUCUACGAGAAUAAGUAGUAUGCCAAAUCCGUUGCUUGUCAUCAAUUUAAAUUGGUGAAGGAUAGGCAUGACAUAAUUCUUAUUCUUGUUUCAUCCAAGUGACUAAUUCUUUUCUUUCGGAGAUUAUUCAUGAUGAAUAAAUUCUUGAUUACAAGUGAUUCAUCUUUCUUUCCGGAGUUGGUCAUCAUAUCACAUUCUCGGUUCGAGAGGUUUCAUCUUUCUUUUCGGAGUUCCAAGCUCUCUCAAUUAUCUUGUCGCGAAGCUCCAUCUAAAUCAUCGCAAGGCUUCACCUUGUGUUUUCAACUUCUCUUUCUUUUUAUCAUCCUUUUAUUACCGGAGUUCUUCAUGGAGGCUCUACUUGAUGGUUCGUCAAGGAUUAUUUUCAUUCUUCAACUGUUCUUCAAGAUUUCUCUUGAAGUUAUGAUCUGCUAAGCUUUACUCUAAAAUAAACAUGGUGCUCAACACAUGUUUUGUUUUGAGGAGCUCAAGUAUUCUUCAUCUUGCAUUCUGAAGUGCAAUUCUUUCUACCUUAUCAUUUGAGGUGGUGUUAUGUCAUUCUUGACAAUUUGAGUUCGUGUUUCAUGAUUCACAUGUUGUCAAGAAUGAGAUAUUUUAAAAACCAUCAUUUUUCUCUUCGAUCAUGAGGUAUUUUAAAUCCAUCAAUCUCUUUGUUGGAGUUAUCUUGGGUUAUAUUUCACCUAAAGCCUUCCAUUGGGAAUGUUGCUAUUUGUGGUGCUUAUCAUUGAUCCAAGCUUUCUCCAUAUCCUUCUUGGUGAAAGAGGUUUUUCAUCUCUUCGUUGAUCUCAAACAAGCAAUUUUUUUUCCGUUAGUGGCAGAAUGUCAUCUCAUAGUCUUGCGAUGUUUCCAUAAGCCCACUACAAGCUUAUUCUUUUCGUUUUUGGUUUUCCAACAACCCCGUUGUAACCAUCUUGGAAGGGUGCUUUCCAAGCUCAUUUGUGGCAGAAAUUGUCAUUUUCUUCUCCGCCCCUUUUAUCCCAACAAUCUAACUUCUAUUCUUUCGUCCCGAAGGCAUUGUGAUGUUGCUCUCUUCACUCAUCAUCUCGAUUUAAAGAUCAUGUUCUUCUCCUUGCUUCUCCAUUUAGCCAGAGUGUCGUGUUUUCAUUCGAGUUCUCUCAUCUUAUCAAGUUUUGCCCCCUUCACAACCGAAGUGCUAUCUGAAAUCUUUCUUACCCCUUGUGCCAUUUUUUUUCAAUAGUUCCGGAGGCAGUAUGUUGUUGAUUUCAUCAAUUAUCCUCUCAUCUUGUCAAGUUCAUGCUCAAUUUCUUCCAUUUACAGUCGGAGUGCUGUCCAAAUUAUAUCAUUCUUAUUCAUUCUUAUCUCGUUUCAACUAGAGUGGUUUCAAUUCCUUCUUGUCCAUUGUGCUCGUUAUUCAUAGAUUUGCAACCUCCAAGGUUCACAUGGUGUUCCUUCUUUCUAUUCUCUACCACAGUGCUCUCAAUUAUGUUCAACUCUGUUGUGUUCUCUCUUUCAACUUUUCAACCUCUCAAGGUUCGUGGUUUCACUCGUUUGUCGAAGAAGCAACUUAGUUUUACCGCUUAUCUUCCUCUUUCUUUUCCCUCCGGUGCCAUCCUAGAUCUCGGGACGAGAUCCUCUUGUAGUGGUGGAGUGUUGUAACGCCCCGGAUACAACUUUCCAUAUUUGUAACUCCGACUCUUGCCUUUUCCGGAGAUGCUAUAUGAUAUUUCUUUCGUGGUUGAGUUUUUGUCUGUUGUUUUGCAUUUUGUUCUUGUUAUGCAUAUCAUCUCAUAGCAUCAUGCGCAUUGCAUCGGCAUCGUUUUCAUAAAACUUGCAUCCGUUCGUGUUCCGUCGGUUCUCUCCGUUGUCCGUUCUGAGCCCGACCACACUCGCACGCGCCCGCGGCACCUCUGAAAUAUUAUUUUAUAAGUGGCAUAAAAAUGUUCUCGAAUGGGUUGCAACUUGUCGUGCGGUCUUAUUAUAGUGUAGACAGGCCGCCUGCCAAGUUUCGUUGCAUUCGGAGUCCGUUUGACUGCCCAACCGUUAUAUUUAUAACCGCGAGAUAGUUGGUUUAAUCGUCGGACGUUUCGGUCUCCGAAAUCGUGCCGGGCUGCAUUUCUUCUCUCUCUCCUAUUAGCCCAAGCCUCUCUCUCACACAGCCCACUAACCCCUUCUAGCCCACCUAUCUAACCCCCUCUGCUCCGGACCAUUGGAUCGAGAUCCUAUGUCCGAAAACGGAGCAAAACCCCUAACCCUAGACCCCUGCCUAUUUAAGAAGCCCCCCUUGCCAUUUUUGAGUGCCCCUAGCCUUCCCCUACCCUCAGCCGCCGCAUCCCCCUCGAAAACCGCGCCACCAGCCAGAUCCAUCCACCUCCUCCCUGUUUUCCGGCGCCCUCCACCUCAUCCUCGCCACGUGGCGCCGCCUGAGUGGUCGCGCCGCCACCCAGCAUCGCUCCCCUCCAACCGGAACUGGCCACGUCGCCCCUGCCUCCCUCCUCCACCUCGCGCGGCCCGCAGAGCCCGUCCGAGGCCCGCUCAGGCCCGAAUCGCCGCCGUCCGGGCGCCCGCUCGCCUCCCGGCCCCGCAGCUCUGCUCGAUGGGAUCGAGAGAGAUCCCGAGCGCCGCCGCCUCUCGCCUCCCGCCGGCGACCCGGCAGCCCCGCCGGAGCCAGCAGGUCAGCGCCCUGCGCCCCAUCUCCUCCUUCCCUCUCCUUCCUGUCCCUCUUCCUCCUCGCCCUCUCAUCCUCUCUCUCUCUCCCUUCGCAGGCCGCCAUGGACGCCGACCCCGUCGAGGUCUCGUCGCCCCGAGCUCGGCCUCGGGUCAGAUCCGGCCGGAAACGGGGCCCCGCCUCCUCCCGUGGCUGGAUCCGCCCGUCCCUGUCCUCUCCUCGCGCCCCGGCCUCCUCCUGGCGCUCGCCGCCGGCGCCGCCUCCGCUCGUCCUCGUCGGGCGAGGACGACGCCCUCGCCUCCCAGUCGCGCCCCGCGUGGGCCUCCCCAGCUCCAGCCCAGCAUCGCGAGGCCCAGCGCCUUCCAGCCGGCCCGCAGCUCCCCAGGCCCAGCCGCAGCCAGCCCCAGGCCCCGCCGAAGCCGCGCCAGGCCCAGCCGGCCUCCUCCACCGAGCCGGCCCAAGUGCCAUGGUGAACCGACUCGCUCCCGCAUAGGCUAGGGUUCCCCCCGCCGCCGCCGCCGCCCCCAGUCCCUGACUCGUAUGCUCAUCACCGCGGCUAGCUCCGGCGACAUGACCAGAGGGUAGGAGCCAUCUUCCGUCGCUUCUCCAACCUCGGGCAUGACCCCUACCUUCCCCAGUGGCCAGGAGCAGCUCGUGUUGGUCCCGUCGGUGCCCUACUCCGGUGGUCGGUGCCCCACUCCGGCCGCGACCCAGUCCGACGAGAAGGAGCCCCGUUCGUUUCCCUCCCCUCCUCAGUCUGUGGCCAUGAGCUCGGCCGGCAAGGUGAGCGGCUCGUUUGAUUUUUAAUCCAGAUUUGCUAUCUGGUGCUGCUGAUGGAUGUUAUGAACUGCUGGUGCUGUAUGAUGUAUGUGGUGUUGCUUAUGUAUGUGGUGCUGCUGAUAUAUGCUAGAACUAAUUUUGAUAUGGAUGUGUUGGUUGUGUCAAGUAGUAGUACAAGAUUGUUGCCCUCUGGAUGCUACCAUUUUAUUUGCAUAGACGAAAUAUUGAUGGAUGUGCUGAUUGUGUCAAGUAGUAAGCAAAUUUAUGUUCAUUUGAGCAGCAAAAUGAUAAAAAUAACACAAUAUCAUUUAAUCAGGACAACCAUAUGUCCAAGGGCAUUAGAUAAGCUGAAAAAAACUGGCACUGAAAAGAACUGGCUAUCUUAUUAUUUAUCUGGAGCUUAUUUCCACAUGAGCUUAUCUAGAGCUUAUUUCCACAGGAGCUUAUUCUGACAACAUAGCUCAAAAGAACUGGCCGUGAAGCGGACUCGCGCGGAGGAGCUCUGCCUCUGGGCCAGGCGCGUAGCUGGCGUCCAUCUCGGCGCCGGGGAGGGAGGAACAAGGGCGCGGCUGAGUCCGCUGCCUUCGCCACUCACCACUGCCUGCCGAUGUGGUUGUCUGCAUCUUCAUGAGCCACGACCGACCACCCCGUCGUCGCUAGCCAUUCUCGCGCCAGAGAUAUCCUUCGACCGUUGUUGUGUCCCGCCAGCCCCUAGGCGCCCUUGUCCGGACAAGUUCCACUGUUCCCCUUCAGGUCCUCCUCAACACCCAACCGCAACCGGCAACCAAGGUAUGUCUCUGCAGGUUUUUAAUUUAUUCCAAUACAUUGCACCUGUCAAACAAACUAUGGCCACUUGAUUCCUUUUCACGAUUGAACUUGAUGCCAUUUGUUUUACGGAGAAUGUGUAUUAUUUCACCUCGGGCAACCAACUGAAAUCUGGAUGAACUGCCAAAAUGCUAGCUAAAAUAAAGAACUCAGCAAUUUCGAGUACGUUUAUGUUUCUGUAAACUGACUUUGGGUGUUAUCUGAUGUUUGUGUUAACUGAAUUGAUGUGACUCAACUGAAUUUGUCAACUGAAUCUUUAGAGUUAACUGAAUGUUGGUGUUAAAUGAAUCUUCAGUGUUAACUGAAUGUUGUUUUUAACUGAAACUUUAGUUUUAGCUGAAUUUAUGUGCUACCUCAAAUUAGCGUUAAUUGGAUCCAUGGUGCAUUUUUCAGGGUGGGAUUACCUCUGUAAUUUGCAAAAAGUAUCUUAGAACUGGUUUGGCUAUGCCACAAAACGCAGUAAAGUCUUCUUCACCGCACACACAGGCAGGUAGAGUUCGGCAGCAAUAACGAAUAGCAGUAGAUAAUAGGUUGCGGUUGUAAACGUGUAGUGGCUAGAUGAAAAAUAUAGUGGAUGGAAGUAGCACCCUGGUGUAGUACUAGAAUAUAUGGGUCAAUUAGGCUAACGAUGAUCAGCGGCAGCGAUGGCGGCAGAGUAAUUAGCAGAUGGAUAAUGAGAACUUGUAGAAGCUGGAGGAAAUAAGGAUUCGUCCUUUGCAGAUAGCAAGAACUGAGUUUUUUAGCACAACAGUGAAGAAGAUAACGACGUCAGUCCUUUAUGUGCCUGGGCUAAUGCUUUGCCAAAUCCGACUUUCGAAAAGCUUGAUCGAGUUCUCGUGAGCGUGGAGUGGGAACAGAAGUUCCCUCUUGUUACGGUUCAAGCUCUCUCGCGGGGCGUAUCCGAUCACACGCCCCUGUUUGUGGACUCAGGGGAGCCGAACCACAUGGGAAACAAGAACACCUUUUCUUUCGAGAUGGCCUGGUUCGAACGCGAAGGGUUCUUGGACCUGAUUGCCAGGGAAUGGGCUAAGGGUGCGGGAGGUAGGACUGCGGUCGAGCGUUGGCAGAACAAGAUUAGGCAUUUGAGAAGUUUCUUACGGGGUUGGGCUAAGCACCUUAGUGGGGUGUAUAAGAUUGAAAAGGAUAGGCUCCUUUCUCUUAUACAGACCCUAGACUUAAAGGCCGAAUCCAUGAUUUUGCUGCCAGCUGAGCUUCAGGUUAAAAAUGAGGCAGAGAAGAGGUUGAAAGAACUUCUCCGCGAGGAAGAAUUGAAGUGGGCUUUGCGGGCUAAGGUCCGCAAAGUGGUCCAGGGGGACACGAAUACUCAAUUCUUUCACUUGAUUGCUAAUGGUAAGCACAGAAAGAAGAGAAUCUUCCAACUUGAACAAGAUGAGGGCACUAUUUUAGGACAGGACAACCUAAAAAACUAUAUAACCGAGUAUUAUAGACAGUUAUUUGGACCUCUGGAGGAUAAUUGUGUGUCCCUCGAUGAGUCCAGGACUGAGGAUGUGCCUCAACUAUCGGCUGCUGAGAAUGAUAUUCUGGUUUCCCCGUUCUCAGAGAAGGAGUGUUUGAUGCUAUUGCACAGAUGAAAAACAAUAAGGCUCCUGGACCGGAUGGAUUCCCGGUCGAGUUCUACAAAAAGUGUUGGCACAUUAUUAAGGGGGAUUUGCUACCUUUGUUUCAUGAUCUGUUCUCUGGACAACUAUCAUGCUGCUUCCUAAGAAAACAGAUGUUGUGAGAAUUGAGCAGUUCAGGCCGAUAUGCCUUCUCAAUGUUAGUUUCAAAAUCUUUACCAAGGUCGGGACUAAUAGGCUCACACAGAUUGCGCAUUCUGUGGUGCAACAAUCCCAAACUGCUUUCAUGCCGGACAGAAACAUCCUUGAAGGGGUGGUUGUCCUUCAUGAAAUGCUCCAUGAAAUCCAUUCCAAAAAAUUAGAUGGAGUAAUUUUUAAGGUGGAUUUCGAGAAAGCGUACAAUAAGGUUAAAUGGCCUUUCCUCCAACAGGCAUUGCGUAUGAAAGGUUUUGAUGAAGCCUGGCGCCGUCAGUUUGAAUCAUUUACGCAAAAAGGGUGUGGGAAUUAAAGUGAAUGACGAUAUUGGUCAUUACUUCCAGACACAUAAAGGCCUAAGACAAGGAGAUCCGAUGUCCCCUAUCCUGUUUAACAUUGUGGUUGAUAUGUUAGCGAUUUUGAUAGGAAGGGCUAAGGAGAAUGGUCAAGUAGGUGGCUUGGUACCUCAUCUUGUUGAUGGAGGUAUAUCCAUUCUUCAGUACGCUGAUGAUACAAUCAUCUUUAUGGAGCAUGACUUGGCCAAGGCGAGAAAUAUGAAGCUGGUGCUAUGCCUUUUCGAACAAUUGACCGGGUUAAAGAUUUUAACUUUCAUAAGAGCGAGUUGUUCUGCUUUGGUAGAGCCAAAGACGAACAGGAGGCUUAUAGGUAAUUGUUUGGGUGUGAGUUGGGGGAUUUACCUUUCUCUUACCUAGGUAUCCCAAUCCACCAUUGUAAGCUGACAAACAGAGAAUGGAAGUGCAUCGAAGACCGAUUUGAGAAGAAACUGAGUUGCUGGAAGGGCAAGCUCAUGUCAUACGGAGGCCGAUUAAUUCUAAUUAAUUCGGUGCUCACGAGUAUGCCUAUGUUUCUCCUAUCGUUCUUUGAAGUCCCAGUUGGUGUCAGGAAAAUACUGGACUUUUAUAGAUCACGUUUCUUUUGGCAGGGUGAUGAACUAAAAAGAAAAUACCGGCUUGCUAAAUGGGAUAUCAUCUGCAGACCGAAAGACCAAGAGGGUCUUGGUAUUGAGAAUCUUGAAGUAAAGAACAGAUGCCUUCUCAGUAAGUGGCUGUGGAAGUUGUCAUCUGAGACUGAUGCCACGUGGGCGCAAAUCCUUCGCAGCAAGUACCUACAAACAAAAUCCUUGUCCCAGGUCACAGUCAGGCCGACUGACUCGCCUUUCUGGAGAGGACUGAUGAAAGUCAAACAAUCCUUGUUUAAUAGGACAAAGUUUGUCAUUGGCAACGGCGCCAGUACACGUUUCUGGGAGGAUACUUGGCUCGGCGACACACCCUUGGCCAUUCAAUAUCCGUCUUUAUAUCGUAUUGUUCAACGACGUGAGGUGUUCGUUGCAACGGUAUUUCAAUCUAUCCCCCUUAAUAUCCAGUUCAGACGGUCGCUAGCGGGCAAUCGUUGGGAAGAAUGGCUCCGUCUAAUUAGGAGACUGAUGGAGGUUCAGCUUUCUCAACAACCUGAUGAAUUACGCUGGAAACUGACUAGGUCUGGAGUUUUCACAGUUAAAUCAAUGUAUAUUGAUGUUAUUAAUUCGAACUCCAUUCCUACCUCCAAGCAUGUUUGGGUUGUCAAAGUUCCAUUGAAAAUAAAAGUGUUUAUGUGUUUUGUUCAUAAACAAGUUAUUUUAACCAAGGACAAUUUGAAAAAGCGUAAUUGGACAGGACCUACUAGGUGUAGUUUCUGUGAUCGGGAUGAGUCGAUCAAACACCUCUUUCUUGAUUGUCCGUUGGCCAAGGUCCUUUGGCGGACGGUCCACAUUGCUUUUAAUAUUACUCCACCGAAUUCUGUCAACAUGUUAUUUGGUACAUGGCUUAAUGGGAUUGAGCAUGACUUAGUGAGACAUAUUCGUGUUGGAGUUUGCGCUUUGUUGUGGACUAUUUGGAAUUGCAGAAAUGAUUUGGUUUUUAACAGAACAUCACGUAUUCACUUUUUGCAGGUUAUUUUCCGAGCCACGGCAUUGAUCCGUUCGUGGUCGCUACUCACUCCGAUGAAGGCCAGGGAGCAUUUGGUUACUGGAUCCAUCCGAUGGGAGAUGGUAGCUCGGGAUAUCUUCAACCGAUUUGGAUGGCGGUCAUGUAAUAGGAUAGGCAAUUAGUUUACCUAUCUAUCUUUAGCCAGCCGGUUCUGGCGUCUUUCUUUGGCUAGUUAGUGUUUCUAGUCCUUUUUGGCUCUGUGUGAGCUUUCUUUUCAGUUUUUUUACUGUUGGAGACUUUGGCACCUUGUUUGGAACCUUUUUAUUUGGUUAAUAAGAUGGCCGUAUGCAUCUAUCUGAUGCAGAGGCCGGGGAGAACCCCCUUUUGAAAAAAAGAAAGAGAAUACCAUGGUUUUCUAAAAAAGCCAUGGUUUUAAAGACUUUGAUGUGUUUGGCAUUAACAAAUACUUUAGUUUAUAAAACCGUAGUACCUCAGAAAACUGUGUAUUUUACUGUAUCUAAAAAAUAGGUCCAGACCUCUUUUUUCCAAACCGAGGGACACUCACGCCUGACUGGUCUCUCGAGUUCAUCUUCUGUCCGCCAUCAGAUGUGAGUUGUUCCUCAUGUUCUAGCCACAAACAAACCAAGCUCACCACAUGGAAAGAGAGGCACGUGGUCUUCUACACACCUACUCUACUCCCUGUGAUGUACCUGAAGACAUAUGCCGACUUGUUCACGGCAGCAUGCAUGCGGCAACUGUUAGCACAAGCUGGUCAGGUCUUAAUAAUUGGUGUAGCUGAGUUAGGUUCACCUAGCUAUCUCUAGGACGUAAUAAUAGGUCAAACCAGAGGUAACUUAAAAAGAUUGUGCUUGCCAAAUGCUCUGUAGUUUUGCCAAAGCAAAGGAAAACUUCAGUUUUCAGAAACUGUGGUAUUCAUUGCCCAAUCAUUUGAAUACCAUAUUUGGAUUGCUGUGGUUUUAGAAAUAUUGUGCUCCCAAACUAGGCCUCAGUUUUUUAGAAAUAGGCCUGAGGUUCUUUUUUUAUGCAGAGAAAAACUACAGUUUGGUCAAUACUGUAAAUAAAACUAAGGUAAUCUAAAAAAAACUGUAGUAUUCUCAAAAAACUUAGAAAAUACUCUGAUAUCAAACAUGCCGUUAGUUUCUUAAGCGACCUGAUUGUUUUAUGUUUUUCAUGCAUGUAAUGUCUACAGUGUUAUUCAGCUGCUGCUAUUUUGGUAUUUUUCUGCAUGUAGAUGCAUAGAAGUUGGAUGCAUGGUACACUGUUUUCCCGUGAGUACAUCAGUGGUAUCAAAGAAUUUAUGAACUUCAUUCAAGAUAAAUUCGGUGAGGAUGAUGAAAUACUCUGCCCGUGUAGUUGAUGUCUUAAUCAGAAAUAUCAUCUUAAUCAGGAAUAUCUAAAGCGGACCAUUGUGGAGAAUCACAUGUUGAUGAAUGGCAUUGAAAGUACAUAUACUCGCUGGAUACAUCAUGGAGAAGUCUUUGAUCUAGAUGUUGUUGAACAUCCUGUUCAUGUGCAUGGUACUGAAGAUGGUUCCGUACAUGGGACUGAGGAUGAGAACAAUGGUGUUGAUCAACUUGAAGGGAUGUUAGGAGACCUGCACACAGCAGCAGAACAAGCUCAAAAGGAAGGUGAAAAUCAAGAUGAAAACAAUGGCGCAAGCCCUCAUGAGAAUGAGUCUUUUUUUGGAGUACGCGAAGAAAGAGGCAAAGCGCCAACUUUAUCAUGGUUGCACCAAGUUUUCAAAGUUCUCCUUUGUGGUAAAGCUUCUUCAUAUGAAGUCAUACCAUAGGAUCAGCAAUACUGCAUUUUCUGAAAUAUUAAAGCUAUUGGCUGAAGCAUUCCCUGAUACCAAUACACUCCCAAAAUCAUAUAAUGAAGCAAAAAACCUUCUGAAGGAAUUAGGUCUUGGAUAUGAGACGAUACAUGCGUGCUUCAACAAUUGUGUUCUUUUCAGAAAGCAAUAUGCCAAGAAUGAUAAUUGCCCAGUUUGUGGUCUAUCAAGAUAGAAAGACCCUGUUAGGAAGAAGAUUCCACAGAAAGUGCUCAGACAUUUUCCAUUGGUACCUAGGCUGAAGAGGAUGUUUCUUUCCAAACAAGCAUCAGAAGAUGCACAAUGGCACAAGUUAAAGCGGCAGCCCAGUGAGAAAGAAAGGAGCCAUCCAGCUGACGGUGAGGCGUGGCAAGAUUUUGACCGUGAAUAUCCAAAAUUUGCAGAAGACCACAGAAACAUUAGACUUAGCCUUGCCACUGAUGGGUUUAAUCCUUUUGGCAACUUUAACAAAACCUAUAGUAUGUGGCCAGUAUUUGUUGUGCCAUACAACCUUCCACCUUGGGCAUGCAUGAAUCAGUCAAAUUUCAUGAUGGCUUUGCUAAUUUCAGGUCCUAAAUCUCCUGGCAAGAACUUUGAUGUCUUUCUACAGCCUCUUGUAGAAGAUUUACUAGAGCUUUGGAAUGGUGUGCGUACAUAUGAUGCUCUUAGUGGAAAAAUGUUUGAUCUUCAUGCUGCAGUUCCAUGGUGCAUCCACGAUUACCCAGCUCUAAGCACUCUUUCAGGGCGUACCACCAGAGGUUAUUCUGCAUGUAUUCAUUGCGACAAGCACCCUCUUUCUUACGGCUUAAGGAACAAAAUUGGGUAUAUUGGGCACUAUCGUUUCCUUUCAAGGGGACAUCGUUUGCGUAGAAACAAUGAAUUUGUUGGUCUUCAUGAAAGGAAUGAUAAGCCAGGUAAAUUCUCUAGAGAAGAGCUACAAGCAUAAUUGGAGAAGGUUAGACCUGGGCAGGAAAAGGAAAGCAGGAAAAGGAAGCGUUCUAUCUUGGGCAACAAAAAAAAGCAUCAUGUGCCAGUUUGGAGUCGGAGGGUUUGUUUGUGGGAUUUGGAGUAUUGGAAAAAAAAUUGAAGUUGAGACAUAAUCUUGAUGUCAUGCACAUUGACAAAAACAUAUGUGACAACCUUGUUGGGACAAUUCUGAAUAUAGAGGGUAAGACAAAGGACACAAUUAAUGCUAGGCUUGAUCUCAAAGAUUUGAAAAAAGAGACUGCAACUGAGGGAGAAAGGAAACUCAUAUGUGAUGCUUCCGGCUCGAUAUACCUUGUCCAAAGAACGAGUGAUUGCCUUUUGUCAAUUUUUACGAGAAUUAAAGUUUCCAGAUGGGUUUGCUUCAAACAUAGCAAGAUGUAUAAGUGCUGAUGGAACCAAGGUACAAGGCCUAAAAACACAAGAUUGUCACAUUCUUUUGCAAAGAAUCUUACCGGCUGGAAUGAGAGGAUUUUUGGACAUUGAUAUAUAUGUAGCAAUAGCUGAGUUAGGCAAGUUCUUCAGGAAAUUGUGCUGCAAAACUCUUAACAAGGAUGUGUUGGCCGAAAUGAAGAAAGAAAUCCCUGUAAUAUUGUGCAAGCUUGAGAAAAUUCCCCCCCUGCUUUCUUCGAUGUGAUGGUGUACCUUGCUGUACAUUUACCCGAAGAGGCGUUACUCUGAGGUCCCGUGCAAUAUGGGUGGAUGUACCCAAUUGAAAGGCGGUUGUAUACUUUGAAGCGCUAUGUGAGGAAUAGGGCACGACCAGAAGGGUCGAUUGCUGAGGCAUAUGUUGCUGAUGAGCGCCUGACAUUUUGUUCCAAGUACAUGAACGAUGUUGAAACAAGAUUUAAUCGGGAGCCAAGAAAUAUAGGUUUUUCAGAUGAAGAAGCCUAUGAUGUUGAUGUUUUCGGGCAUGGAGUUAAUUUUACUUCAGCAUAUCAAUAUGUAUAUGUUGAAAAUGAAUUUGAUCAAAUGGUGUGGUACGUGUUGAACAAUUGUAGUCAAGUUGAGAAAUAUAGAGUAUGUUCUGACUUCUGAAUUGGUGUAUGUUACCUUUGUGUUUUAAAUAUGUGAUCUAUUCACUAAUUUUGUUUUAUACACAAAAUGUUCAGAGGUGAGCUAGAGAGAGAAGGACUGCCAAACAUUGAAAGAAGGCUUCGGGAAGGAUUCCAGACAUGGUUCAGGAACUAUGUUAGUUUUGAUUCACAUAUAAUUAGAAUUUUUGGUUGUGAGAUAUUCACUACAGAUUCUAAUGUAGUGUUUGUGUGCGUUGUUGCAGAUAAUGAGGCUGCAGAAUGAGGAUGGCAAAGAGGUUAACAAAGAUCUCUUUGCCUUGGCAUGUGGUCCUGAUUCGAGAGUCAGGAAAUACUCAUCAUGCAUAAUGAAUGGCAUUCGGUUUAGUACCGUGGACCGUGAUAACAGUAGGAGAACACAGAAUAGUGGAGUUGUGUCCGAAGGUAGGCAUGACAGGAAGGUCAUUGACUUUUAUGGAACCCUGAAAGAGAUCAUUCAGUUAGACUAUAACUUGGACGAUAGGUCAGUCGUUUUGUUUAAAUGUGAUUGGUUUAAGCUUCAUGGGAAGAAGACCGAACUUCAAAAUGAUGGAUUUUUUACAAGCAUCAAUGUGGUAAGUAUAUGGUACAAGGAUGAUUCUUUGAUUCUGGCUACUCGGGCUAAAAAGGUCUUCUAUUUGCCAGACACAAAGUUAGGGAAAAUUUGGGAAGUUGUCCAAACAUUCGACCAUAGGCAUCUCUUCAAUAUUAGUGAAACUGAGGGUGCACCUUUUGCUGCUCUUUCAUAUCAAGAGGAGUGUUGUGAUGAGGAUGUCAGGCAAAAAUCAGUUUCUGACCAUACAUCUGAGAAGCCUUUACAUAGAGAGGAUGAGCAAGGCGUUAUUUUUGAAGCUGAUGUAGUUGCCCGUUUGAUGAAAGACAAAAACACAGAAGUGUAUGGAAAUGAGGGCGAAGAUGAAGAAGAUAACACAGGUAUGGAGUACUGCAGCGAAAAUGAAGGAGGUGCCACAAUGGAUGUCGACAGCGAUGACGACUAGAUGUUUUGAUGUAGAAGGUACCACCUUCAUUCUUGUUCUAGUGUACUAUCUUCAUCAUUUAUUUCUGGAAAAAAUAAACAAGCACAAGCAUGGCAUCUAAAUAUUGAUCUUGUGUCAGACUUCAGGAAAAUUGACUGCAAUAUCACCUUCAUUCUUUUUCUAGUGUACUGUCUUCAUUAUUUGUUUAUGGAAUAAUCAACAAGCACAAGCAGGACAUCUACAUAUUGAUUUUGUGCGAGACUUCGAUUCAGCAAAAAUACAAAUGUUGUUGUAUCAUACAACAGCAUAAGAUGACAUUUACUAUUGAUUUCCUAUAGUAUUUACUAGUGUUUUCCUUGUGAAAUACAUGUUGCAUAUGCUGCUAUCUAUCCUGGUCUUGAUAGUUUCAUAUGAAGUUGUAUAUGCUAGUACAUCUGGGUGUAUAGUGGGUAUGCUAGCACUACAAUACAUAGUUUGUUGCAGGAAAUAAAAUUGAUGGCUACAUUGGAUCACCUUAUUUUAAACUGAUUAAAGUGUUAAGAAUGACCAUUAACAUUUCCUCCUUGCUAUAAGAAUGCAUUCCCACAAAUACAACAUCAGAUGAAAUUUUGCCAGUCCUGGCUGGGUCAGAAUUGUAGUUUGUGAAUACUACAAUAAAAGGAAUUCUUAUUUCACUUGAUAAACUGAUCUUAUUCACUUCAAGUCCCAACUGUGGUCAAUUUUACAUUCAACAUUGUAUGUACAAUCUUUUAAGGGUUGGAGCUUGUAAGGCUAUACUUAGAUUGCCUUUAGCUCAUGCCAGCUUGAUGGUUUGUGUUAUGAAACAAAUGCCUUCUUUAUUAUGUCAACUGUAGGCACUUCCUCUGAUCCAAAUUAAUUGACGCAUCCUCUAUACAAUCUCCAUACAGUGAUGUAUAGAGGAUGCAUCAAUUAAUUCAGAUAGGAGGGAGUACCUUUUUUAGAAGCUUUUUUUGCCUGUAGUAGACUCUCAAAGUUUAUUUUUUGUUGCAGUUUAUCGUGCAUCAAAGGGUAUCACCAGUCACAAGAUUCCAUCUCAGUGUCGUCAACGUACUGACUGCUUCCCCUCUGAAUACAUGUUUGCUCAUGCCUAAACAUGAUAUGAAUAGGAGUAAAAAAAUUGUAUGUGGUAUAUCCAGUUGAUGUAUCUGGAUUGGCUGUAAGGUAGCCAUUUAUGUUUAGAGUACUUUCUCGGGUUCACGCCAAAGGGAGAUAAUGGCCUUACAUGUGGGCCUGUAAUUUUGAUUUACUGUAGUGUAAGGAGAGCUGAUUGUGCUCACGUAUUGUGUUUUUUCGCUGAGUUGUAUGUGUAAGUUAGGCUUUCAUCAUGUGCUGUUGUAUGUCAAAUUUGGUUGUGUUGUUGCAUAUGGUUCAGUUAUGCUGUAUGUGGAAGUUUGGCGCUUUGGUUCAGUGAAUCAAAACUAGGCUUUUGCAUGACUGGCCGCUAUUCCUUUGAGAUAUCAGUACACGAAUAUUUAC
Molecule: long non-coding RNA, 99853 nt
Filed under: Triticum aestivum (bread wheat)
Lineage: Eukaryota; Viridiplantae; Streptophyta; Magnoliopsida; Poales; Poaceae
Description: long non-coding RNA (TAES_LNC003273)
Source: RNAcentral